Molecule: long non-coding RNA, 101260 nt
Filed under: Vitis vinifera (wine grape)
Lineage: Eukaryota; Viridiplantae; Streptophyta; Magnoliopsida; Vitales; Vitaceae
Description: long non-coding RNA (VVIN_LNC004842)
Source: RNAcentral
UGCAGUAGCCUCAAACUAAACCAGUUAGCAUCACAGACAUACCUUCACUAUCAAAGGCACGAACACGGAGAGUAGCAAGCCCAUCUAAGUCAAGUUUAAUAGAGUUAUGAAAUAUCUGGAUCCUGGAUAUAUUAUCAAUAAAAACUUUGCAACGAACUACAAUCCCAGUGUGUAUGUCGGCAGCAUAAACAGCAGUCUCUUUUCGACCGUUAUAAGUAGCAAUGGAUUUCAGCCUGGCACUUGUUGAACAUUGACUGCUUACAUUAUAUUCAGGUAGAACAGAUAAAAUAUCAUGAUGAUCCCAUGACCUGAAAAAAUAGAUAAAACUCAAAUAUCACCAAUCAUAAGCAAUUAAUUAAAAAAAUUUACAGAUGUAAUGUGUAGGAGGACUACCUAUUCAACCCCCAACCCCCUAUAUUAAGACUUUUUUUUUUUGUUUUGUUUUGAUAGGCAAAUAAAGUUGCAUAUAUAUGGAGUUCCCUAUAUUAAGACUUAAACUUACAUAUAGCAUAGCCAUUGUUGCUUUUGAUUAUCUGCUACAUAUCAAGCAGCACUGACUAUUCUGAAUACUUAUACAGCCAUUAAACCCAUCAUGUUUUUCCAUCAUAUCUUAUGUGAUUAGCAUCAAAUUUGCAUUCCCAUACAAAGUUAAAAUUAUUUUUCUUUUAAAAAAAAUGAUCAAUCUUAUGCAGCCCAACUUCAAGUUUCAACCGAUACUAUAUGCAUUUAGAAUGAACUUAAGAGUAUCACAAUGCCAGAAUCCAAAAUCCCUAUUCGGCAACAAUACAGAAUCACCUGCUAAAAGCCUAAAAAGCAAGACAAUUGGCUAGUGACAAAAUGCAGGUGAAGAAAAGAACAAAAAAUUUUGAAUCCCUCUUAGCAGUUUCUUACUUCCUAUAAAAGAAAAGUCCAACUCAGAAAAUCCAAGUAAUCACUUUCCAGUUUCUCGGUUGUUAGUUGUGUCUUACACUCUAUAAAAUGCAAAAUGAAAACUCCAAAUUAUUUUCGGCAACCAAACAAAGAGAUAUAGGACGAGGAAAGUGAAGAUACCAUUUGAAGCAACCGCCACUUCCUUGAAGAAGAUACUCAACGGGAUAAGUCAUUUUGGGAGGCAACAGAAUAUUGACAUCAGCUAUGUGAGGACCAGACCCCAAAUGCGGCGUCGUACUGAUCACAGGCAUCUGAAUGACAAGAAAAACGAAGAGGAAAUCCCAGCGAAACAUAUUGAGGCCCAUGAGUGAAGUGAGAAAGCAAAACCCUAAAAACAGGGUUUUGGGGAGAACCGACCUGAGCUGAGCAUGGGCGCUUUUAAACCGAAAGGAAGACGCCGAGGCCACUGGACCCAGGAAAUGGGCCACGUGGCGAGGAGUGAUUGGGACUGAGGCGUUUCUGAGAAUCGCCAAUGCCAGAUAUGAUAUUACUGUUUCCAGGAUUUGCUUUGUGUGAUCGUCCAAUUGGGUGUAAGCGGAACGAGUUUAACAGUAGCGUUUUCCAAUUUUGGGCUAAUGUGCUUGGCGUUGCCUUCACCUGGACUUAGCGAGAGUGUCGCUGUUAUUUAUGAUCCGAUUUUCAAAUUUGCAGAGAAGCCCCUGCUAUAGCAUGUAUUUUAAAAACAUAAGGUCUUUAUUAAAUAAAUUUAAAUUUUUUUCUAAAGAUAAACGUCCUGGGAAUUUUUUUAUUUUCAAGGAUAAAAUAAUAUAAAAAACAAUUAUUAAUUAUUUCAAAACAGAUUUUUAAAAAUUAUUUUGAAAAUAAAAUAUUUUCUGAUAAUAUUUUCUCGGAAGUAGGUUAUAAUUGAAAAGUGCACAACUUCUUAUUUACUUUUAAAUGAAGGUAUAAAAAUUGAAUUUUUCAAAUUUAGAGAAUUAUUUUCCGAUUAAUUUCAAAUGUACUUAUAAAAACACAUUUUAAAAAGUUGAUUAGAUUUUCUCCAUUUUUUUCGUGGGAAGAUUAUAAAUGCAUUCACAAAAAUUUUCUUUACAAUCACGAUUUUAAUAAAAAAAUUUAAGACAUAAAUGUCCUUAAUUGAAAUUCCUAAAAUACCCUUGAGCACAAAAAAUGCAUCAAUUUCUCUCUUCUUCCUCCUUAAUUCCUUCUCUUACAGUUUCUCCAUAACUCUAAUAAGAAUUAAUAAGAGAGUUGCGAUUUUCACCCAUGCAUAAGUAAAUUACCAUAUUAAAUGAUGUUAUAAAUACAUAAGUAUGGUUUUUAUAUAUUUUUUUUUGUUAAAAGGAGGUCUCACGAUUCUUGUUCGGGAUUAUAAGGCUAAAUAUUUUAUAGUUGUUCGACCUUAUACCUUUUAACACUCUUAAGAGUGUCCAACCCUAAACCUUUAGAUAUUUCAACUAUGUCCAAUAUUUAAGAACUGGCAAUACAGGUUCCUAAAUUAUUUUCUUUCAUUUACGUUAAAGUUUUUCAUGACUUUUCACUUUUAAAUCACAUCUACAUCUUUCUAAUUAUUUUUUAAACAAAUUUUACAACAAGAUUUUUGUUAAAAAAUUGGAUAUGAAUAAGCUUAAAAAAAUUUUAAUGUUCCAUGUUAUUUGUAAUUAAGUUUUGCGGCUGGGAAAAAAUAAGUCGAGAGAAAAAGGAAAAAGAUUGGUUUAAGGAGAGAAUAAUGAGAAUGGUGUUUUAAGCUUUUUUCUAAAGAAAAAAAAAAUCGCACAUAUUUGUAUAAAUAAGUUUUAAAUUUUUAGAUGAAUGUGUAAAUAAAACAGAUAUAAGGAGACUUGGAUGUAUUUAUAAUUUUAUAUAUAUAUAAAUAAAAACAUUUUAAAAAACUAUUCUCUAAAAUUAUUUUUAAAAAACGUUUCCAAAUCAAUCCUAAAUCAUGUUAAUAAGCGAGAUUAGCAUGUUUACCUCAUUCCACUGUUUAUUUGAGAUUUUGGAAUCAAAAGAUAUAGUAAGAUUCUACAUGUGAUGUAAUGUGUUAGGAGACCAAUAUAAAAUCCUUUGAUUUUAGGAUUGUUUACGUAGUCACUCUCAUGUUAAUUAAUUAGCCAUGAAAUCACCACAUCCAUGCAAAAAGCCACGUGGCACCAAAUGUGGAUCCACGUCAACACUCCAUGUGUAGCACCACCAGGUUUACAUGCCUGGGUCAUCAGCAAGAGCCAGGCUGCCAUAUAGGAAAGAAAGAGAGGGAGAGGAAGAGAGGAAGUGCUUCUUGUUUUCAACCGGGACAUAGCCAUGGACUCCAAGAAUGAGAAGGUGGAAGCGGUUGCGUCCUAUGCAGAAAACAAGCUAGUUAAAGAAAUUCAAGGUGAUAUCGAUGAUUCACCACGUCUUAAUCAAAGGGGCAAGAAUCGGAAGCAAGGAGAUGAGCAAGGGAAGAUGAUUAAAGAGGAGGGUGAAGGACCAAAACCGCUUCCUCACCAGCAAGUUCCUCAGCCUGGAGAUUGCACCUCAGAAGGCCUUGAGAAGCUUUGAAGAGACUCAUAAACCCAUGAUCAUCACCCUUUCUUUUAUCUGUACAAAACAUGACAAACCCACGAGUCUUUCGCUUUAAUGUUUUUUUGUGUUUCAGCUUUUGUCACAGAAGGUGAAGAAGCCAUUAAGUAAUAUGGAGGAAACCAUGAGUCCAGCAACUUGGUUCUGGAUCAAGCCAAGGCAUCUGUUUGUGUUUUGAUCAACUUUGCAUACAACCCAUCUUUGAGAAGCAGUUGUUGGUGAUCACCCACCUGCACAUACAAAAAAUCAUUGAUGCAUUAUUUGCCAUACCCCAUAUGAACCUCUUGCUGAUAAAGGGGUUGCUUUUUUCUGGGUUGUGGAAGCAUGCUCAAAACCAAAUUUUUCUACAUGGCAUGGCACCAUUCCAUAUUUGUUCGUCUUUGAUAUGGAUAAACAGGCAGGGUAUAUUCCACAAAAGGGCCUCUCUUGCACAUGGCAAUUAUGUAUUGGUAACAAGUUCAGUUUUUUUAGCAUCAUUGAAUCUAUCUGUGCCACAGAGAAAAAAAAAUAUAUAUAUAUACAUGCUUGCCAACCCAAAUUCUAGAAAAUGAUGAUUAAAAUGAUGUCUUGAACACACAAAAAAAAGGGGAAAAACUGAACUUACCUCAAUGACGGAACCACCAUCCAUCACUACAAUUCUGUCAGCAGCUUUUACUGUGGAUAGCCUGCAAAAGGUGGGUCAAAAUCACACAACUCACAGGAGACAAACAGCUGGUCUAAGAAAGCUCACCUAUGCGCUAUGACAAUAACAGUUCUUUUUGCAUUAGCAUCAUUUCUGAAGGCAUGAAGAACCCCCUAAAGAUAAAGGGCAAUUGAUGCAUCAGUAACAGUGAGCUAGCUUUUCAAUUCAUACCAUUUCUCUGUUUUGUUUUUGUGUCUGCAUGAUCAUAGUUACUAGUGAUAUUGGAAAAUACUUGCCUCGACAUAGUGUUCGCUUUCUGCAUCAAGAGCACUAGUGGCUUCAUCAAGGAUCAGAAUAGCAGGACCCCUAAGAAUGGCCCUGGCAAUUGCAAUCCGCUGCUUUUGUCCCCCACUGAGUAGAUGAUCAUCUAUAAUAGUAUCAUAACCAUCAGGAAGAGAUGAGAUGAAUCCAUGAGCAUAGGCCAGCUUUGCAGCCCAUUCUAUAUCUUCCUGUCCUAUGUCUCUGGAGCAACCAUAUCUUAUGUUUGACUUGACAUCCAUAUGAAAAAGAUGGGGUUCCUGCCCAAAAGGAAAUAAUUACAAAAUAAUGUUAUGACUAGCUUCAUGUCAUGAAAGUUAUAUAAUCUAACCUGUCCAACAAAUCCAAUUUUUCCUCUCAGCCAACCAAUGUCCAACUCUCUCAGGGGGAAGCCAUCAAUUAAAAUCUGCAAGACAGGAGGCACUUGUCAACUACAUGGCAUCUAAAUCAGCAACAUUCCAUCCACAUAAAAGUGUGAAUCUUGAGGCAUAAUGUUUGAAAUGAAAAGCAAGUAGUCAAAACUUGGGUAUAAGGCAAUGCAUAUGCUAGCAGAAUGAAUUUGGCCUAAGUGGAAAAAUUAGGCACCAGGUGGGAAUGAAAGAAUUCUACUUGAUUUCAUUUCACAUAGCAUUGCAGUGUAAACGUUUUCUCCUACCAUUUCAGGAGUGUAUUCCACAUUAGUUAUGGAUCAUUUUAGGGAUUCAAGAAAUAAUAUUACUUAACAUUUCUGCUAUCUUUUUGGCAAUAACCACAAAUUUUUCCAAUCACUCCACUCGACCCAUGAAUCCAUCCUAAAGAACAACUAGUGCCUUCAUAUAUUAUGGAAAACAAAAUGGUGCAAUUUUGUUUCCACACAGAAGUCACAUCAGAGAAGUAUAAAGAACAAAGACAAAUAGACGAAAAAUUGGGAUCAACUGCUAAAUCCAUAUCCUGCUCUAGCCAAAAUGGAUAUACAGAGAACUUCUAAAGUAAUGGGUGAGAUAAUUAACUCACUAUUUCUUAGUAAUAGCAAUUAGCAAGUGUUAAUGUAGCUUACCUGACCAGUUGUUGGCUCGUAUAGACGAAGCAAAAGAUUGACUAAUGAGCUUUUUCCGCUACCACUAAUGCCAACCUUAGCAAAAGUAGGACAUACAGACAUUUUUCAAAAUAUUUAACUAGCAUCGAAGGCAAAAAUAGCAAUGAAUAAGAAAUGAAUUUCAUAUUUUCCUGUUAAAAAAAAAAAAAAAAUUCAUUUCUUACAAUUGCAACCACUUCAUUAGCUUGUACAGAAAUGUUUACAUGUUCCAGAACAGGUACCUAUUUAAUACCAGUUAAAAGUAGAAUUGUAUUAGUUCUUCCUUAGCAUCAAAGAGAUUUACAGAAUGUCAACUGAGAUAAUCAGUUUAAAAUCAAACCUCCUGUCUACAAAAUCAAACACUUACGAACUUCAGAUGGUCAUAAGAAAUACUGUAAAAUUUCAUUGGUGAAAUAUUCAGAUGGUGUAAACCUUUAAAUAGUAUACAAUGAGACAUGUAUAUAGGUGAUGCAUUCAUAUGGGAUGAUCCCCUUUAAAAUAAACAUGUGUUAGCUCAACUUCUCAAGAAACUGGAGAAUGAUUAACAAAGUGGAAACAAUUUGGCUAGGGUGCCUGUAUACUUGGGGGCGCUGUUUUUGGCAUCUCCUCUUCCUAUAUAUACUAUUUCUCUUUACUUAUCAAAAAUAAAAAUUGGCUAGGGUGCUAAAAUUGCCAAUAUGUACAUAUGAAAGAGACACAUCCUAAAUAAGGGCAAAAGUUUGUUGACAUUAAAGAUUAGAAGUGUCAAGGGGAGUUGGAUAUAAAUCAUGUAUUGUAGCAUAAAACAGCCCACACUGGCUCUAGGUGAUCAGGGUUAGAGAUGAUUAGAAUUUUUAGGGCUGAUCGUAAAGAAUUAUGCAACUCUAAUAUUAAAGAAUAUCAUCUGGAUUAGGAAAUAAAUGAGAGUGUGCUGUUUCUAUAUUCCUUCUUGUCUUUACAAACCUGCUAUUGAGUUCAUCUUAAUACAAUAGUCUUUUGCUUUUUGAAAACUUAACAAAAUUCAUGAAUUUCAGAAUACCUAAUAGAUGAUCUCAUGCACAAUAUAUAGCAGCUAUAAGUAUAAAAUUAUAAAUAAGAGGAAAAGGAGCAAUUAUCUUCAAUACCUUCAAUUUUUUUGUUUAGGUUUCUAAAUAAAGUUGCUUGAAUAAUGAUGGAGGCUGAUUGCUCAUAUCAAUAAAAACCACCAUUAAACUAAAGUAUGUCGUGUCUUUUUUAAUGAAUAGGAGUAUUCAGUCUAAUUAUCUGUGUUGACAGCUGGGAUGAUCAAACGUCUAUAUUGAAACAUAAAAGAGCAAUAUGGAUAUGAACUUAGCAUCCAUGGUAUAUUACUUCAAAGAAAAAGACAUAACAUGAUUACUUUAAACAAAAAGGCAUAGCAUGAUUUCUUUAAAGAAAAGGACAUACCAUGACCCUUGAUGGAUAGUAAAAAGACACAUUUGCAAACUCAAUAUGUCCCAUUAGCCUCUUCAAUUUUACUCCUGUAUGCAAAAGGAUGUUCCAUUAACAAUUAUUAAAUUUAAUUUGUUUUAAUAAACACAAGCAAUCAUUUCAGAGACAGAAAUUCAAAUGACUGAAACUUUAUCCAGUACAAACUCUGAUGGAAAUAAACAAUGCACGGCGAUGCCAAAUACCAUGUACUGCUUUCUAAAAAACAAUUCUCAUGUCAACCAUUAUUUUUUUUAACAAGAAAACUUGACACACACAAGGGAAUCCCACAUAUUAUGUUAUGACAAUGCACAUUUCUGGGAAGUAGUUCAAUUUCAGAAGCACUAACUUUACAAUUUUGGUGUUGUGUCUUUGAACUUCAUAGAUUUUCCUUCUGAUUUCUUUUGGAGAAGAAACAUUUAUCAAGUCUAAUUUUUUAUUUCAUGUUCAGUGUAUUUCAUUGUUUCUAUAAGAGAAUAUAGCUUUUAUGAUUCAUAUGCUAUUUGGAGCAGAUACAAUGAGCUGCCAGUAGGAAAGGCUUAAAAUAGUAAAUUUUCAGUAUUUAUGUUCCCUGCAUGUUCCUAUAAGUUAUACAAUUCACUUCUACCUACUGCAAACGGAAAGGCUUAAAGUAGUAAAUUUUCAGUAUUUAUGUUCCCUGCAUGUUCCUAUAAGUUAUACAGUUCACUUCUACCUACUGCAAACCUCAUCCUCCCUCAGGGAUUAAGAUAUGCCGAGUGAAAGACAAGACAUUAAACAUAACCAAGGUGAAGUGUUCAACUCAGAUAAUACAGGAACAACAACAUUGCUAUAGGUAUGGCACUUCAAAUUUUUCAAAAUUAUAAUCAUGAAAUAAGAUGAUUAGUGUGUGAUGGAAUCAAUAGUAACAAUGUUAUGAAGCACCUCGAUGGUGGUUAAAGACACUAAAAGCCCACAAGGCCAAAAAGAUCAUAAGUUUAGUCAAGGAAACCUUAAACUUGAAUGGCUAACAGAAUCAUGAAUGGUAUCACAUAUAGAGGAAAGAAUUUGUAGUAAAGGUUGAGAGUUCCUCCAAACUAAUAGAAGUACAAGAAGAAAAAUAAAGAAAAAAAGACAGCAUAGAUAUGAACAAAUCAAAAGUCAUUUGCCCCAUUCAGUACCUUUAUAUUAGUCAUUCAUGAACAAAAAGGAAGCAGGUUUGCACUUAGAACACAUUGUAGAGAUGAGAGACAAAUAUUCUUUAGAUAUUCAGGGAAUUUCAAACAGAAUCCUCAAAUCAGCUCAACAAGGCCUUUAAACCAGAAACUGAGGGUGACUAAGUUACAUGGAUCCUCUUCUUUAUACCAUUUUUAGUAUUCAUGUUCAAAAGAUAUGACUAUAUAGUUCAUAUUGGUUGUCUACCUACAACAGCCACCCUCCUUUAUCCAGGCUCAGUACCAAUUAUCCAAUGGUAAAGCAUUAAACAAAAUAUUGGCAGAGUUUCAAAUGAAAUUGAUAGGAAAAAAACAAGGCAUCAUGUGUUUAAAGGCUUCAGUUUCAACAGAAUAUUGCAAAACAAACAAACACCCCACCUCCACUAUCCCUUGCUGCCCCUCAACCCACUAUGCCAAAAUAAAAAUCUUCUUCAAGACAUUCACAGAGAAUACCUGCCUUCUGAUUUGAAUUGAUCACUAGGCAAGAGGUCCAUUAACUGGAACACCUUUCCACUUGCGCCAACAGACUGCAGUAAUGAUGCAAAAUUGUCUCCAAGCCUCAAAGUACCAUAAAUCAACCACUCACAGUAUAAUAUAUACUUCGUAAGUUGUUCGGGUGUCACGUGACCAGUAAGAAUAGACAUUCCUCCUAACAGCACAGCAAUGACCUAAAAAACAUCAUUUUGGAAUAUAAAGAAACAUUGAAUUAUUUGUGUUCAACAAGAUAUUCCAUCAAGUUUGAUUAAAUUAGAAAUCACAAAAAUUAUAAUGGUGUUGGGCCAAGAAAAUCUAAAUCAACACACCUGAAACCAUUCUUUCUAUGAAAAUUAUAAUGGUAAUGGACCAAGAAUAUCUAAAUCAGCACACCGGAAACCAUUCUUUCUAUGAAAAUUACAAUGGCCUUAGCCUAAGAACACCAAAUUCAGCACAUUUGAAACCAUACUUUCUAUGAAACACACAAAGAAAUGUCAGAAAACUCAGAACUAUCUUAGCAUAUAACACAAAAAUACAUCUUUUUGGAUGGUAAGUCUAAAACAAUAUAAAUUAUAGUUUGAAAAGGCUCCAUUCACUAAUCAGUAAUUUAUCUUUAAGUUUUGGCCAGCUCGAAAAGCUAUUCCCAACUACUAGAAGUUGGCUCCAUGAAUCCCAAUUUGCCAAUCAACUGUACUGAGGACCUUUAUUUUCCAAUAAACUCUCAGAAUUUUGUUGAUCAAAGGAUAAGUCCAUAAUGAAGCAAACAGAUGUUUCGGGGACCUAGAGUUCAUGGUUCUGGAAAAUCAUAAAAUGGUCAAACCUGUGUUGAACGGUAUAGAGUGUUGAAACUCAGACCCCAGAAUCCAUAAGCCACACUUUCUCGGAUGCUAACAAAAGCUAAUUUAUCCAGCCAUUGCUUGUACCUAACACCAUAAAAGAUGGAUCAUAGAAGACUGUCAAGGCCAUGCAUUAGAAUGUUACAUGUAUGCUUUGUUGCUAGUGUGUGUACCAAAGAUAAGAGGCAAUCAUGGAAAUAUUGAUAUUUAACAGAAGAUUACUAGUCAGAAUUAUUGCCUUCUAAGUUCGUUUUCCUCUGUUCCAUAAGUUCGGACGGUUCUCAUCAAAGAAAAUGUUUCUUGUGCUACCUACGUGUAAACAUGGGAAGUUACUCUACGUGCAGAAAUGAAUAAAAGCUAAAAGAAUUUUCAGAAGCGAUUCAGAUCAGGCUGUCUGCUUUUACUUCAUUGGCACAAGCAGUGAACUCUUGGGUAAACAUCGCUGCUUUCCUUCUGUACCUGUCCAUCCAAGAUUUUGGUAAUACUUCCAACAAUCAGUAAUAAGUAAACACACACUUAGUAAAAGGAAAGGGAAAAAAAAUAAAAAUAAAAGAGAAAAAAAAAAACAAAAAGACCUUGGGAUGGAUACCUAAUCUUUUCUUGAUAAGAAAGAAAAUGCAAUGGUCAUUAUGAAGAGAAGGACCAAAAUCUCAGGGCAUUUGGAAACACCAUGUUUUAAAGCAAACAAGCAAGUGAAAUUCCUCCAUGAUGGCACCAGAGAUGAUUGCAAAAGCAUUUUGGUUGCUUGAUCUACACACAGUUCUUUAGCCCCUUACUCUUUUGAUAAACACUAGAAGAACUAAGAUUUAAAAGGAACCAUGCAGAGGCAUACAAUGCUCAACAAUAUAGUUUACUCCAACUGCACCAAGAAGGAUCAAACUUUGAACCAGACAAACAUAGAAAUUCCUCUUAAUAAAAAGCAAGAAAAUCUAAAAAAGAAUGGAGGAAAUUUAUCCUCCAAUGAAAAGAAAUUUAAAAAAAAAAAAAUAUGAUGCAAGUUUUGAUUCAAGAUGAAUUUGCAAUCAAAAUAUUAGGAAAUAAGCUCCAUAAGACAACAACUAAGUAUUGGUGCCCUUAUAUAUGGUAAAUAAAUGACAAGAAGUCAUCCACAAGAUAAAUGACAAGAAUCCAAAACUGACAGUUCACAGGUAAUGAGCACUUCAAUGAAUAAUAUCAUAACUUCGUAAGGAUGGAAGGGCUAUACAAGAAUUUUUCUUUAAACAAAGGUUCAGGUAUUUAGGGAUGAAGCAGACCAUGAUGAUUUCUUAUAUCAAAUAAUAAUUGAGAAUAUAGUUAACACCUACUUUUAUUUAAAUAACCAACAGAUAGUUUCUUUUGUUAUUUAUAACAGUAUACUUCUCCAGAACGACAAAUUUGAGAUUAGGAAAACCAACAUAAUGAGUCUAACAAGAUGGGAAAGGUAAAAAUGCUUACUGGCCAUAAACCAGAAAGAUUGCAGAUAGAACAGAGCAUAUCACAAUUGUUGAUAAUGCAAGAGGCCAUGAUAAAGUUAGUAAAUGAAUCAAUGCACCUGCACCCUGAAAGGAACAAUAGAUUAGACUCCAAAUUGAAGGUGAACUUAGGAAAAGAAAUGAAUGGUUAAUAAGAAUGAAAACCUGGAGAAAAUUGCGUAAUAUCAUAUUAAUAUCAUUUCCAAUAAUGUUAGACAGUUGUUGACAAUCUGCCCCAAGCCUACUUGUUAAGUCACCAACUGCUUCUGUCUCGAAGAAAUCAAUAUCCUACAUCAAAUAUGAAGCAAAAUAGAACAUCCAAGCAAAUGAAGGAAUAGAUGUUAAAUGAAACUGACAGUAUAACUUACUUGAGGAGUAUGCAUGGUACUUAGCAUUACAAAUAUAGUUGCUAAAUAAACGCAAACCUGAAAAAGAAUAGCUGAACAUAAAGUUUCCCUUAGACGCUUAACCUGACAAAUGUAGUAGGAAGCACCAGCAGUUGUCAGAUUCACUUUACCUAAGAACUAAAUACACUCUGUCCAUGAAUGCCAUAAAGGAAAGCUCAACAAAUUAGAAUGAUGCAUUGUUAUGGAGAGAGGAUUGUUGAACAGAUACAAUUAAGUAUUUAGUAAAUGUUAAAAAAAAAAAAAAAAUACAGCAAUCAAUAAGAUCCAUGUCUACAAAAUAUCAAGACCAUUGGGAGAUUAACCAGGGAAGGCCAUAAAAUCCAAUGAUAAUAAAGUAAAGAUGUUACAAUUUCAAAGCAGCCAAAAAUAAGAUUCCUGUUGUGUCAAAAUGAUGCAACAAGAAUGAAGAGCAUAGAUAACCAGCAUCAACCUGUGGGAGCACUGGGAGGCCUCCAUGUGGAUUAGAUAUGUAAAAUACACGAGGUGCACAUCCCAAAUAAGAUGAGAAUUAGCAACUUAAAGUCCAUGUGGUUUCUCAUAACAACAGCACAGAGGACGUAUCCCAAAGUGCCAAAAGCAUUAAAGUGCAGCAACCAGACAUUUGGUUCAGAGUGGGCCCAAGAAGCCCUGUCCUUGGGGAUGUCCAGCUGUUGAUUCAUGUCAUGACAACUCGUCUCCUUGAGAGGUUGAACAUGUUUUUUUUUCCUUUUUGUCCGGUAUUCUUGCAUGCAUAAAGAAAGACAAAUGCUAAAGUCCUCAUUAAAUUGUGUAUAUACUAAAGGCAGGAAUACCAAAUGCCUCUCUCCUCACUAGAAGUCUAACUGUCAAAAAGAAACUAUCAAAAGCAAAUUAAGAUGCAGGAUAGGACCCGCUAAGCCUCUUUGAGAGGCUAGAGGUUGCACCAGUUUAGUACAUCAAGGAAGAAUUGAUGAACACGGGUUAAGCAAGUACAAUGGUGCCCUACAGAUGCACCAAUAAGGAUGAAUGACUAAUUCAAGUUGAAGGCACAAAAGGAUAAGAGAGAACAAAAUGGACUUGGACCAAAUCAUAAGAAAAGAUAUGGUGACCUUUAAUUUAACAAAUGGAUUGGUCUUAAAUGGAGAUAAAUGGUGGACAGCAAUUCAUAUAGUUGACUCGAUUAGUUGCAAUAUAAGGCUUUGCUCUUUUCGUUCUUAUUGUUCUUGUUAUCAGGAAGGAACUCACCAGGGUGAUAUUUGCAAUUGCAAAACAGCCACUUCGCAAACCACUAAAAUCACCAAAAAAAUAAAAUAAAAUAAAAUUAAAAAUUAAAACAGUAAACAAGGAGUCUUAUCAAUCACACACUCAUCUUAAUAAUUAAAACUACAAUAACUACUAGUUUCUUCAUAAAACCACCAUUAAUUAUAUGCAUGUAUGGUGUCGGACUUCAAAAUAAGGAAAGCACCUGUGUUGGACCUGAUAUGAGAUGGUUAUAUUUGACGCUAGCAAGACAUGCACCUAACAAUCCUGUCUAACAAAAGAUAAAGAUGUACACUUUCCUUGUUUGAUAGAACUUCCCUAGGAUACUUAGGCAAUCAUAUGCCUUGUGUUAAAUAGCUAUUUCAAAGUGAGUACUCAUAGGACAGAAUAUGUCACAGGAACAAAUCCAUGCUCUUGAAAACAUUUCUUUCUAUAUAAAUUCUAAAAAAAUCUAAAAGAAAAUGCAAAUAUAUUAACCUUAUCAUGAUAUAUGUUAAGCAUCAUUGAUUAGUCUAGCAGCAGAUAAUCAAACUUUUGGAACACAAAAUUUGUAGCACCGAUGUUCUAGAACUUAGUGUCAUGGACUUAGCUGUUUCUUAACUUAAUACUUAAGUUACUAAAUUAGUUUUUCUUGAACUUACUAAGCAACAUUGCAUGGCACAAAAGAUAGAGAAGAGCUAAGGGCAUAACACUUACAAAGUUAAAAAGGAUGGAAACUUGUAUCUUACACAAUAAUUCUCUACAAGGUUUGGAAGCUCUCAAGUGUUUGGUGACUUGACCAAAUAGGUGCAACUCUAUAACUCUUUGGAACCAGUUCCUUACAAUUCUAGAAUUCUCUAGAGACUAGCUAGAUACAAGCUAGAAUUUUAAUUCUCUAGAAUUCUAGAGAAGCACAACUCUAAGGAUACUCACACCCAAUUGAAACUUGUAUUACACAAUAACGCUAUACAAGGCUUGGAAGCUGUCAAGUUCUUGGUGACUUGACCAAAUAGGUACACCUGUAUAACUCUUUGGAACCAUUUCCAUAUAAUUCUAGAAUUCUCUAGAGACUACCUAGAUACAAGCUAGAAUUCUAGAGAAACACGACUCUAAGGAUACUCACACCCAACUCCAAAAAUGAGUAGUCCUUCCAAAAAUGUUCUAACACUUUGAAAGAAGCUCCUAUCUAAAAGGUCGUUUGUUACUUGAGUUUGAGGAAGAUAAACAACAAGUCUCUAUUUUGAGAAGCUUUGUGCCCCAAUAUGAGCUCAAGUGAGGGGCCAUAUGGAUAAGGCAUGACAUUAAGCUUAGAACUUUCUAAGCACAAAAAACAGUAUUUUACAACCAUGUGAAUAUUUCAAUGGUGAUGUGGUACAAGUUUUAAUGGAUGGAAUAGUCAAAUGGACACUCACAAAAACCAUGAAGGAUAAGACAAUAUUAUAACCAUAAAAAUGACUUCAUUUUUUUUUUUUAAUGAUUUCAUAGCAUUUACAUUCUCAAGUAUAAGACUUCUGCCUAAAGGCAUACUUGAUAUGUACAAUUUAAAGUAGAAAGGACUUAACUAUAAGAGUUUUCACCUGCAUAUACCCGAGAGGAUGCACAAUAGAAUGAGGAGUUGGGAAUUUCUAUAGAAGACCAUUGUCUCACCACUUUGUGCAGAAAAGACAGAUGCUGCAAUUAAAUUUGGCAUCGAGAUUUCUGAAAGCUGAAUGGGAGAGCACAUCUUAGAAAAAUGAUGGUUAUAAAAUUACUUAUGGAACAAAAACACCAAAAAAGAGUGCACACAAAUUGAACUUAUCUCGUGUUUGGUUCCAAUAAAAUAUAAGAAAAGAACAAAAGAAAUUAUUAAGAAAAACGAUUUUUCAUGUUUGGCUAUAUUUUGAAAAAAAAAAACCAAAUAUAAUUAAAAUUAAUUAAAAUUUUAUGCAUUCUUGAAUUAUUUAUUAUUUAUAUAAGAUAGUUCAAAUAAGUGAAUUGAGUUUGAAGUCAUAAAUAAUUUGGCUUUAAAUCUUUUUUUUUUUUUUCUAUUCAUCUUUUUCUUUUCAUCUAUUUUUCCUCCUAUUUCCUUUCCCUAACAUUUUCCCUCAAAUUUUCCGAAACCAAACAAAGCCUUAAAAGAUUCAUUUGAACCUCCCGAAGAACAGCAGAAAUUGAAGGAACAUGCUGAAACUAGCCCAAAAACGAACUCCAUGUUACAUAUUAAUCAGCAUUUUCCUUUCCUUUCCUUUCCUUUCGCUUGUUCUUUUCCAAAAUUCAAACCCAGUCCAAACAAAUUGAUGAUAAACCACCAUCUUCAACCUUGACUGUUAGGAACACAGGCGAAUAUCAAUCGAGGCAUGGAAUUAAGAAAUACUAAAACAAUCACGCCAGGUCAUAUCAAUGACUCUUUGUAUAGAUUUCAGGUCAAUUGCCUUUAAAAUUUUCAUAGAAACCAAAGGUUUAAAGCACAGGCAACGCACCGCAGCGAGUGUUAAAGACCCAACUGCAACAAAAAUGACCCAUCUCUCAUCUUCAACCAAUACCCAUAUUCUACGAAGAGUGGGCAUCACUUCUCUCGCCUUCGCUUCCUCCUCGUACUCACUUAACUUCCACCAACUCCCCCCAGGCAGAACCGACCGAAUAUUUCGUAAAACCACCGGAAUUUCAACAUUAAUUUGUCCAGUUUUUGGAAGGCAAGAACAGCGGAAUCUCGUGCUGGAGAAAGUGAUGGUGGAAGACAGCGUCCUUCUGAGUGGGAAAUGGGGUUUGCUGAGAGGUCGAAACGCCAACUGAGAAGCGGCCAUAAGGACUAAACGACGGAAAAUGCAUAAGGCUGCUGAGCAACUUGCUUGUCGCCUCAAAUAUUCCGCCACUUAUCCCAUUUUCUAUUGAAAUAGUUCCAAUCAGAUAUGGCUUAAAUGUAUAAUAAUAUUAAGCAUGUAUUUUUAUAUUUUUAAAAGUAAUUUGAUGAAAAUAAUUUUGAAGUUAAAAAGAGGAUAAGUCAACAUAUUUUGAAAGUAGGGCAUUGAUUAAUAGUUGGCUCGAUCAAUGAAUAGCUUAAUUUAGGUGAUAUUUAUCUAUUUUUUUUACUUAAUGAAUGUUUAAUAAAUUAAUUUAAUAAUUUAAAGUGAUUUAAUAACUUAAUUUAAGUUAUUAAAUAAAUUAAAUAUAUUUGAUAGAAUAAUUUAAUUGUAUGACUUAAAAUAGAAAACAACUUUAAAUAAGAAAUAAAAAUAAAUAUUAAUUGAAUGAAAAUGACGAAAACAUACCAAAUUUGUAGAACUAACUUCCCCGUUUUUUAACUUAAAGAGUAACCAAUUUUUUACAUAAAUACCCUUGAACAUGUUCAUUAUUUAUAUGUGUAUUUUAAAAUAAAUGUUAUUUUUGCAUACAAAAUAUAUAUAUAUGUGUGUGUGUGAUGAUAUUUUUGUCAAAAUUGGGUAUUUUUAGGUUGAAAAAACAUGAAAGAUUAGUUUUUCAAAGUGGGAAAUAUCCCUAAAAAUAUUUAACUUGUUAUUUAGUUAAUAUAUUCAUCUUACCUUUUUACUCUUAUUUACCUUUAUGGUUUUUUUGCUACUCUACAACCUCCACUGAUACUCGACCUCACUUGUCUUAUCUAUUAUUUAUGAUUAUAGAUAUGUCAAUUUUAUAAUUUAAAAUAAGUUUUAAGUUAAUUUUAUAAUAACCUUAAUACUUAAAGUCAACUUAAGUCAUUAAGUUUUAUCAAACAUCCUUUUAAUGUUGGAUGUAAUUUACUCUCAAAUUUCAACUUAUUAUUUUAAUUUAUUUAUUUUUAACUUGUAACUUAUUUGUCAAUAUUUUUAAAAGGUCGGUUGAUUUAACAUUAAGUUAAAAAAACAACAAACAUUGAUAGGCUGGUUCAUGGUUGAGAUCGAUUGUUGUUAUAAAAGGUUUUGAAGGUAACAAAAUUUUGAAUGGAUUUCCAAACAUGAUUAAGAAAAACAUCAAUUUGAUAGAUUUGUACUAAGAUUAAUCAUAUUCAUAUUGUAUUUGUGUCAACAUGCUUAAUCCAUUUAAUGAAACGGUCUUAUUCAUUCAAAUGUCACCUUUUUUGACACAUUUAAUUUAUGAUUUUGUGUCAACAGACUCAACACUUAUACGACUUCAUGCUGGGUUCUACUCCUACAAAAUGAAACGACGUAGCUUCAGUAUUGCCACAGCCAAACGACGUCGUUACAUCUUCACACAAAUGGGACUGCGUUCCUAUAUAUUCCCAAAACCCUAGCAUCCCUUUCCUCUUUCUCUUCUCUCCGCAGACAACCCCAGAGAUUCAAAGGCCUUAGGCGGUACAAGGUACAAGGAUGACAACCAGGUUCAAGAAGAACAGGAAGAAGAGAGGGCACGUCAGCGCCGGCCAUGGCCGGAUCGGCAAGCACCGGAAGCACCCCGGUGGUCGCGGAAAUGCUGGAGGUAUGCAUCACCACCGCAUCCUUUUCGACAAGUACCACCCUGGCUACUUCGGGAAGGUCGGAAUGAGGUACUUCCACAAGCUCCGCAACAAGUUCUACUGCCCCAUCGUCAACAUUGACAAGCUGUGGUCCAUGGUGCCUCAGGAUGUGAAGGACAAAGCCUCUCCUGAUAACGCCCCUCUCAUCGACGUCACUCAGUUCGGCUACUUCAAGGUUCUGGGCAAGGGCGCGUUGCCUUCCUCGCAGCCAAUCGUCGUGAAGGCCAAGCUCGUCUCUAAGAUAGCCGAGAAGAAGAUCAAGGAAGCCGGUGGUGCCGUUGUUCUCACCGCCUAGGUUUUGAAUCUUUCCUUGUUCCGUCCUUUCAUUUAUUUUGUUUACCAAUGGAAGUUGUUAGCGGUUUUUUGAUGAAUUGAAUUACAAUGAAUUUUGUUUGGGUUGAUGCGCAAUGUUAUCCUUUUUUAUACUCCAUAUCGGUUCAACUGUUUCGAUGGAUCUAUUUCGAUUUUCGGUAGCAUAUAUUUGUUUUUCUUCAAACCCUAGAUUUGAUUACAGCAAAAAAUUGUUGAAAGAGAGUGAGUCCGAUCGAUGAUAUCCGGAGGCAUACUCGAGGAGAGGGAAUGCACUCUUUUUCUAUCAGUUCUUCCUCUGGUGGAAAUGAAAUCAAUCAAUGAAGACCUCCCUUCUUGACUGGCUUUGCUUUGUAGAGCAGUACAGGUAAAUGAAGCUGGGUACUGAGAAUUAAUGGCGGACACGAAUCCCUUGUGAUUGGGAACUUCGAUUCAAUUAGUUUGUGGCUCUUGCGUUUUUCUGUUCAUUCGGAUUCUAAUCACUUGCCACAUCUUGAAUCUCAAAGCUUCAUUUGCACCUCUGAAUCAUAAUCUUGCCAUAUCUCUUUUUUGAAAAUUAUUCCUUUCUUUAGAAUGAAGAAGCAUUUUAUGACAAAUUAUUUUGUUUUUAUUUUUAGAAUAAAGGGAAAAAAAAAAAAGCACUUUUGGUUUUCAAAUGAUUUGUUUUUUUUUUUUUUUAAUGAAAUAGGAAAAACUAUUAUCGAAAACAGUUAUGUCAUAAUACAAUCAAAAUAUUUUAAUUAUAAUUUUUUUUAAUUAGUUAAUACCUAAUACACUCAAAUUUUAGUAAUUUGUUAUUUUUAGAAAAUAAAUAAAGACAAAUGACCACUUCCCAUUUUUUGCGAAGAGAAAAAAAAAAAGGAUGUAGUUUCAAAAAAUUAAAAUAAAUAAUUUUAGUUGUCAUUCCUAUACAAGUUUUAUUCUUCAAGACAAAAAAUUGGUAAUAAUUUAUAUACUUUUAUGUAAAAAAUAUUUAUUUUUUUUUUAAAUUCGUUUAAUAACAUUUUUAAAAUAAUUAUUUAUACUUUAUGAUGUGGUUAUUCAAGCUUUCAUGUUCAAAUAAUAUAUAUUUUUUAUUUGAAAACAUUAUAAGUUUUCUUCUAUUAUAAAAAAUAUUUGUGAUACUUAAACAAUUUAUAUAACGAGAUAUUUACGGGGUCACACAAUAUUAAAGCACGUCUAAUGAAAAAUAUAACAAUCACCUAAAUAUUACAUAUCACAUGGAAUGACUUGUUCACAACUAUGUAUAUAAAAUUCAUAUAGAUAUAUAGCAUCUGAAUUUUUUCUCCUCUACUUGAUAUGGGAUAUCAAUUCUCUACACAAAUACUAUAUUUUCGUUGUAUCACACAAAAUCAUGAGACCAAAUAAACAAAUAUCCAUUUAGGCUCAAAGUGGACUAUGUUUAUAUCGUUGGAAAUGAGUUAUUACAAAUAAUAUUAAUACCGAUUCUCCCAAGUAUGAGAGUUUAUUUAACCGUAUAACGAGUAUUUGUCUAUUUAACCUCACAAUCUCAUAAUGUACGAUAUUGUUUAUGCAUAAAAAGUGAUUGUAAUAUCUUAUAUCAGAUAAGGAAAAAAAUCAUUAUGUACUACAUAUUUAUUAGUUAUUUUUAAUCACGUAGAUAUGUUUUUAAACUAUAAGAGUUAAUUUUAAUUCAAAAUAGACAAUAUCAACAUGAUUAAAAAUAGACUAUUACAAAAUGGUAUUAUAAUUGACCCAUAAGAAUUUAUUUAAUUUUAUAAAAAGUAUUUAUCUAUUUGGUUCCACAACUUGUAAUGUAAAUGGAAAAAAUGUUAUUGACGAUAUAUAUAUUUUGAGUUAUUUUAAUUAUGUAGACAUGUUUUAAAUUCGUUAUAACUUAAUUCAUAAAGUGUUUAAAAUACAUGAUGUAGUUUACGAUAUGUUAUAAAAUGAAAAAUAUUUAUAAAUUAUAGUAUUAAGAAUUUUAUCAAAAAAUUAUAAUCAACCUGUUUAUAUGGUUAUAUACAAAAGAAAUCUUAUUUAUUUAUUUGUCAUAUAAAAUAUAUGUACGGUUAUAAAUAACUAAAAAUGGAGGGAAAAUUUCACAAAUUCCCCAAAUGAAAAACAACUAAACUUUAACAAAUGCUCGAGGAUUAUUUUUAAAAUAAUUCGUGAUAUUUGAGAAUGCUAUAACUUUCAUAUUAUAGUUAACAAAAUUUCAUUAUUGAAAACGAUUGAGUUUUUGAAAACUUCCUCCACCCUUAUUUUCUUUUGAUUUUGUUGGAGACCCUUUUCAAAAACGUUAUUCGGAAAAAACCCCCCUGGGACGACUUUCUGUGCAUCUACGCCCCUCUAUCCCUUUUUUGUGUUCAUCUCAGCUUCUCAGUGCUCUACUGUUCUCCCCGAGGUCUCAGAGUCUCUCAACCAUGGCCGAAAGCGAGACCCCUAAAACGAGGCCUCGACCGCUGGUGCGGUUGGGGAUCUUCCUCAUUUCCCACAGCCUCCUCGUAAGGUACUCUUGAUCUUUCAUGAUUGGCCUCUACGUAUCCAAAAGUCAGUUUAUAGUUUAUUGAUCUGAAUUUAAUGAUUCCGGUGGUGGGUUUGGUUUGUUGAUUUAAAUUCGCGAUUCUAAUGAUGGGCUUGGGUGUGUCAGCGUUGUUUGCUGUACAGCGGGGGUUCUGGCUCUCUUACUCUUGCCUGUUCUCGCCAAGAAUACCUAUAUUUCUGAAAAUGCCCUCAUGCCAGGUCAAUUCAUUCGAUCCUUUUUUUCUUCUUCUGUUUUAAUACUGGUUUUCGAAUUUUUUGGAAGAUGGGUUGUGAUAAUUCGAAUGUUUGUAGUCUUGCUAUUAGGAGUUUUCUUAACGCACGACUUGGUCGCUGAGAAUAUCGAGGAAAUGGAAAUAGAGUGAGACUUUAGAUCGAGGAAAAAAAUUGACUCAGCUAAAUCAACUAGUUGUGUUAGGUUUGGUUAAGUGAGACGGUUGGUUUCUGAGCCCUAAAUGGAGCAUUAAUGGGAUUUGUUUGGUUGCCGAGAAAACUGAGGAAAACAGACAAGUAUAAGACCGUGAACCUUAUGCUUUAUGUUGUUCUGGGUUAUGGAAAAUGAAAAUAACCUAGUUGUGUCGAGGUUAGUUAAGUGAGGCUUUGGGGUUUUGCAUAAUGUUAUCUUAAAUUCAUAAUUCAAUUUCUUUUAUUUUCCUACUUUUAUUGGCUCAUGGAUUUUAUUUUCUGCCUUAUUUUGUAAUAUCCGGAGGUUAUGUGUAGGUCCACUGUUAGAAUUGCAUAUCAAUUUUUCAUAUAGCAUGGAUUACCUUUGUGGUUUCUAUGGAAGAAUUUGAGUUACUGGUUUCAGUUGCGUCAUCCAUUAAUCUGGCUGAACUGUUAAUUCACAGGUUCUGCCAAUGCCAUGCUCUCUUCUGAAGACAUCUCAGAGGCACAUAGAUUCAUGAAUGAUUUAACUGGUUUGAAUUUGAAAACCGGUGAAACAGGCAUGUAUGUGUUCGCUCUACAGAGUGCUUUUGUGUUUUCUUUAAAUUUAAAUGGCUUGCUCCUGUACUCUACUGCAGGGUUUGACCAUUUUUGUCAUGAAACAUACACCAACAUGGUAUGUUUCAGGAUAUGCAUCUGGCACUGAAGACUGAUAUGAAGUAUUUUCUAUCUGCUUAACCUGAAUAAGCCCUGGGCUUAUGUAAAUAUGUUCCUCCUCUGAAAUUGUGUUUGUUAUUUUUGAUGCUUGUCUGCACUUGCUUGUGUUCAAUUUGUAAGUGUGCACAUGUUUGCGUAUGUUUUCUAUAAAAAGCAAAUAUAUAUGAUUCAGUAUGUCCUGCCCUCCUAGGUAUUAAGUGAAAGCGCUUAGAGUUAAACCAUUCAUUUUGGCUCAAAAUACAAAAUAUGUAAUGCUUUUGGAGAUUGUCAUAGUUCACUCUGGUACUCCUGGGGUUUCUGAUUGUAGCAUUUUUCCAUGAAGUAGGAAGCCUGCACAUUGCAUGUUUGCUGCUCUGUUCUCUAUUCUGUGUUAUUGGAUUAUUGGAUACCUGCAUAGGAGAGUUUUCUUGAUUGGAUAACCACAUUGUGGGUGUUUAUUCCUGGCAGCAUCAUUGCUGCACUAAAUGUAAUGUAGAAGUGCAUGAUGCUUGAUCUUGUUACCAAGAUACUUCACUCAUACUAGAAACCUGGUUUUCAAAUGACUUCCAAUAUCAUUUUGUAACACAGUUGUCUUGAUACUUUCAUGAAAAAUCAAGAGUUGUCCUAGAAACAUUCUAUUGAAUAUAUGGCCAUAAAUCUUCCAUUACAUAACAUGAUGAUAAAUUAAUAAUGUGGGCUGUCAAUCCAAGCCAUUAUGUUAAUUUUUAUAGUAUUGUGUUUUAGAUGCAUUUUAUGGUUUUAUUACAGGAUACCUUAUAGCCUUCUUUACCAAGCAGAGCUUAUUACAACAUUUGAUAAAUCAACAGAAAUAGUAUUAAUCCUAAAAAGAGACAGCAUACAAGAUAAAUAAAGAUGGCAUUCCCUGCCAAUGGAUUAAAUUUGGCUUUCGUUUGAAUUCUGAUCAAAUGUCACUAGAAGUUAUAAGAUGAUUUGCAUUCAUUCUAGAAUUUUCCGUUUUUUUGUUCCUUUAAAAGAACCGAGUGUUCCCUCAUGAACUGUGUGUUCCCUCAUUUUCUUAAAAGAGCUUGUCCUGUUGCCAACACUGCACAGUCAGGUUUUCUAUCCUGUAGUGAUUCUUAUCAACUUUUUGUUAUGCUUCUUUUCCCUCUUUGCUUGGUUCUAAUUGUAGGUUCAAAAAGUUGGUUGGACAAUAACGUAUGUUCAUGUUUUAUCGUUCUAUAAACCUUCCUGAAUAUUUACUUUUAUAUAGCUGCACUAUUCUAGUCUGCUAUUGCUCGCUAUAAUUGUUCUGUUUGCAAAUUAACUUUUUAUUGGUCAUUCUUCUUGACUGCUCCAUCCCCCUUCCACCCCCACCCCCGUUGCUAGUGCUCACUCUAAUUUUUCUGUUUGCAAAUUAACUUUUUCUUGGUCAUUCUUCUUCACAGUUCGAUCCCCCUUCCAACCCCACCCCCAUGCCACCCCAAAAAAAGAAUAAAAGAAGAGGAAUUUCAAGUUCAGAAUUUCAUAUACCUCAAUAAGGAGAAAAAACUGAUGCAGUUCUGUCCCAUUUUCUUGUGAGGUUUAACAUGUUAUCCUUGUUCGCAUUCUAAUGCAGAGAAAGUUCAAGACUUAUAGCACGGUACAUGUCAGACUUGGGUGCUGACGUUAAUUAUCACAAGUUCCACCCUCAACCGAAUCAGUUUCGUCCCCUGCACUUCUUUUCCAACUCUGAUUCUAGGAUAAUUCAAGAGAACAUCUGUUGUUCAUCACAUGGUGUUAAUACUGUCGGAAUAAUAAGAGCUCCCCGUGGUGAUGGGAAGGAAGCUAUUGUCUUGGUGACACCUUAUAAUUCUCAUAAGAUUGAUCUGGCUGAGGCUUUAUCAUUGGCUAUUGCGUACUCAGUAUUCUCCUUACUUACCCGAGUUACAUGGCUGGCCAAGGAUAUUAUAUGGCUCGCUGCAGAUUCAAAAUAUGGAGAAUAUGCUUCAGUAUCUGCAUGGCUAAGAGAUUAUCAAACACCUGUAUUUGGUGAUUUCGAGAAACCAUAUUCUGAGAUUUGUUGUGAAAGCAAUGCUCGUCAUGGAUUGAAAGAGAGUGAAAUUACAGAGAGAAAAAUAUCUGAUGUUUUUAGACGUGCUGGGACUAUGGCUGCUGCUCUUGUCAUUAAGGUUUCAGAUGGAAACAAACAGGCUGACGGCACACUCAGUAUAUAUGCUGAAGCUUCUAAUGGUCAGAUGCCAAACCUAGAUCUCAUUAAUAUUGUGAACAAUUUAGCAGUACAUAGGCAAGGUUUGCAAGUAAAAGUAGAGAAAUUGUUGUCUUUACUCGACUCCAAAUGGCUAAGGAUUUUGGGUGAGGUUUUUGAGUCAGUAGGAAAUAUAGCUAGGAGCUUAAAUCCCCAAUGGAAAUUUGGUAUUCCUGCUGCAGAUUAUAUGGAAGGAGCUGCCACACUUGCAAGUUCUUUGUAUUACCAGGUGCAUAGCACUUUUAGUUGUUUAUUUGUUAUCUUUGUGACAAAAGUGGUUUGAGGGGGAGGGUUUGGGUGGUUGAUACUUUCUAUUUCAUGUUCUGCAUUUGAAAGGAUAAACAUAUUUGGUUUUUCUCACUAAUAACUAAGAGUUGUGUUUAUAUUUCCUGCUGCCAGGCAUUGGGUGUUCCCACUGGCUCCCAUGGUGCUUUUCGUGAUUACCAAGUCGAUGCAAUUACUUUGGAGAUUUCACCUAAAGUUGCUUUGAAUAAUAAGAUCAGGCAAACAGAGUUUCUUCAGCGUGGUGGCCGGUAAGUUCUUAUUUCAUCUCUUCUGUUUCUAUAUAUGACCUGCCUUUUUAACCAUCAAAGGAUUCCUAGAAAUUUAGGAUAUCUGAGUAAAGGUUUCGGAAACCUUUGGUUAGAUGGAUUUUUUGACACAAAAACUUUCAAGGGCUAUGGCCCACAUAUGAUGCCUGUAAUGGUUCUCCAACUGUGGGACGGUCUCCAUAUUUUAUUUUCAUUAUCACUUUCCCAUAAUUUUAAUCUUACUUUUCUAAUUUCUAAAGCUGUGUUAGGAUCUCUCUUUGACUUCCUAUACUUGUACUCUAGUUUUGUUGUCAUGGUAGAAUUGCUUUGUGUUGCUACACCAACGCCUUUUUUCUUUCUUUUUACUGAAUGCCGGUGAAAGCCUUGGUCUCAUGUGAACUGUUAAACAAACUCUUGGUGCAAGUUAUGCCUAUUGUUUAUUGGGGUUUGAAGAGGCAAGUUUGAGAAUCUUGUUUGUGAAUUGGUAGAGAAAUUGAACAUUUUUCUCAUAAGCACUGAAAAUACUAACAUCUAUAUAUAUAAUGGGUGAUUUUUUAAGGGAAAAACUAUCCAUUUCUCAUAAAACAUUUCGAGUCUAUGUUAUUCUAUGAAUAUUCUGCAUCUCAAAAGCUACUUUCAACCAAGAACUAGUAUGAUUCAGUGCAAAGCCUCUUCCUUCAUAGUGUUCUUACAUUCAUAUGCCUCCCUGUUGAUCGAUAUUUAUUAUUUGUUAAUUUGCUUUACAGUGAUUAUUAUUGGGGUUCUGGAUAUCCUUUAUCUUGUAUCAUUGUUGUUUAAGGUUUCUGGGUUGCUUGCUGCAGGUUGAUUGAAGGAGUCAUACGAUCAGUAAACAACCUCCUUGAGAAGUUCCACCAGUCAUUUUUUCUUUACCUUUUAACAUCUCCCAGCAAGUUCGUUUCAGUAGGAGUCUAUAUGAUUGCUUUUGCGCUCCUUGUUGCACCUCUUCCAAUAGUUGCAGCUUCUCUCUAUUCUGAUGCUAAUAAAUGGGAUUCUAGUCUGAAGAAACAUGACCCUACGUCUUCCCCAAAGUCUGCUGAUGAUGAGCAUAGAAACAUCCUUCGAUCUUGGAAAUGGCUUUAUGCAGCAAAACAAGUAUUCAUUAUCCAUUCUUGGGGUGUUCUUGUGUCGUUACUUCCUUAUUUGAUAUGUCAAAUGCCCAACUGGAUGAGCAAAGUUCUAACCUGGCUUAUUUUGGGUUCGCCAAUUAUAGAUGCUGAUGCGUCUCAAUCUCAGAAAAGGGAAUGGGCUAUCUUGAAAUCAGUGACAAUCUCAGCUGCAUUUAUUGGUUUGUGCCUUAUGUCUGUUAUUAACUUCGCCACUGCAGAGAUUGGGGCUUUAUUGUUGGUACCAAUGUGUUUAUUAGCUCAUCCAUUGAGGCUGGAUGUUAGAGCUCAUAGUUUGAAAGCUUUCACCAGGGCAGGUUGUAAUCUGGUUCUGGGAUUCAUUGGAUUUCCACCUGCUGCAUUUUUUGUGUUGAAAGGUUCAUUUGAAGGUUUUGAAAGUGUCAACAUCAGCGACUUCUGGAAUUGGAUCGAGUCCCUUUGGGCAUGGAACAGUGCCACUUACCUUUAUAUAGGUAUGGUUCACCUGCCUUGCUGGGCAUUAUGCAUUUGGAUUUUGCUUCAUCCUUGUUAACACUUCCUCCCAGUUUUGUGCUGUGCAUUAUUAGUUAGAGCUGAAAAAGACGGAUUAAGGCCCUUUUUAUAUUAAUUUGUGUGGGGUGUGUACUCUCCAUCAUCUGAAUUUUACAUUGGAAAUCUAACUGUAUCAUAGGCUUGGAUGCUAGGGACUUUAUAGGGAUUUUGAAAAAAAUACAGCAAUUUUAAAAAUAUUGUUCAAGAUAUGACACUUUUGAAACUAUUUACAAAUAUAUGACACUUUAUCCAAUUGAAAGUUGUUUUUUGAAGAGAUAACUUCAGUUGACUUUUUGACUUUUUUAUUUGAAUUGAAGUUAUUUUUUCAAAGGCAUCUUCUAAUUGGAAUUAUAGAAAGUGUGGAAGUUUGAAAAUAUUUUAAUAAAUAUAUAUAUUUUUUUAAGAAAUGGUAUUUUUGUCAAAAAAAUCCAGCUUUAUGAAAUAGAGCAGAUGUGACGGGCAAGACUACAUGAGGUUGAUUGGUUAUCAAAUAAAUGGUAAUAUAGAAAGGAAGCUGAUUGAUCAGACAAUUAAAACUUGUAGAGUGAGGAAUAUCAUUGGUAGGAUUGCUUAGUUUACUCAAAUGAGUGCUGAACUCUUGGGCUUGCAAGCUGACCAUGAGUUUAAACCCAAUCCAACCUACAAUGGGGUCUGAUUGAUGAAGGCAUUAUAAGAUUGUAGUUUGUGACCAUCUACGAGGCUUUCUCUCAUGGUAAAUUUGAUAUUCACUGAAUUCUUACAGGUGCACCUGUACCAUAGGGCAUUAUUAAUCAGUUUAAGAAAUGAAUGAAGAAUUUAUGGGUUAAAACUUAAAAGCAGGUUCUUUGGGUCUGAAAACCUAGCUUAAUCUGGAUUUUGCAGCAUGGACCGGAUGGAUUGGGUUUAGUACAGGGUGGGGACCAAAACCCAUAACCUAAAAACCUGCAUUGGAUACCUUUUAAUCCAUGGCAGUGAUCCCUUUUGUAUGGAGUAUAGAUUGGUUUUCAACUUGGCUCUCCCUGUCUCAUCUGUCUAUUCCCUAGAAGAGAGGGAUUAUGAAAGGAAAAUCAGCUUGUUUAUUCCCAUAAAAUAUGGUGGUGUGGACAUCUUUCCUUUGAAUUGAAGGGAAUCAUCUAAAAAAAAGGCCAUUUGGCUUGUUAUCAGAGUAAAGAAAGGUGCUUGCUUAGUGCUGCUAAUGGAAGUAAAUUGAAGUGAAAGAAGAAGAAAGAUUGAUGAAGACCAGCCCUCUCGCUGACACGGAUUAUGCUCCCCAUGGAAUAUAUUUAUUGUUUUGGACAAUCAAAGAAGAUGCCCAGAGGUUAAAAGGCAAUAUUCCACACCCACCUCCACAGGUAAGGAACUUAUAAUAGCAUCAAAAUCCUUUAAUUACUUCAUCCUUUUUCUGCUUGAAUAGUGAAAACUCUCCAUAUAUUUUCCCAUAGGUUUAAGUCUUGUGUUUUAUUAUUUAUUAUCCAAAGUGUCUUCUAGGAAUCUUUGCCUGUGGUACUUUGAAGCCAUGCCUUUUUUAUGGCCAGCAUCAACCUAGUGUGGGGCUGCCCACUAGUGGUUGCGUUUGAUAGUUGAUCUCUGCAGGGUAAAGAUCAGUUGUGGGGCUGGUUCUUACGUCCCUAGUUUCAUUUUCAACCACAUGUGUUACAAAACAAAAGAUCAUGCAUGACACGAUUGCUUCUUGUUUGGCUCAAAAUGGUGGUCCGGAGGCCCACACAUUCAUAGUUAGAAUUUCUAGAAGAAUAAAUAUGAAUAGAUGGAUUCAACAAAUUAAUGCGUAUAUUUCAAUUUUUUAAAUUAAUUAUAAAAGCACAUAUUCUCAUUAGCAUGUGGCAAUAUUAAAAAUUCAAACCUUUUUUUUAACCUUCAAAUAAAAUCAUCUUUUACUUUUAAAAUAGAUUGUGGUGGAAAAGAGUUACUAAGAGUUUGUUUGAUAAUUGUUUUAGAAAAGAGAUUUUUGUUCUCUAUGAUAAAAAAACAGAAAAGUAUGUUUGAUAACUAAAAAAUAGAAAUGUGGAAUUGAGACGAGCUGGUUUGUCGAUUGACUCGGGAUGUGGACCGAUGUGGCUCGAGGUGGUGGCCCAAGCUCGGACUGUAGUCAUGCCCAUGGAAACGUCGUUGCCUCGAUUGUGGAACGCAAUGCGCACUGUCGUGGCAUGCCUCUAGGCACCUAUGUGCUUAGGGCAUCGAUCCAUGGAUCCCCCAUUCGACCUGUCUUGAAACACAAAUCAAGGAGUUUGACAUAUGUGCGAGUCAUCGGGUCAGUAAACCUGUAAAGUCCAAGGAAGCUGAUUGGCGGGAUCUCUCUUUGCAGGGUGCACCGUUGACUGUCCUCGUCUAAUAGUUUUCUAUUUCUAAAAACAUAAAAUAUGAUGUUUUUAAAGAAUAAUUUUUAGUUGUUUUUACUUAUUUUAUAAUAACCGUUUUAAAAAAUAAUUAUAUAAAUAUGCAUAAUAAUUAAAAAUCAAGUACCAUAUAAAAAAUUAGAUUGAAAACAACUUUGGUUCUUAAAUAGACAUUUGUUUUAGAAAGGGUCAGAACGUUUCUUGAAAAUUGUUAUGAAAUAAAGCCUAAAACUACGUUUUGUUAGUUGAAGUGAUUGAUUUUGAUCCAAAAUAAAAAAAUUGUUUUGGAGUGAUUUUAAAAGGAUUAGAAGGCCAUCUUAAAUGGUAGGGCAUUCGUCAAGGAAAUAAUACUUUUGGAUUGUUGCAAGUAUUUUUAGGAGUUGGAUCAAGUCUGCAUCUAAUAAAAGAAACAGUGAUUAAUUUCAUGCAUGGAUUUUGAGGUAGAGACUAGAGAGUGGGGUAGGGUGGCGUUGCACGUGACGAAAACAAAGCUUGAUGUGUUUUAUUGGGAGUGUGAGGGUUUAGCUGUGACAGCUGCCUUGGAACAACAAAAUAUAUAUUUAAUUUUCUAUAUAAUUGAGUUGUAAUUUAUAUUUGUUAAUUAUUUUUUUAUUUUACGUAAUAUUUAGUCCAUUUAAUCUAUCAUCUCACGCAUGACGCAACAUGAGGUGCGAGUGGAUUUUCUGGCGUUGUUGGUGUCCAUAUUUAAUUUCCUUUCACGAAAUUGCGACGGCACAUGAGGUGGCGUCUGAAAACAACGCCAACAUUGAGACCAAAACCAUUCGUCUUCCUCCCAUGUAAAGCGCGUUGUAAUUAAAAAGUAAAUAUGAAUGUUUUUUUAAGAAUAAUAAUGCAAAUGGGGAAGACAAACAUAAAAAGGAAUCCUUUCCUUUACAUACCUUUCUUAUAAUUUAUUACAAAUAAAUCAUAAGGAUUAAAAAAAUUGAUGGGAUGGGGUGCCACGUGGGUAUUUUUUUUAAUUUAUAAAUUUAUAAAAUGCAUAGAUUUUUUAAUAUGAAAAUUGGGUAGUUAAUGUUAUUUGAUGAGCAUGAUAAUUGGGAUGGGUCCAGCCGUCGAGGCCCUCGCCAUUUUUAUUCUCCUAACAGAAGGUGUGUGACACGUAUAUUGAAACCGCGAGUAGGCAAAUAUAGGCAUUUCACACCUCUUUCAUUUCUGUCUUCCUCCCUCACCUAAUCAGAACUCUUUCCUUCUCACAAAUUCUGAAAUUCCUACAAAGAACCAGAAAAAAGGCGAGAGAGAAAGAAGGAAAGUGAGAGAAAAGCAGAGAAAAUACCCUUCUAAACGCUGCGUUUUGGCAAGACCUAAGCGACAAUGUUCUUCUUUUAAUUCUUCUUGCUCAUCAUCGUCGGCGGUCAGUUGAACUUGGAGCUGUGGGUGGCACUUGGCUGAUGGAUACAAUCCUCUGUGACGAACUCCUCCAGGAAAUUUUCCACCGUCUUCCUUCCUCUUCAUUCCCCGCCGUCUCUCUCGUCUCCCGCCGCUGGCUCCGCCUCUACCGCACCUCCAGAACUUCCCUCUCUCUCUGUAUCCCCCCUCGUAAUUCUACUGUCGGUCCUCCCUGUGUGUUGUCUCUUCUUUCUCUUUAUCCUUUUCUCUCUUCCCUCUCUAUAUCCUCCACCGAUUCCACCACCGCCUUCUCCGACUACCUCCUCCGCUCUGUCUCGUCUUCUUGCUCCACUCUACGCCGCCUCAGCUUCUUGGUCGGCCCUGUCUCGCUAUCCGCCCUUGUUUCUCUGUCUGCUUCCUUUACCCAACUCACCUCUCUCACUAUUUCUCUCUCGACUCCUCUCUUUCUCAGGUGGGUAGGUUUUUUGCCUGCUCUGAAAGAGUUAUCGAUUAUUAUAUGUUCCAGAGAUGUUGUAGAAUUUGAUUCUAAAGAAGAAGAUGGGUUGUGGGUAAAUGAAGGUUCUGAUUCAGAAUUGCCUUUGGAAAGUCUUUGCUUGUCGGGCCUUGGGUCCGAUGUUUACGGUAUCGGUUGGCUAUGGAGGAGCUGUAAAAAGCUUCGAAAAUUGCGCCUCUGCAACUGUGAGAGUAUCGGUGAUGGAGGGUCGUUUUCGUCAUUUGAUACGUGUAUACAGGGUCUUCAAGAAGUGGAGCUCAGAACAUGUAGGAGUAUUGUUGAUGGGGUUUUACUGAAAUUAGCUCAGAAUUGUUUAUCUCUGGAUUCCUUAUUGGUUUAUGAUGGUGGCAGUGAAGAGGGUUUUCUAAGGUUCAUUAACCAAUGUCGGUGUAAUUUGAGGAAACUUGAUCUUAGGUUACCUCUCGACCUCCAUAAUAGUCACCUCUUGGCUAUUGCCCAGAAUUGCAGGGGCCUCUCCUGUAUUCGGCUCCAAAGUUGCUGUCUUGUUACUGGCGAUGGCCUCAAGAGUCUAGUAAUAGCCAUGGGUAAUGGGCUUGAAGAAUUGGCACUCAUAAAUUGUGAUGUGGUGGAAAGGGUACCUGGGAUGCUCACCACAUUAGGACAAAACUUAAAGGGGUUGAGGAAAUUGGAUUUAUCUUAUAAUGAAAUGUUGUUGGAUAAGGAGUUUAUUUCGAUGCUCGUUUCAUGUAAUUAUCUGAUUGAUUUGAGGUUAAGAGGGUGUAGACGGCUAACUGGUGCAGCCUUGGUUUCUACUAUUAAAAACUGCAAAUAUUUGGAGAACUUAGAUAUCAUGAAUUGUUCUGGGAUAAAGGCUGAUGCUGUUGAGGCAUUUGUUUUGAAUUCUCGUCGGUUGAGACACUUGUUGGUUGAGGAAAGCAAGCUAUCAGUGUUGCAUGAACAUGGGCAUCAAAUUAAUUUAUCAAGGUUAAUGUUUGAUUAGUCAAAUUGAUGGUAGAAGAACUGCAAUUUCUGUUAUUUGCAGUGUCAGAAGGAAAUGGUUCAUAUUUCCCAUUUCUUGGUCCAUCUCUGAUUAUGAAUGCUUAUGUUUUACAUUGUUUGUGUUGUGAAAUUGAGAGUAGUUCACUCUGCUCGGUCAAUAAUAAUGCUUGUACAGAUGCUUGAAUACUUCAAUGUUGUGUGAUUGAAUCAGUUGUAUGUGAGUAUUCCUUAUUUGUUAUAAUCUAAAAAAACCACAUUUUUUUAGUUCUUUAUUGUGCUGUUUGCUUCUACCGAACAUGCCGAACAUUGCAACUACUUUUGGUGUCUUCAAUUGCUUUUCAGUUUGUAAUUCAUACAUAGACUAUUUCCAAAUUCAGUCUUUUAUUGCAUAAGUUUUUGUUUGAAAAUCAAGUAGCCAAUAGCCUUGAUUUUUUUGCCUUGGUUAUUCAUAUUAGAUUAAAGGGAACGAUUAAGUCCACAAUUUCUAUAUAUUUGACUAUUGUUUUUCAUAUUUAUUUGCGGUUGACCCUGUGCAUGGUGGUUAUAUGUUUGAAAUAUAAAGUAUACAAGGACAAAGCAAUGGGGCAGGUGAAGUUUAUUUUCUCCAUUACCCUUCGGCUUUCUCCUUCAUCUCCUCCUAUCCUUCCCCCAUGCAAAGUCUAGAAGUCACUAUAAGCCCAACAUCACUCAAUUAAAGCCAAAAAUUCAAUGAUCCUAUAAUCCCUCCUCUAAAGAAGUGUGGCUUUGUAUCUACUCCGGCUUAGAGACUGGCUUUUCACAAUUGAAUUCAGGAUUAAGAAGCUUUUAGUUCUUCUUGCAAGCAAGUUGUUUGGAAUUUUGAAUAGCUUUGUUGAGUGUAGGUUGUGUAAGGCACUAAUGGAGACAUGAGUAGAAGGCAUUAGUCAGUCUAAACCAUCAAACAAUGAACAUAGCAUCCUUGGAUGAGGUUAUGAAGUUCUAACUUCUCAGUGGUUGUUCAAGAGUUCUCUACGUUUGUGUAGCUCAAAAGUGCCUACUACCCUGCAAGAGCAAAGGAUGAGCACAGAGGACAUGGUAAUGAAACAAUUGGUUUACUGAAAGUUUGAAAGCAGAAAUGAGCUGGCUACAAUGGUCCUCUUUUCAUCAUAGGCAACGGUUAUGUUGGUGAAUUGUUCAUCUGGAGUACUUAAAGAGUAUCUUCCUCUAUUUUCAGGGUUCUUUUUUUGAAAGGAAUGAUAAAUUUUCAUAGUUGGUGAAUUGUUCAUCUGGAGUGCUUAGAGUAUCUUUCUCGUUCAGGGCUCAAGUUUUUAUCAAUUUUCAAGAAAUGUUGGUGUAACACUUAAAAAUUCUACAUGUUUGUGUAGCUCAAAAGUGCCUACUACCCUGUAAGAGGGAAGGAUGAGCACAGAGGACAUGAUAAUGAAACAAUCUAUUUACUGAAAGUUUGAAAGCUGAAACAUACUGACUACUUGCCUUAUUAACAGCAAAAUAUGAGUUGCUGUUUAGGCCUGAGAAUUUCAAGAAGAGCAGGAGAAAUGAGCUGGCUACGAUGGUCCUUUUUUCAUCAUGGGCAGUACUUAUGUUGGAGAAUUGUUCAUCUGGAGUACUUGAGUUAAAAGAGUGUCUUCCUCUAUUUUCAGGGUUCUUCCUCUGAAAGGAAUGAUAAAUUUCCGUGGUUGGUGAAUUGUUCAUCUGGAGUACUUUAAGGGUAUCUUUCUCAUUCAGGGCUCCCCCUUUGGCAGGAAUUACCAAUUUUCAAGAAAUCUUCUUAAAAAUCCUUUUGUUUUCCAUUAGAUGCUGCAGCCAAUGUUUACUCUCUUGAGGAGAUUUUGGAGAGGCAAGGCUGAUCUCUCCUGUUCACAAACAUUACAUUCCUGGCAUUUCUCCUAGAUGGCCUUAUGAUAUGUGGGCAAUAUCAUUGCAGAAAUUCAUUAGGUUCUGUAUUGAUUUAAGAACUUGAAGCAUGAACUUGGAAAAAACGGGAAUCAUAGUUGGCAAUGAGCAGGACUUGCUAGUAGUCCUCAGGUGGCAUUGAAGAUGGUGUACCAUAGUUCAUAAAUGGCAAGCCAAAGUCAGCCAAAAAAAACAAAAGUCAUUCCAGUUGAAGGGUCGACCUUCAGAAAGGUAGAUGGAUUGAUCCUUCAGAGUUUAAUGCCUUUAAUCAGGUACUCUUGUAGGUGAGUUGACUUUUGCCGACUCUGAAUGAAAUGCAUUUGGGUGGAAGGUCCAGUUAGUCAUUCUUAAAUUUAUUCCCAAAAAUAUUAAAAAGUUUUAAAGUGAAUUUAAGAAGCUACGGCCACCCUUUUUAGAUGGGUCAUGUUCAGUAAGGAGCCCUUCCUGAGAUGUGGUCCUCCUCCAGAAUUGGUAUUUGUGCUUUUGGUUUUGUUGCUUGAAUUGUAACACAAAGCACCUGAAAUUUGAGGCUUGCUUAGACUGUGUUAUGAUGAGUCACGUUGGCUGCCUGCUUAAACUAAUCUUCAAGGCUUCUCCACACCCAUAUGGGAUAAAGAUUUGACCUCCACCUCUGGCACAGAAUGAGGUCAAACUAUUCAAAACCUUGAAAACUGUGUGGUGGAUUAGAUUAAAGCGUGAGAAAUUGGUCACGUUUAACAGACUAAUCCAGAUAAGAAUUAGGCCUAGUGUCGGUGCAUCAAUGUCAUGUAUUUCACAUGGAUCAUGCUUUGAUAUUUUGUCAUUAUCUCUUAUCCUUGUAGAUGCAUCCAUUUGAAUUUCAUUAUUUCUUCCUCCUGUGCUAUUAUUUCUCCUUGGUAUGCAUAAAUAAAUCAUUGCAGCCUACUUUCCUUCAUAUUAUCUUUGUCUUUUUCUAUUCUUCUCUAUCUCUCAACACAUUCAUCUAAGAAAAAUAUUCUGUGGUAGGGUUUCUUUCGGCUGUGGAUUAACAAUGCUCACUGUACAUAGAAAAAAGGGUCCUCCCCCCUUUUGAUUUUUUUUUCUUUUGUUUUGAACUUUGUUAGUUUGGAAUAUAUUGUGGAUAAGCAUAUUAGUUUCAGCUUUUAGAAAAAUUAGGAAAGGGAAAUGGAUCAAAACUCAUAGAAGAAUUGAGAAAAACUUCAAGAAAUGAUUAAACAUGCAAUAAUACAUAUUGAAGUUGUUUUAUCGAAGAAAAUAAUGUUUUACAAAAUUUGCGAUAUUUGACGAUGAUGUAAUGUGUACUGAUAAGAAAUAUGAAUUUUUAAAGUGUGCAUUUAAUAUUAAAGUUAAUAUUUAAUUUCUUUAAAUGUUAAUAGUUUAUAUAAAUUCCAUUCUAAUAGUUCUCUUUAAUACUAAAAUGAAAAUGAAUUGUGUCGGUGAUACUUGAGAAUGAAGUCUAUUUUGAUGGAGACAACAUUGGUGUCGUAAAGAGGAGUUUACAUAAUAUUGGUUGUGAUUAUGAAUACGUCACGCAUAAGUCUCUUGGUUCCUACCUAGUGCUUUUCUAUAGAUUGGAAACUUUUCAUCUCAUAAUCUGGAGUAGUCGGCUUUCACUUGUUACAUUAGAAUGAUAAAUGUUAAUCUCAUUUAAUGAGUCAUUGUGUCGACUCUAUACUUGUGGACUCAAAACUGAUUGAAAAAGACUCAGUGUCAAAUGCUAUCAUCCUUUCUUGUCUCCUUUUUCUAUAUGCCUUCCUAUAGCUAGGGAUAGCAAGAAAAGCCUAUUAAGGGGGGAUGCAUAGUAAUAAUCUAGGUUAGGGUUAGAGAUGAGGACCCUAUUUCAUGCCUCCUCCACACCUUGAUUGUAUAUAUAUAUAUGUAUACUUUUAUAUUUAAAAAUUAAAAAUAAAUAUAAAAAUUAUGAAAUUAAAAAGCUAAAAAGGAUUCCCCAUCCCCAUCCCCAUCCCUACCUCACCUAGUGUAAAAUGAGGAAUGAAGAAUAAAUUUACAAAGGGAGAUAGGGAUAAGGAAGCCCUCCUCAGCCUCGACCUGCUCUGUUUACAUCAUUACCGAUUACUUCUAUGCUUAGAUUAGCAUUUUUAGAUCCAUGGUUUUUGUCUUAGUCCAAUGUGUGAAAUCAAAUUCACUAAUGAGUUUAAUGGAUGUUGAUUUUGGUUAUGUUGUCCAACAUUCUCUCUACCAUGGCUGUCGUUAUCAUCAUCAUCUCUCUCCUUUUGAGAUAGUAUAGAUGAAACUAGAAGCAACAACACCAUUUCUUUGGUUAAGACUCAUGGAGUCAAUGGUAACACAAGGAGGUUGUAUUAGUGGUCGCAUUGCUUGCUCAAAUCAAUUUGCUUUGCCUUUACUAUGAACUUCUUCAAGCAACACUCUUCAAGUAUCAAUGCUAGCAUAAAAAACAUGUGUGACAAUUUGUGGAUUAGGAUUUCUGUGGUCAUUAUCUAACUUAGUCAACUUUAUCCAUCUACUGCAAAUGAUGAUACAUCCAUAAGGCUUCCAUUUUCCUUUUUGGGUAUUGGCACAAGCUUCCAUUUCAUUGUAUGCCUAAUCUUUAUCUCACAAGGAAAUGGAGUGGGUAGGCCUAUUGAUAUGUAAUAAAAAAAGUAAAAAUUAUUAUAAACAUAGUCACUAAGUAAUAUGCACAUUGUUAAUAUUUAAUAGUAAUUUCACUUAUAAUAAUUAUCUUGACAUGUUAUGCACUAACUAUCAUGUUUUUGAAGUGACGAGACAACACUUUUUAUGAAAAAAAAAUACUCUUCUAGAUGAAGAAUUUGCUAAUCAAUUACUUUAUGGUUUCUUUGAUUGAACUACUUUUGAACACAUCUUUAACACUAAUUGAACUAGAUGAUUUCAAGAGUGAUGGUGCAGGGUGUUGGAUUUGAGACUCGAAUACUUUGUAUUCAUUGAAUAAGUAUUAGUAUAUCGAAUACUUUGUAUUCGAUAAGCCUCUCUUUUGUUAGAGUGCCUUAUUAGUUGGGCACAUGUAUUCCUCAUCAUCAUCAUCAUUUGUUUGUUUUUGAUUUUCUAUCAUUGUGUCAUGUAAUUCAGCUUAAAUUUCCUUUGUAUGUAGAACAUUUUUUGUUUUUGCCUUACUCUUUUGUAUGGAAAACGCCUUUCUUCUUAGGUUUUAGGAGGCAUGUUGUGAUGGGUAUGUAGGUGAAAUAAUAAGCGAUCCAAUUUGAAUCUCCUUUUGUAUGUGGAGUCUUUUUUAUGUUUUUGUUUUACUCUUUUGUAUAAAAAAAACUUUUAUCUUUAUGUGGACUUUAUAAGACAUGUUAGAAUGAGUUUGACGGUUUGUAUGUGAUAAAUGAAAUUUAAAUUGUAUGAUACCAUCACUUUAAAUGCUAUAACGAUAAAAUAAGCAUUCUGUACUAUUUAUGUUCCCUUCCACUAUAAUACAACAAAAUUUCACCGACAAUCUCGUGUGCCACAUCCACAUCCACUAGCCAUUGGUUAUAAGCAUUGAAUUAAAAAAAUAAAUUGAAAUUUUGUAUGUCUAUAAGAGAAACCAUAUAUUAUUAAAUUAAAUUAAAUAUUAAAGUAAUAUUUUUUAGUUAUACAGAUAAAUUAAAUUAGAUUAAAUUAAAUUAAAUAUUCAAGUGAUAUUUAAAUUAAAGAAAUUAAAUAAAUACCUUAAAAAGUUAAAGAAAAAAUUAUACAAUUUUAAGGAUAAAUAAGAAUUCAUAUCUAAUUAAAUUAAAUGAGAAAUAAAAUUGAAAUUUAAUUCAUCAUAUUAAACAAUGACUUUACCAUCAUGUUUUGAAUGUUAAAAUAAAGAACGAGAAUUGAGAAUCAAUUUCAUUCAUAUUCAUUAAUGUAUAGAUUAUCUUUUUAGAAUGAGAAUAAAAAUAAAAAAUUUAUUAAUAUCAAAAUCAAAUCUUGUUCUAAGUAGGCUUUCAUUAAUAUGGAAAUCAAACUUCAUUUCAAUCCAAAAUAAAAUGAAUAUAGGUUUAAAUAUUGAACUAUAUAUACAAUUGAAAAUUAAUAUGAGAUUAAUUUUGAACAACUGCUUUUCCGACGCUUUUGGGUAGAUUGCCUGAAAAUCCCAUACCUUAAUCAUGUAUUCAUGUUGUUCAUCCUAGAUUAAUCAAUCUUUAAACUCUAAAAGUCAACGAAAUUGACGGCUUCAAUCCGCCCUUUUUCUUUACUCUUUAGCCAUCAGUCAUCACACGGUUGUCCAACCGGUGCCCGGAGAGAAAGACCAAAUGCAAAAAUGAUCGAAACCAAGAGACAAAAAUUAGAACCAAACAGGGUUCUAAUUGACGAAAUUGACGGCUUCAAUCCGCCCUUUUUCUUUACUCUUCACCCAUCACACGGUUGUCCAACCAGUGCCCGGAGAGAAAGACCAAACGCAAAAAUGAUCGAAACCAAGAGACAAAAAUUAGAACCAAACAGGGUAUUAGCCGCCACAGCCCGCUUUUCCCGGGCCUCCUCUUUUUGGCGGGAAACACGCUGCGGAAUGAAUCCAAAGUUUGAAACUUAGGUGUAGUUCUUCCCGCCAAAAAAGAAAAAAGAAAUUCAAACGGGCAGGUCGGGCAGCCCAAAACCGCGUAAAGCCGCCUCCGAGUCUCCGACCGAAGCCUCAAUAAGAAAAGGAGGAACGGAAGCCGAUGGAGAGUUUUUUUUUAAUGAGGUUUUACCGUCUUAGCAUUUGGAAAUAGGGGAAUCUUUUAUUAUGGUAACUUAGGAUUCCUUGUACCCCCAUGUGUACAUGUCUACCCCCUUCUCCUUCAUUGGAUUCCCCCCUCCCCUUUUUCCCAAUCCAAUUACCAACUACCCACAAUCAAACCCUUCUCUUUUUUCUCUCAUUCUCACUCCCCCUACAACCCACCGCCACUCUCUUCUUUUGACUUCUUUCUCAGCUACUUCAUUCUCAACUUUUUCCUUACUACUGACCUUACCCACUUAUUCCUCAUUUCAAAACCAAGGUUAAGUGCUUCCCCUUCAUGUUGUUGUGUCCAUGCAAUUUGUUUAACAAAUUUGUGAAGUAAAACCAUAGUCUCUCACCUUCUAAUCCUGCAUUUUUUGAGUACUUUUUUUUUAUAGUAAAACUGUGAAAUCUUCAUAAAUUUCUAUAGUGAUGAAGACCUAGUCCACUGCUAGCCACCAACCACAUGGCUCACUAGACAAUCAAUUCAUCUUCUGUUUGUUGUUAUUCAAAUAGUACACCCUAAUUUGUUUCCUUACGUUCUGGAAUCACUUUUUUAAUGUUUUAUUUCAACGCGGUUUUGACUCAAUAAUGAUAUCUUAGGACUAAUCUGAUACAGCAAUUAUUGGGCUAAGUUAGUGACAUUGGGUUUAGGCAGUGUAUUAGUGUAUUUCCCUUGACCUCCAUAACAGGGCUUCUUCAUUACAGCUCUAGGUGACAGGGUCCAGGGACUUGAGGAUUGGAUUUGAAAAUAUGCCUGUGGCUUCUAAUAAAGACCCUUUGGAUUGGCCUAACUGAUGAAUAUGCAGGCAAUCAUAUCAUUUGUUAUGUAGCUUUACUGUUGUCUCUAUCAAAUUAAAUGAUCUUUGUAAGGUCUCCAGAGACGAGCAAAUCCCAAGUUGGCCAUUAGGACUUGCUUAUGAGAGCUUCUUGGAGACGACAAGAAGAGGUCUUUCACCUUGUCCUCGCUUAUUCAAAAUCCAUUCAUUGAAUGUUACAGUGUUUGUCAUUUCCUCUGGAAAAAGUUUACUUUCUCGAGAGGGUUUACCUAGCAUGUGAAAAAGUACUUUCAUUACUGGGUGUAUUUUAUAUGCCUUUUGCCAUUUAACUGAUAAUUUAGUGGAUAGUCCUUAUGAUAAUCGUACAUGAAUGCAGCUUUGAGUGCACCUUUUAGUAGGUUUUUUUUUUUUCCCUUUUGUUCCUUUUGUUCUUUUGCAUACCCCAGAUUCAUGCUGAGAAAAAUAAUGUUCAUAACCUGUGAUUGAAAUAGCUUUGUGAAAUCGUAUGGCUUAUUUAGACUUAGGCCUGUAACAGUAGAUAAUAUGUUCAAAAACAGUGUAGUGAAAUUUGAGCUUAGCUUCCUCAAGAUUCAACCGGACGUUUUGCUUCAAAAUGAAACUUUCUUGGCAAGACUGUUGAUUUGGCAGGGUGCAGAGAAAAUAAAAGAGUACCAGGAAAAUAUUUCUAUCAGGAAAAAAAGGAAGGGAAAAAACCAACGGUCCAAAAUCAAUGCCAACUAACCAUAUUGGAGUUGACACUUAGGUCAUUCAAUUCAAAAUGACUACUAGCUAGCUGACAAAGGUGGAGCUUAAUUUUAACUUAAAAGUGUUGCAAGAUGCUUUGUUAAGUGGUUGUGAUCCCUAGAAAUCAUUAUUUAUAAUGCGAAAGGAAUCCUAGAUUAGUUGAACUUCCCCUUAUCACCUUUUACACAAAUCUCUUCUUGCUUGAUCAGGGGCAACAUACAUAUCCUGUCUGACUCCACCAUAAACAAAUGUGGGUUUGGUACAUGAUAAACAUGCCUCAAAUCUUAUCCUGAACCACAUCCAUUUACCAUGUUGAAGCCAAACCAGCAAACUGUCUUUGUCAAGAAGUGUUUGAACCAAACGAUGCUUAAACCCCACAUAGGAUUCUAAUCUAAAAUCUCCAUAUGCGUUUGUCCUUUUAUCACCAGUGAAGCAUGAGGAAGUUGGUUUGGCAUAGAGCUCUAAGUGAAGUGGGUCAUGGGAGUGGGGCACAGGAAGACUAAAGAGAGGGUGGCAGAGCAUAAAAAAAGGUACUUGCGCUGAGGAAGGUUGUGAAGGAUUUGUCACAGUCAACCAGUUGUAUGAAGCAUCCGUGCAGCAUCACCAGCCAUGAAAAAGAUAUCCUUUUACAUGUGUUGAGCAACUUUUGGAUUCUUAGCUAGAUAUUGACUGGCGUUUGGUGUCGUAUGCAAAUAACACAAAUGGAUGUGUCUCCGGAGAGGGAGAGAUGGGGACUUGGGAGAGAGUUCAAAACAAAAAUGUAAAGGGGAGGUGGUGGUGAAGGGACGAGGAAGUGGGAGUUGAUGAGUGGAGCAGAGCAGAGCAGAGACUUGAUGAAUGAUGAGUGGGGCAGAGUUCAUAAACAGUGAAACAUAAGAGUAAAAGGGCAGAGAGAUUCACUUAAGAAUCAUGAGCGGAGCAGGGUUGAUAAGCAUAGCAAAUAGCAAAUAUGAACUCUGCUCAUGCCAUUUUCAGCUUUACAAACAUGUGAGAUUGAGAGAGAGAGAUGAAAAAAAGAAGUCAGUUCAUCCAAGCUCAAAAUCCUCAAAACCUCACUUAACAUUAAGCACUGAAAGCAGUGCAUCUCAUUCCAACAAACAUGGAAAUAAGAAAGAAAAAGGAAAGAAAAGAGUAGGACUAGUAAUGCUAAACCAAAACAAAAACACUCGAAAAACAUACCAACGAGAAAAAUGAAAAACACUUGUCAUUAAGCAAAAAUGAAGAACUACACUAGACUACCGAUUUCAUAAACAUACUAUCUUUGUACAUCAUCAACUCUCCUCCACUACUGAGAACCGGAAAAAGAGGAACAAAGCAGAAACCAGAUUCAUGACUAUAUGGGUUCCAAAACCCCUCCUAAUCUCAACACCUUAAUUCGCCCUCUCAACAUGGCGUAUAAACACUGAUUCCAAAUCAGGAGGCGUGAAGAACUCCCUCACACCAUUCAAAUGACAUCUCGACGGCCGUCGCUUCCUAGGCGCCGGCGGGCACGGCAAUCUCUCCGGUAUUCUCGCUUCUUUCGUUGUCGGGGUCGUUGAACAUGCCUCGUCAUCGCUCUCCUUCUCUCUGGGCUUAGUACUCACGGGCCUCAACGGAGCCCGUAUCGAUAUUCCGGCGAUUACCCAUUUCUUACCCUCAGAUUCUAUACUUCCAUCCACUUGCGGCUUCUCCGAAAACCCCAUCUCCAAUUAGAACACCCAGAGCAACCCAGAUGCAGAACAACACCAAAGUGAAGAAAAAGAUGGGAUUUGAUCAAAGAAUCAGAACAAAUCAAGAAAAAUGGGAGAGAAAAUUGGUGUGGGAAAGGAAGAACAAAGAAUAAGCGAAAAGGGUCUUUGUUUCUAUGCGAAUAGUGUCGGAGAAGAAAAGAAGAGAGAAGUAGGUUCGAAUGAAGAACGAAUAUUGUGAAAGAGGAAAAGAGAUUAUAUUUGGGGGGAAAGCUUCGUGAGAUACAAAAAUGUUGGUGGUGAGCUGCCCGUUAAAUUACGGGCAGCCGAAACCGAGUGAAACUCUGAUUUUGGCGCCAAAAUUUGGGGUUUAGUUGAUAACGGCUCUAUUUCCCGCGUUUAUUUCCUUUCUUUUUUUGGUUGAUUUCCGGUUUUGCCCUCGCUUCGCAUUAUUGUUGUCUGGGAAGUGAUGCGGCCGCACGAUCACCGGUGAUCUUGAAGGCAAUGGAACGGUGUCGUUUUAAUCAAGAAAAACCAAAAACCUUUCAUUGGGCCUGGGCCAUUCAAAAUGACUGCUCCUAGGACAUCGGAGAACAGAACUGGAUUCAACUAGAAAAUUGGCUUCUUGAAAAAUGAUGAGAUAAAGCAUGAUUUUAAUUGGGUUGAAGUGAGAUUGAUCACCUCAAACACUGGGUCAAAGUUUUGAUUUCUGAAUUUGAAGCUAAACAUUUUUCCUUUCAAGAGUGGUAAUAGCAAGGUGUAAAAGUUCAGUCCAAAUCAGAAAAACACGAGAAGUAUUUAGAGUUCGUUUGAUAGUGAUUUUAAGAAGUGUUUUUAGUGUUUUCAAGUUGAAAAAAAAAAUAAAAACGUUUCCUAAAAUCAACACUUUUAGUUUUGAAUUCCCAUUCUCCCCAUACAUUAUUGCAACAGAUUCAGAAGCCUGUUAUUUGAAGAAUGAGUACUGUAGAUUAUUUAGGGUUUUUGACUAAUGGUGAAAAACCCACUCGUGAUUGGUUGGGUUGGCACCCUGCAGGAGAUGACACUGGACCUAAUAAGGAAAAGUGCAUUUCAAUUGUGAAACCCUUUGGAUUCCUUCAAAAAGCUUAACAACUUUCAUGUUCAAUUGUUCUUGCCAUCAUUCUGAUACUUUCAAUAGACCACCAAGAAAACAAAAAAAAAUGAUCUUAUUUCAAAAACUUCCUUCUAUCUCUAAAAAAUUCAAAGAGAUGUUUCAAAAUAUCCAUUCCCACCUUUAUAUUUCACCCUCAAGGGUGAAUAUUUUUUUCUUUCUGCCCUUUUCCUCAGAAAAGAAAAAGUCCACAAUCAGCUACUGGGCAUUAUUUUUCUAGGAAUGGAUUCCAUUUCCAUCAUCCCUUAGAAAACAAGCAUAUUGCUUUCGUGCUGAAAUCAGCCACCAUUUUCUCCACGCCACAGGCCUCCUAAUACAAACCCUCAUAUCAUAGGUUUCUGAUAUGCUCUGCUUCAGUGUCAAUGAGUGAUGGUACCAAAAGAAGAAAUUAAAAAAAGGGGGAAGGGGGUGGAGCAUGUUUAUCAGAUCUCAGCUGAUGCAGCAGUGGGGCCCCAUGGACGGCCUGCCAUCUUUGACAACCCAAUAAGAGGCCAGAACCAGAGAACCUCUGACAUGGCGCCACGUAUGCCACUAGGCUGUCCUCUACUUUUAAUUUCUGAUCAUAUGGUUGUCUUUCUCUGAGGUCCCAUCAAUGUUGGGCCCACCUGCACUCACUUCAAAUUGCAAUUUGCAACCCCAACUUCUGUUUCCCCAUCUUUUAUAAAUUAUUACUUAUCAGCUUUCCUUGUCACUGGGCGUUGCUGAUUCAAACCAUCCAACAACACGCACACAAGCCAGGCCUCCCCUGUUCAUCUACCAUUCAACCCAUGAAGCAGUAUCAUACUUUGAGACGUCUACAAUAAGUGUAACAUGCUUUUAAGUCAUAUUGAGAAUGACCCAAAUGGUAACAGCACCUACCCAAUUCCCUUUCUUGGGGUUUGUAGCAAUGACCUCAAACAACAGGGUCUCUGUUUCUAUUCCUUUUGGUUGGAAAGUAGUGAUUCUAUAGCCAACUCCUGACGGGUUGCCCAUAAACAUUAGAGACUUUUUUCACUUGGGAAGGGCAAAAGCCACAAAACAGAGCAAUAGACUUUCAAUUUUGCCACAUUUCAAUAUUUCCAGCUGGCUUAAAGAUUGGUGAAUGUUGAUUUCAUAUGAGGCAAUAUUUGAGUGCUGGUGACCUUCUCUGUUUUUGAACGGUCGUUGUUGCUUCAGAGGGUGGCUAAGCAACUGUCACUAACACUUGUCUUUUUGGUAAAAUGCUACAAAAUUUUGGGUUGGGUGAUUGAAUAAGGCAGAAGCCAAUUAUAGGCAUUUUUUUUCCCGAAAGAGUGGCCGAGGGGUCGGCAAUUGCUUUCAGAAACAAUUCUAAAAAAUAGUUUUUAAGAACUGAUUUUCGAUUUUUGUAGGACAAAGGUUUACUUGGAAACCUAAAAUAUUUUUAACCUAUUUUUAAUGUUUUAAAAAUAAUUUUUAUAUCUAACAUUUUAUUUUUAAUUAUUUUAGUACAAUUAUUUCCUAAAAUAAUUCUUCGAAAUAAGUGAAAAAAGCUAAAAUAUGUUAUCUAAAAAUACCGUAUUUUUUGUCCAUAAGAAUAGAAAACAGAAACCAAUUUUUAAUUAUUAAAUAUGUUUUCGAUAUUUUUUGUUCUAGAGAACAAAAAAUAGUUCCCCAAAGAGGUCCCAAGUUUUCAGAAGAUUUGGCUAAGCAUCAGAAGCAGAGUAUUAAGUAAAUAGCAAACUAGAAAUACUGCACAACAUAAAAGUAACAUUCCUCAUCUGGUUGAACACUCACGUAUGUGCUUGCUUGUAACCAGGGGCUUUCUAUGAUUUUCAUCCUAUAACAGUAAGCUGCAAAAGGACAAAAAUAAAAUGAAAAAAAAACAUAUAAAUUCAGUAUACCAUAGGGGCAUGGAAGCAUUUAGAAAAAUACUUGAUAACAUGGGAGACCUGAUGCAUGCAUGUUAUGACCACAAAUGAAAAAAAAAAUAGGAAAAGCUCUUUUCAAUUGAAAAAAUGGAAAAGCAAAAGCCAAGUUGAAAUCACCUCCAUCCAUCCACGUAGGGGCGGCUAAGAAUGACAAUAAAUAUUUGUUGGGUCGGUUUGAUUUGGAUUGUUUUUUUGUAAUGUUAUGCAACCCCUUUUAUUUAUACCUAUGCAUUAUUGUUUUCACUUUUCCCCUUGGGGCCUCUGUGACAUAUCGGUGACGCUCAUAAAAGAUACUUGUACUGCAACACAAAGAAUAAGCUGCUUUCUUUGGACAUUAUCAACAUGUUCUGUCACAUUAUUGGCUGGCAAAGCCAUCAGGAAUGUCCAUCACUAUCUAUAGAGUAGUCCAACCUAGAUGGUUCAAUUAACUGACCAGGUCUGGGGUGGUAAACACAUGACCAUUAUGGACAUUAACAAUAAAGAUUUGUGGGCAAAUAUUCUAAGCAGCAUUAUUUAACAUUAACAACAUUUUUUCAUGAAUAAUAUUCAUGUUGGAACUUUAUAUUUUAGUCCAAUGGAUUCCUAGGACACCAAAUUCUGGGACCCUCCAUGGUGGCUAACUCAGUCCAUGCAUAUAUAUUGUAUAUAUAAGACAGAAGAUUCCCUUCCUAUCUGUUUAGAUGUGCAUUAGGCUUUAUCUUUAAGUCUAAAUCAUUAUCAUUACCAUGGUAGAAUGUUAUGUUUGGACUUAUUACAGAAGUAAACCAAAUACAACCACUCAGUGGCACUUACUUUCCUUCUACUUAAUCACCUUUUGGACAAUUGAAACUAACCGUGACUUGAUCGUUCACUAAUUGAAAUGGGCACUUGAGAUGACAGAAUACCCAAGUAUUACUAAAACAAUAGGAAUAAAGUUUAAUCCAAACAUCCUACAUUGCUAAUUAAUAAAAAACAAACCGAGGCAGAUUUGAACUCACUUCCAUGCUAUUUGAACCUUGCUCUGAUGAAAUUGAGUGAAAAAUUUCAUUUUCCUGAAGCUAAGUUUCAAUGUGGAUUCUUUUUAAUUGCUUGAAUGUUUAGUCACUUCACUAAGAAUGUAUCCAUGAAUAUGCCCAUGAAUAUUUACUUACCUCUCUCUGGCAUCAGCAUUACUUUUGAAAGGGAAUAAUUCUUGGACUAGGCAAAAACAAUGCUGGGCAACAACAUCUACAGUUGACUAACAACCAUGAAAAGAACUGGUAUGCCCACAACAUACUUGUAUAGCCUUGUGAUAGAAGGAAAGACUAUUGGGAAUAUUGGUAGUUUCUCCCGUAAGUGGAAACAUCAGAAUGAUUUUAGCCUCAAGAGCAAUAGAUCUAACUGAAGGUAUGAUUUUCACUAAAGCUACAUUGGUCUACUAGGACAUGUGACGAAUCAAUCAAUGGGACCAUUGUAUAUCUGGCCAACACUCUAAUAUAAUAUCCCCCAUACCAAGUGGCAUUUUGUCAGUUCUUACCUACUUUUAGCAACAUACGCAUCAAGAGAUUAUUACUGAUAUCUAAUGUUCUGCAGAUUCAAAGUUUUAAACUCCCUUGAUCUAGAGCUGCCACAAUUUCAGAAGACAAAGACAUAUUAAGCUUACUUGGAGAGUUUGCCAGUUUGGAUCAAGAGAAUUCUGAGCCAUUUCACCUUCAUUUCAACCAGUCCUGUAUGAAGAAUGGCAACUGAGGCUUAUAUUCCAGAAUUCAUAUCUAUAACAGUAAGCAAGAUUGCCUCUUUAGUCAUAUGGUUUCCGCUUUGUGUUUUGCUGUUAUUUACAAUCGUUACCGGAUUGGAAUAUUGAAAUCUUGCAUCACCAUGGAUGAUUUGAACCACACUGUGUUUCUCUUGAUUUAUCAAUAUUCUUUAACAUUUAUUUCUGGAUUAUUGAAUUCCAGAAAUAACAGGCUUGCAGGAUCAUGAUACCUGAGACAAAUAUUAUGAAGUUCCUGCAAUUUAGAUUUACACCAGAACCAUGAACUAACAAACUAUUUAGUUCUGAAACUCUAUGGUUCACUAAUAAGCCCUAUUCAUACUUUUUGUAUCAGAAUAUACAGUUCUCCCUUUUUGAUCAGAACAUAGUCCAAAAGACAAAAGGUUGCUACUUUUUCAAGCUUUAUUUCUCAGUAGUAUGCUUUUCUCUAUCAUAAGUUUGGAAAAGUUGGUUCCCAUUAUAAGAACAGAGUUUUUACAUAUAAUAAUUUUCUAGUUCCUAUUUUUAAGCAUCGAAUAUCCUAGUAAAAUUUUAUUCAUCUUCAUUUUAACAGUCUUGAUUUAUCAAAACCAUAGGAAAAAGUAAUCUUUCCAACCAGUUCUCUCUUUCUGAGAAGAGCCUGGGUUCUGAAAUUCAACAUACUAAUAGUAAAUCACUAAAACAUUCAGGGGAAACCAAUUGGCAUGAAAUAGUUGAUCCCUGGGACAAGUUCUCAAACAUUUCUUCUAUCAACUGCAUCAAGAGACAUGUUAGAAUUAGAAGGGUUCAGCAAAAGCGCACAACUUUUUUGUCCCUCCCUCCCCGUUGAGUACAAACUUUCUUAAUUUCUGUGGAAGAUAUUAACUAAAUAUUCUGCUGAUUUUCUCUUGAUCAUUUACCAUGCAUACUAUUGAAAGGUAUCUAUUGAUCUGAUGAUUAUGACAAUCCAUUGGGUCAAUUCUCUGACAGAGAUUCAAGGUAGAAUGUUUUAUUUACCAAACUUAUCCCGGUUAUUUUAUUUAAAUUAAGCUUCUCACUCAAGUCAGUUGCUAACAGAAGCCUAUAAUAUUAUCCUCAUUUUUCUUCCUGUCCAAUUAUAUACAAUUACAGACACAUGAAUUCUAAACUAAUAUAAUUUGUCUUUAAUGUUGGAGUCAUGUAAUUGUAAAUAAGUUAAAACCAGAACCCACAUUGUACCAAGGAUGACAGGUUUUGAUAAAUGCCUAUGACAAAUACUUAACAUUCUGAACUUUCAUGAUUGACAAAACCGUUAACAAAACUUAAUGGUAACUGAUCAAUUAUUUAACAGUAUUACUAGUUACAGAUAGAAUAAAACGUACAAAAAAUGAGAAUUUUAAAUAGAUGAAUCAAACAGCUAGUGAUAAACAAUAGCAAGUUAAAAUAAUUUGAAGUAAUACAAACUUGAAACUUUUAUAAGUUAAUUCCAUGACAUAUAAUUUAAUAGAUUACUAAUAAAAUUUAGUCAAAGUAAAUUAAUUAUUUGACCAUUCUACUUGUUACAUAAGUUAACUAUAUGAAAGAAAAUUUCCGUCUAGUGAUUGACCAACACAUUUAGCUUUAUUUUUAAUAUGGGUGGCAAGAGUCCGGCUUCAACCAUUAAAAUCGGUCUAGGUUGGAUGAUAAGCAAGCACCUGGCAUUCUAUCCAAUCGAGGCUACAAUUUUAGCCAAGAAAAUAUGUCCAAAACUAAUCUGUUUUCUGUGAAUUGUUGAAUCAACUCAAGCAUCACCUCACACAUGGUUACACUCAAAUAUAUGCAUAUAGAUAGUUUCAGACAAUGCAAUAAUGGAAACAACAAAAUUAAUAAUGUAACAAAUGUUAGUUGAUUCAUUUAUCUAUCAUUGUCUUGAAAAAAAAGUCUCACAGAUGAAUAGUGUAGCAGAAAUGACACCUUAAAUUCAUAGCUACAACAUCUGUAGACAAUGUAAUGUCUGUAGACUAAUGUAUUAGGAAACUCUUCAUAGUAACAGUAAAAGUAACUAUGACAUUUAUAUGGAAUCGAUUUAAAAAAAUGGGCUAAAAAUCAUAUUUAUGUGCAUCUAUUUGUGUCUUUAGCUUCUGCAAUGGCAAUGUGUAUAUAUAUUAUAUAAAAAAGUAAAUGGAUGAUGUUGAUAUUUUGAAGUUCAAUUCACCACUUUAAAUUCUUGACAUCCUGUGGAACAUUCAUCAUGGUUUCCAGCAUUAAAAUAUGCAUCAUAUCUUGGUUUCUUAAACCUUUUUCAAAACUAUAAGUUUCCAAACUGGAACAAAAGAAAAUAAGUUUACCCCCUGCCAUUUGCUCUUGUACUUUCUUUUCCAACAAUGCAUUCGUUGGAGAAUCUUCUUUGCUUCAAUGGUGAAGCUCAGAUAUCUGGAAUCUUUUCUAUAACAUUAAACAAAUUCUUCUUUAUGCAGAAAGGAGAAGCAGAAGAAAAAAAUUUGACAAGGGUGCAGCUUGAUGCAACUGCUGAUGAAAAUUACCCUGGAGAAUUGAAGAAUGUAGAAGGUGCACUGAAUGAUCCUCCUGAAAUUUUUGAAUACUCAGAAAAAACCAAAAACAUGCAAGUUGCAAAUGACAUUGCCAUUGAAACAGAGAGUACAGUCAAUAAAGGCAAUGUAGGAACCUCUGAGGGUGAGAGUUUUUUGGAAUCACCCUCGGUUUCCAAGGUUGCUCGUGAAGAAACUGACAGAGUAUCAGAAGAUUAUCAGGCUCGUGAAAUUCCAAACCAGGCAGAAAAGGAGAUAUUCAGGGAGGAAACCAAGCUGCAGAAAUAUAAAAACCUUGAGGGUGCAGACGAGACAGGAAAGGUGGAAAAUGAAGGCAUGGAAGAGAUAAAAGAAGGAGAAGAGAAGGUAGCCGAGGAAUUGGGAGAAACAACCUUCCAGACCAACCCUACACCUAUUCAAAAGGAAUUGGGAGAAACACGCUUUGGAGAAGGCAAAGACAAGGAAUCAGAGAAGUCCUCCAUUUUGAUGGGUAAGGAGAAUGAUCCUGAAGCAGAAGAGAUAGAGCAUGAGAGUGAUGAGGGAAAGAAAAUCCCAUAUGAUGGCACUGGAGAUGUGACCAUGACAACAGCUGCAGCUAGUACAGACGAAACAACCUUGAAGGAAGCUGGAAUUACAUUCAAAGAGAAAAGCCAAGAUACAAUUGUAUUAAGUGAGAAGCUGAAAGAUGCAACUCCAGUUGAAGGUGAAAUUCAAGAUCAAAGCAAACUGGAUACUCCUUUUGUUACACAAACAGAAGACUUAGGCUUACAGAAAGCAGAUAAACCUGAGAUACUCAAAGAAGUAUCUGAAACUGGGACAGAGGAUAUCAACAUGAAAGAAAUUCCAGAUGACAAGGUUUAAACAAAUCUAAACUUCAAACCUAUUGCAAUUCCACACUUUCAGAUUUUUUUUAAUUUUUAUUUAUUUUUAAUUUUAAAAUUUAUUUCCCAUCACUAAAGUACAUAUUUACCAAAGAUAUCACUGACGUUGCAUCCUGUCACAGAAUCUCCCACAAGUUGAUUUAAAUGAGAAGAUUGAAAGUGAAGAAGCUGAGAUUCUAAACAAGAAUUCCAAUGAGUUACUUGUUAGCUAUCCCUCAGUUGAAGAAACAGUACAAGUGGAAGGUGAUAAGCUGGAUGAAAUUUCCAAAUUUGAACCUCAUGAACAAGUUCAUGAAACAAAUGGAGUCUCUAUAGAAGAGAAAAGGCAUUUUGAAGAGGCAACUGAAGUACACAAAAGCACAGAGAGCUUAAUCUUAGAGCCUAUAUCUAUAGAAGGGGAAAAGGCAAGCAAAACAUAUGCUGAGGCAAUAGAUUAUGGUUUAGACACUGAAGAGGAAUCAAAGGAGAAGCAAGAUGGACAGAACAAAGAAGAGGAGAUACAAAAGAAGGAAGAAGCCUGUGAUCCAGAGAUACAUAAAAAUGCCACAAAAAGUAAGUAGCUUUGAAACAUCAAUAUUCUUUUCUAUGCAAUUGAUGCUUAUCAUAACAUUUAUAUAUAUAUACGAAGUCAAGUCCAAAACAAUGAAAAGGGAUCAGAUACUAUUAAAUAACACCUUAACUUAAAAAGAUAAAUGGUUUCUCACUUCAAAGUGACACUAUAUCCCAGGAAGAGGACUUACACUAGAGAGCAUUUGGUACCUACAAUCAAUAAGAGGAAUUCUUAGGACUUGGGGAUUGGGCAGUGGGAAGGGGCCAUCCUUCAGAAGUAAACAGUAAAUAUCCUCUUCCCUAUCAGCUGGAUGAGAUCUCCAUUAUAGCUAAUAAUUCUCAUACUUUUGAGCAAUCCAAAGUCUGCCUCUGAUUGCUAAUAAUCAUAAAGCUAGAGUUCAUACGAAUAUAAGAAAAGAAUAUCAGCAAAAAAUCACGCUAUUUUUAUGCUAUUGUUUCUUAUCAUCUCCUUUGCAAAAAGGUUACAGCCUCCUCAGCACUGCAGAAAUCUAUUGUAACUGCUGAUAAUGUCAUAUAUGUGUAUGUGUGUGUGGCUGAGGAUAGUGGAAGCAAUUCAGUCGGAAUUAAAUAACACCUGGUGUAGAAUUGCAUUUUGUCAUGCCCCUUGCUAAAUUUGUGGAUUUUGUUCUUUGGCCAAGUCUACAGUUAGAUUCAAAACCCCUGUCAUGCCCAUAAAGCAUUUAAAUAUCAAGUUGAUAGGAGAUAAGAACUGUCCUCAUCCAUAUGCUGCUCUAAAUUAAUGUUUAUUUUAAUCUUUUAUAAAUGAAAUAUGAGCAUGGAUUGGGCAACUAAGAAUACACUAUCAACUUGAUAUUUGACAUACAUGGAGAACAUGACAGGAGUAACCCUAAGUUCUACACCAAGUGUAGUUUGAGCCUGAUUCAUGCACACACAAUGUAAAGCUUUUGUUGUGACAGAGACACAGAGUAGCUUGCUAUGGGAAGUGAUGGUGUUGAUUCAUCUGGUGCAGGUAAUGACACUGAAAAAGGAAUAAUAGAUGAAGAUGUCUCAGCUAAAGUAAGUGAUUCUUCAUGCAUUGGAAAUGAGACAAUUCAGAAAAGCUUUCAAGUGGAUUAUCUCAAUGAAGAACCAUCAGCAUUGACUAGUGAAGGCAAGAGUAAGAAAGCAGAAGAUGAUGUUAAGGACAACAUUAUACCUGAAGAGGUCUGAUUGCAAUAUCAAGAUUUAUGUAGAUACUCAUUUUCUAUGUUCCUUCAACUUUUUUUCAUUACAUUGAAGCUCCGUCUUUUAUGCAGGUGCAUGAUGAGAUCAAAAUCACAGGUGCAACAGAGGGCACUAGAGAACUGAUCGUAGAAGAAGACGAUGUUACAGAAGGAUUGCCAGAAUCUAUUGAAGAAGAAACAGUAAAGAGCUUUCAAGACGAUGAAAAGGUCUUAUUGGCAGAUGAGAAGUCAAGAGGAGAAGAAGACAGCAAAGAACAGACCAUAGCAGACAGUGUUGAAGGCACACCAGGAUCCACCAAAGAAGAGAACUUUACAGAUAAUGAAAAGCAAGAUGAGAAGUGCAAAGAAGAGGUUAGCUUAACCAAGAAACUUAAGGUUAAUUUGAUCUUUUUGUCAAAAUAUAGCUUGCAUCUUAUAUGAUACUUGAAAAAAAUAGUCUCUUAUGCAGAUUUUUGAGUCAUCUGAGAUGGCUAGAGCAGUUGAAUGUGUUGAAAGUGAGAAAAUCCUUGACACUUCAAUGGUGAAACCAAAAGAGAGUUUGCAGGGUGAAGGUGAGAACCAGGUUCCAAUUGAAAUUUCCAGAGAGGAGAGAAGAGAUGAGCAUAGGUAUUCUGUCGUGGAUGAAGAUAAUGAUGACAAUACUGGGCUAGUUGAAGUUAAAUAUAGUGGUAAAGAGGAAACAUCAAAGGGUGAGGAAAACACAGAGUGGAUCUCACAGAAAGAUGAAACAGGAGAGAAGCUUGAACAGUCGAUAAAUGUGAUGUCUAAAGUAACAGAGGCAAUUAAUUCAAGUGAAUAUACUGAAAAAAUUACCUACAUUGAAGAGGAGCAAGCCAUCCAGGAUGUUGAAGAAACCUUUGAGAAGGAAGAAACAAAUGAUACCAAAGACAGCGAAGAGAGGGGAACUGCAAGCGAGGAGGUCAGAAAAUAAUAAAAUCCUUUUCUUUUUGAGAACUUCAUGAUCACAAAACCGAAUAGUUACAUCCUAAAAGGCUAACUAAAUAAUGUUGUACUUGUGCUGCAGGAUCUCAAACCAGCUGCAGUGGCAUCCGAGAUGAGCAAAACCACAGAGAGCACAGUUUUGGAAUUGAAAUCAGAAAAAGGUGAAAUGGAAGUAGGAAAGCUCGAAAAAGGAAAUGAGUUGGGCUCCGAAGAGAGAUUCAAGGGAAACGAUGCCACGGAAGAUACAGAAGAGGAGAUAAAGAAAGAAGAAACUUAUGAUGCAGAUUUGCAUAAAGUCGAAACCACAUGUGAGUAAUUUGUAUAUGUCCAUAACAUUCCUUCCUGUACAUGUGAUGUUAGCAUUGGAGGAUAUAAAAGUAAACUAUAGGUUCAAAACAAUCAGUAGGAGAAUGGAUGGGAUCAUAUGCUGUUAAGAAUGGAGACAUAAUGAAUUCCAAUUAAUAGUUAGAAGGAAAUGAAGCCUAUCUCCCAAGAGAGGACUCACCACUGGAAAAAAAAAAGAAGUUAUAAAAAAACAUUAUAUAAGGUAAUUAGUUUCAAUAAAUUCAAGACAUAGGUGUUUGAGUUAGACAGGAGAGGAACACCGUUAAGUAAGCACAUUGUAAAUGCUUCCCACCACUGACUAAUGAUAUCUAUUGCAGCUGAAAUGUGCUUUUGGGCAGUUAAAAAAUUUCAUGUUUUCUACUUUGCUUAAUGUACACGAACAGAAAGAGCCCACUAUAAAUAAUAGAGAACAAUUAGAGAACUAUGUGUGAGAUGGUAUACAGGCAUGUGCACAGACACACAUGAGAGUGAUGCAGCCCUAGUCCACAUUCAAUUUGGAUGGUUUUAUAUUGUUGGAAAAUUUCCUAUUGUUUUAAAUUUUCUAUUUUUUAUACUUAUCUUUUAGAUUUGUUAGUUUAUUUGCCUUUUUAUUUUGGUACUAGCCCAACUAUGUGCUAGAACUGUCUUCCAAUUAUUUCAAGGGCCAGGAAGAAUAUAAAUACUUUAAUAUAGCAAGGAUUUAGAGAUUAGUUCUUUUUUUUUUUUUUUUCCUUUUUCAAUGUUAUCUUGUAGCGACUUGAUUUUUUUCCUUAUAUUCUUGUUGGUCUUAGUUGAUUUCUUACUUUCAAUCGGGUUAUUGUUGCAAAUGAUAAUUAGAUUCUCCUCUCUUGGUGGGGUGCCAUGAGAGAGUGAGAGAGAGAUUCUCCAUUCAGAAACUCAUGGACUUAUACUUGUAGGUGAUGACACUGAGAAAAGUAAGAUAGAGGAAGAUGCUCUUAUCAAGGAUGGCAGCACGGUAUGGAUUGGGGAAGAAACAGUUGAGCUCAGCUGUCAAGAGGAUGAAGAUGGACAAAAUGGUAAAGAGAAAGCAGCACUUAAAUUGAAUGGUGGAGAUCAUAGUGUCAGAACAGAUAAUGAGACAGAGAAUUCAACAGAUCAAAUUAUCAGAAAAGAGGUCUGGUUGAAUUACAAAUAUCCUAAUGUGAUCUAAUUCUUUUUAUAUCUCAUUCUCCACAAUUAUUUUUAUUCUUAUUCAUCUGUGAUGGCUCCUAAGAUUGCUGUCAUCAGUGAGGGCACUGAAAAGCACACCAUAAAGGAAGAACACACUGCUAUUGACAUAUCACCACAAUCCAGUGGAGAAGAAACACAUAAGAGUUCUCAAGAAGAUGAAACUAAGGAAGAGGGGGAGAAGCCCAUAGUCAAGGUUAGCUUGAGAAUGAAACUUCAAAUUUUACUUGGCCUCUCUCGUAGGGUUGAGUUGAAAUCUCUUUUAUUCUUAUUCAUAAGUAGAAAUUUUCUAUUAUGCAGAUGUGUGAGGAACUGGAGACAACCACUGUGGGUGAAGGCAUUGAAGGACAGAUUUUAGAGGGAAACACUAUUCAGGACCACUCUACAGUUCCCACUGAAGUAGAAGAAACAGAAGAUAUCUCUAAAGACAAUGAAAUGAUGGCAAAGAUACCCAAACCAGAGGUGACUAUGCAACUCCGAUAUUGAUCUCUGACCUUUUCUAGUUACUUUAUAUUUAUUAACUCGGACUCUUCUCAUGUACCAGGGCUUGCUCCUUUUUGGCACUUUAAUUAUACAUCUGUUAUUAUCUAUAAAUAACUUGGACUCUCAUUUUUCUAGUAUAUUUUAUUUUUAUUCCAUUCUAUCAUGUUUCCUCAAAACCUUGAUUUUAAAAUGGGUGUCUGAAAUAUCUCAAAGAUACGAUGGAGUUGAGGACAUUCAAAAAGACGUCUUUAACAUAGCUGUUGGAGCAGAAACAAAUAAGGAGGGCUCUCCAGUAGAGGAAAAGGAGGAAGAACUGGAUAGAGAUGCCAGUUUGAUUAAAAUUUGAAGCUUUGAUGUUUGACAUUUUCAUUUCUAAUCUUUCUCCAAAUUUUUGCUUAAAACUAUAGCUUCUUUUGUUUCCCUUGUUCAAUUUUGAAAGUUCUUCCAGCUGCUUUAGUACUCCAUAAUUGGGAAAUGAUUAAUAGAAAACUCCCACUAACCCCUUUUUCUGGGCACAGGAAAACUAGUAUGUAAGACAAAAUCUGUAAUCCUCCAAAGUAGAGGAAAUGCUCACUUUAAUUUUUAUAUUUAACUGUCAGAAAUAUAGACUGGAAUUGGAGACACACACAGACACACAGAUAUAUAUAUAUAGUUAUGUAUGUACGUAUGCCUAUGCCAUCACAGAUCAUGCAUUACUUUCAAACUAAAAUGGCAUGUUGACAUUACUGUUAACUGUUGCAUCCAACAUCAUUUGCAUGCUUGCUCAAUAAUAUUUCCCAUCCAAUCAAAUGGAGACUAAGUGGAUGUUGUUUAUUACUUAGGUAUGUAAGACAAUUGGUGCAUUCCAGGACCAUUCUACAGAGGUCAUUGAAAAAGAAAAGGAUACAGAGAGCCCCCAAGAAGAUAAGGUCUUGAAAAUUAACUUUAAAGUUUCUUUUGUCUCAUUGUAGCCUAAUCUUUUUUCUUUUUCUCAUUCAUUUUCAUAAAGUCAAACAUUCAUGUCUUACACAGGUAUGCCAAGCAUCUGAGAUAGCAGUCACAAGCAUGGAGACAGAAAAACAGGAAAUAGAUAUUCAUGCUAUCCCAGAUAUUCAUGAGAUAGCGGUUAAGGAAAGCUCUGCCCAAGACUCUGAAGACAGCAUAAAGGAAUGUGUUGAAGUUGAGAAAGUAGCAGUUGAAUUAGACACAGAAGCUCAGCACCAUGGUAGUGAGGCAUCUGACACCAAAACAAACAGUGAUCCUACAGAAGAGGUGAGAGCACCAUAACUACUCUGACACUCUAAUAAUCAAUCAUUAACUUAAGAAACUACUUGAAGGGACAUUCAGUAGUGAUCCUACAUGGAUCAAAUUGGUUACUGUGGGUUGGUGAAUUGAGCAAUGAUUUGAAUGAUCAGUGACUUGAAUAAUUACCUUAUUUUUAAAUCGCACUUCAAUUGAGUUUACCAUGCGGUUUCAUAGCAUUUGAAUAAGCAGGCUUGUUUUUCUUAAUAUUUGUUUCAAAUGAGUUCUGGUUAAGAUUUUAAAACAGACAACUACUAUUUUUAUUAUUUAUUAUUUCAUAAUUAUGAUGAUCACAAUUUAUAUGAUCAACUUGUGAGUUCAGAUUUAAUAUAAACAAUGUGAAUACACAAUGAUUUUACUUCCAUGUAAGAUAUAACUUUACCUGAAUUUAUCUUUUCUAUAUUAAGCCCCAUUGAGUCAUUUCAUCAAUCCAUCACUGUGGAGCAGAAUAAAAAUUCAGUUGAUCCUGGUGAGAAGCUUGAAGGUGCACCUGAAUCAGUGGCUGAAGAUCAAAGCAAUGAAACUCUCCUUGAACUGAACCAGACUCAAAUUAAGGAAAACAACAACAAUGUUCAGGAUCAGAAAAGUGAGUCUGUUGAAGAACAGAAUAUUGAACAAGGGCUUCAAGAAGAUGAAAAGGAUACAUAUGAGGAAACAGAGUCCAGGUCAGAUGCUAGAGAUCAUAUUAAUGAGAUACAAAAUGCAAAUGAAACCACAAGUGAGAAGACAGUGGAUAUCUCCCACACUAGAUCUGAAGAAUCAGAAGAAAUUAAUAAGGAGAUCAUACAAGAAGCAGAAACUUGUUAUAACAAGCUCAAUCCUGCAUCUGAAAAGGUGGAAACAGAAGAGACAGGCUCAUGGGAAGCUCAACUAGAUGAAAAGCCUCUAAAGGGCAGUGAGACUAGUUCUGAAGAGAAGACCCUACAAACCACAGCUGAAACUAGUCCACAGGGUGAAGAAGGUGAAAGCAUGAAGCUUGAAGAAACCACUGAAUUGAUGUCUCAAUUUCCAGCUGUUGCAGGUGAGAAUGCAGACAAGGAGAGUGGCAUUGUGGAAAAGUCACAUGUAGAUGAAGUUGAAGAAACUAAAGGAGAUUCUGAAACAGUAUCUGAGUCUAGAGAACAAUGUGUUGAAGACACUGAUGAAACACAGAAAAGCCUAACUGUGGAAGAAUCAGAAGGUAUAAUUAAAGAAGAAAUCAAAGGACCAUCUGAAUCAGUGUCUGGGUGCAACCAUCAAGGUGUUGAAGCAGUUAUUGAAGAUGAAAUUAAUGUUAUGCAGACUGCCGCAGCAGGAAAAUCAGAAGAGCAACAUCAGGAAACAUCCAAAACAUUGCUUUCUGAAGAACAGGACCAUGGAAUUACAGCCAUAAUUGGGUACUCAGAAGAUGAAAAGGCAAAGGAAGGUGAAAUUUCUGGAUUGGUACUUGAACUCAAUGAGAACAUACAGCAAAUUAAUCCGAUUGAACCACCAAAAGAAGAAUGCAUUACUCUAGAUGAAGUAUCACAGUUAGAGCAUCAAGAAAAUGCGUCUGCAAUAAAAUGCUCAGAUUCUCCAACAGAAAGUGACAAAGUCAUGGAGCUGUCAGAAGAGGUGAGGCCACCAUAACUACCCUCAUCCUCUAUUAAUAGUCAUUAUUAAACUAAGUAAUUAACUUCAAUGGAUUUCUCUUUUGCAUUUCCAUAUGGUUUGAGUAGGUUUAUUUGAUAUAUUGAAGUUAUGUGCAUUGAAUAGGUGCCUGAGGAAGCUGAGAAAGCUGCAGAAGAACGUGAAAACAUCAAAGAACGGAUCAUAGAGAGAGAGAGAGAGAUCAACGAAUUUCCUGCAGUAUACAUUGAAGAUGAAUCAGUUGACAAGGUCAGCUUAACAUUAGUAUAUGAAAUAUUAAUUCAACCAUUUCUCAUAUGCUGCUGUCUUUUCUUUUUUCUAUCCACUAAUUUCAGCAUUAUCUGUUAAGCAGGAGCAACAUUCUGAGACGGUAUCCAAUGAGAAUCCUAGCGCAACAGAUUCCGAAGUGCAAACAGAAAAAAUGAACCUAGAGGUUGAGGAAGAUUUCAGCAAAGACCCUGAAGGAUCUCCCGUUACAAAAGCAAUGGAAGAAGAGAUGCUACAGAAACAGGGUAGUGAGGAGAAAGUGGACGUCUCCAGCUCUGUAUCUGAAAUAUCAGAAGAAAUUAAGGAGGAGAUCAUAGAAGACGCGGACACUUGCUCUAACAAUAUUGAUACUGCAUCUGAAAAAGUGGAAACAGAACAGACAAGCUUGCAGGAAGCUCAGCUGGAUGACAAGCAUAUAAAGAUCAUUGAGACUAGUUCAGAAGAUAAGACAUUGCAAACAAACACCGCAACUGAAACUAUUCCACAGGGUGUAGAAGUUGACAGAGUUAAGCUUGAAGAAACCUCUGAAGGGGUGUCUCAACUUCCAGCUAUUGCAUGUGAGAACAGAAACAAGGAGAGUGAAAUUGUGGAAAAGCCACAUGUAGAUGAAGUUGAAGAAAUUGAAGGAGCUUCUGAAACAGUAUCUGAGUCCAGAGAACAAUGUGUUGAAGAAAAUGAUGGAACACAGAAAAGCCUAACUGUGGAAGAAUCAGAAGAACGUAUAAUUAAAGAAGAAAUCAAAGGACCAUCUGAAACAGUGUCUGGAUGCAACUAUGAAGGUGUUGAAGCAGUUAUUGAAGAUGAAAUCGAUGUUGUUCAGACUGCCACAGAAGGAAAAUCAGAAGAGCAACAUCAGGAAACAUCCAAAGCAUUGCUUUCUGAAGAACAGGACCAUGGAAUUAUAGCCACAAUUGGGUACUCAGAAGAUGGAAAGACAAAGGAAGAAGAAACCCCAAAAAAUGAGAACCUAGAAGAUUCUUUUGCCACAAAGACAGCAGAUUACAUGCACUUGCAAAAGGAAGAGCCCAGGGAGCUCGAACUUUCUGGAUUGGGGCUGGAAGUCAAUGAGAACAUGCAGAAAAUUAAUCCAAAUGAACAACCAAAGGAAGAAUGCAUUACUGUAGAUGAAGUAUCACAGCUAGAGCCUCAAGAAAACGUGUCUGCAAUAAAAUGCUCAGAUUCUCCAACAGAAAGUGACAAAGCCAUGGAGCUGUCAGAAGAGGUCAGACCACCAUAACUGCCCUCAUCCUCUCUUAUUACUUGUUAUUAAACUAAGUAAUUAACUUCAACGGAUUUCUCUUUUUGAAUUUCCAUACGGUUUGAGUAGGUUUUAUUUGAUAUAUUGAAGUUAUGUGCAUUGAAUAGGUGCCUGAGGGAGCUGAGAAAGCUGCAGAAGAACGUGAAAACAUCAAAGAACUGAUCAUAGAGAAAGAGAGAGAUAUCAAGGAAUUUCCAGCAGUAUCCAUUGAAGAUGAAUCAGUUAACAAGGUCAGCUUAACAUUAGUAUAUGAAAUCUUAUUUCAACCAUUUCUCAUAUGCAGCUGUCUUUUUUUCUUUCUAUCCACUAAUUUCAGCAUUAUGUAUUAAACAGGAACAACAUUCUGAGACAGUAUCCGAUGAGAAUCCUAGAGCAACAGAUUCUGAAGUGCAAACUGAAAAUGUUAACCUAGAGGUUGUGGAAGAUUUCAGCAAAGACCCUGAAGGAUCUCCCAUUACAAAAGCAAUGGAAGAAGAGAUGCUACAGAAACAGGGUGGUGAGAAGAAAGUGGAUGUCUCCAGCUCUGUAUCUGAAAUAUCAGAAGAAAUUAAUAAGGAGGUCAUAGAAGAUGCCGACACUUGCUCUAACAGUAUUGAUACUGCAUCUGAAAAAGUGGAAACAGAACAGACAAGCUUGCAGGAAGCUCAGCUGGAUGACAAGCAUAUAAAGAUCAUUGAGACUAGUUCAGAAGAUAAGACAUUGCAAACAAACACCGCAACUGAAACUAGUCCACAGGGUGUAGAAGUUGACAGAGUUAAGCUUGAAGAAACCUCUGAAGGGGUGUCUCAACUUCCAGCUAUUGCAUGUGAGAACAGAAACAAGGAGAGUGAAAUUGUGGAAAAGCCACAUGUAGAUGAAGUUGAAGAAAUUGAAGGAGCUUCUGAAACAGUAUCUGAGUCCAGAGAACAAUGUGUUGAAGAAAAUGAUGGAACACAGAAAAGCCUAACUGUGGAAGAAUCAGAAGAACGUAUAAUUAAACAAGAGAUCAAAGGACCAUCUGAAACAGUGUCUGGAUGCAACUAUGAAGGUGUUGAAGCAGUUAUUGAAGAUGAAAUCGAUGUUGUUCAGACUGCCACAGAAGGAAAAUCAGAAGAGCAAAAUCAGGAAACAUCCAAAGCAUUGCUUUCUGAAGAACGGGACCAUGGAAUUAUAGCCACAAUUGGGUACUCAGAAGAUGGAAAGACAAAGGAAGAAGAAACCCCACAAAAUGAGAACCUAGAAGAUUCUUUCGCCACAAAGACAGCAGAUUACAUGCACUUGCAAAAGGAAGAGCCCAGGGAGCUCGAACUUUCUGGAUUGGGGCUGGAACUCAAUGAGAACAUACAGAAGAAUAACCCAAAUGAACCACCAAAGGAAGAAUGCAGCACUAUAGAUGAAGUGUCACCAUUAGAGCCUCAAGAAAAUGUCUCUGUGAUAAAAUGCACAGAUUCUCCUGUGGAAAGUGACAAAGUCAUGGAACUAACAGAAGAGGUCAGACCACCAUAACUACUCUCUCAUUACUCAUUACUGAAUUAAGUAAUUAACUUGUAUGCUUUUCCCUGUUUGCAAUUCCAUAUGGCUUGAGUGGUGGGUUUUAUUCAAUAUAUUGAAGUUAUGUCUACUGAAUAGGUGCCUGAGGGAGCUGAGAAAGCUGCAGAAAGGGAAAACAUCAAAGAACUGAUCAUAGAGAAAGAGAGAGAUAUCAAGGAACUUCCUGCAGUUUCCACUGAUGAAUUGGUUAUCGAGGUCAGCUUAAUAUUAAUGUGGAAUAUUAUUUCACCCUUUUCUCAAUGCCAAUGCUUUUUCUUCUUCCUGUGGUCUCUCAUGUCAACAUUAUCUGUUAAUCAGGUGCAAGUUCUGGAGCCAGUUUCCAGUGAAAAUCUUGGAGUGACAGACCCCAAUAUGCCUGCAGAGAACUUGAACUUAGAGGUGGAAGAUUCAAGUAAGGAACCAAUAGGAUCUCCCAUUACAGAAGCAUUGGAAGAAGAAAUGUCAGAGAAACAAGAUGGUGAGAAGGCAAUGGAUGUCCUUAGCUCUGUAUCUGAAAUGCAAGAAGAAAAUAUUAAAGAGGAGAUCAUGGAGAAAGCAGACAUUUCCUAUAGCAAGCUUGAUGCUGCAUCUGAAAAGGGGGAAACAGAAGAGUCAAGCUCGCAGGAAGCUCAGCUGGAUGACGAGCCUGUGAAGAUCAUUGAGACUAGUUCAGAAGAUAAGACACUACAAACAAACACCAUAACUGAAACUAGUCCACAGGCUGAAGAGGUUGACAGAAUGAAGCUUGAAGAAACCUUGGAAUUGGUGUCUCAACUUCCAGCUAAGGCAUGUGAGAACACAAACAAGGAGAGUGAAACAGUGGAAAGGCCAAUUGCAGAUGAAAUUGAAGAAACCACAGGAGCUUCUGAUACAGUAUCAGAGUCCAAAGAACAAUGUGCUGAAGAAAUUGAUGAAACCCAGAAAAGCCUAAGCCAGGAAAAAUCAGAGGAAGAUAUAAUUAAAGAACAAAUCAAAGGAGCAUCUGAAAUGGAUUCUGAAUCAAAAUAUCAAGGUGUUGAAGCAGUAAUUGAAGAAGAGAUCACUGCAGGUCAAGCUAUCCAAGCAGAAAAACCAGAAGAACAACUCGAGGAAGUGUCUACUGCAAUACUUUCUGAGAAGUUAGAAGAUGAGAACAUAAAGGAAGGUGAGAUCCCACAAUACAAGAAUCCACAAGAUUCUUUUGGCACAAAGACGUCAGAAAAUACAUGCUUGCAAAAAGAAGAGCCCAGGGAGCUCGAUGUUUCUGGAUUGGGGCUGGAUAUCAAUAAGGAUGUAUCAAAGGAAGAUGGCAAUGGUGUAGAUGGAGUAUCACAGUAUGAGCUGCAAGAAAAUGCAUCUGAGUUAAAAUACACAGAUUCUCUAUUGGAAAGUGAGAAGGUGAUGGAACAAACAAGAUCCAUCAACAGCGCUCAACAGGAGGCUACAAAAGAUGACGAGAAUUUGGAUUCAGGGAUUUUCAACAAUAACCCUGAUGUCCUCACUCAUUCACCAGGUGAAGAAAUUUUACAGGAAGUGGAUGAAAACUGUGAGGAGGCUUCCAACCUUGAGUGUGAAAAUUUUGAAAAGGCUUCUGAACCUGUAUUGGACCUUCAGAGUACUGAAAUUGAUGAAGCAGUGGUUGGAUUGGAAGUAGGAGCUCACAUUCAGGGAAGUGAUGCUCCUAACACCAAAAACAGUGACAAUCUUAUAGAAGAGGUUAGGCCACCGUAACAACUUCAUUCUCUCUCACAACUAAUCAUUAAAUGAAGAAAUUAAUUAUAAUAAGAAUCUCUUUUUGCAAUUCCACAUGGUUCAAGUAGGUUUUGAAUUGAUAUAUUUAAGUUAUCUGUUGAAUAGGUACCUCAGGGAGCUGAGAAAGCUGUAGAAAGUGAAAACAUCAAAGAACCGAUCAUAGAGAAAGAGAGAGAUAUAAAGGAACUUCCUGCAGUAUACAUCGAAGAUGAAACAGUUAAUAAGGUCAGCUUAACAGUAAUAUUAUUUAUGAUCACCUCAAGUGCUUUUUCAACCAUUUCUUAUAUUCUGCUGCUUUUUCUUUUUUGUAUGAUCACCAAUGUGGAAUUAUCCAUUAAGCAGGUGCAACAUGCUGAGGCAGUAUCCAAUGAGAAUCUUAGAGCAAUAGAUUCCAAUAUGCAGACAGAAAGACUGAACUCAGAGGUUGCAGAAUAUUUGAGUAAGGAUCCAGAAGGAUCUCCCAUUUCACAAGCAUUGCAAGAAGAGAUGUCACAGAAACAAGCUAGUGAGAAGACAGUAGAAAUCACUAUCUCUGUAUCUGAAAUGUCAGAAGAAAGUUUUAAAGAUGAGAUCAUAAAGGAAGCAGACACUUGUAGCAAGAUUGAUACUGCACCUGAAAAAGUGGUAACAGAAGAGACAAGCUUGCAGGAAGUUCAGCUGGAUGACAAGCCUCUAAAGGGCAUUGAGACUAGUACAGCAGAGAAGAUCCUUCCAACAAACACCACAACUGAAAGUAGUCUACAGGGUGAAGAAGUUGACAGCCUGAAAGUUGAAACCUCUGAGUUGAAGUCUCGACUUCCAACUAUAGCAUGCGAGAGUGCAGACAAGGAGAGUAAAACAGUGGAAAAGCCACAUGCAGAUGAAGUUGAAGAACCCAAAGGACCUACUGAUACAGUAUCCGAAUCCAGGGAACAAUGUGUUGAAAACAUUGUUGAAACCCGGGAAAGCCUGACCCUCCAAAAGUCAGAGGAAAAUAUAAUCAAAGAAGAAAUCAAAGGACCAUCUGAUACAGUAUCUGAAUGCACAUAUCAAAGUUUUGAAGCAGUUAUUGAAGAUGAGAUCACUGCUGAUCAAACUAUAGAAGCAGAAAAUCCAGAAGAGCAACUUCAGGAAAUGUCUACUGCAUUAGUUUCUGAGGAACAGGAGCAUGGAAUCAGCACCAUAACUACAAAGUUGGACUAUGAGAACACAGUGGAAGAUGAAACCCCACAAUAUGAGAAUCAAGAGGAUUCUCUUGGCACAAAGAUGACAGAAGAGAGAUGCUUGGACAAGGAGGAAUCCAGGGAGCUUGAAGUCUCCGAAUUGGAACUCAAUGAUGAUGUACAGAAAAAGCCUUCAAACGAAGAGCCAAAGGAAGGGGGCAACUUUCUACAUGGAAUAACACCAUCAGAGCCUCAAGAAGAAGCUUUUGAGAUAAAAUGCAGAGACUCUCUAGCAGAAAGUGACAUGGAACUAACAAGAUCCAUGGACAGUACUUCGCAGGAGGCUUCAAAGGAUGAUGAAGAUUUGGAUUCAGGGAUCUCUAUCAAGAAUGUUGAUGAUGUCCUUCCCCCUCAUUCAUCUGGUGAAGAAAUUUUACAGAAAGUGGAUGAAAACUGUGAAGAAGCCUCCAACUUAGUUCACAGUGCUGAAGUUGACAAAGCAGAAAUCGAAUUGGAAGCAGGAUCUCACAGCCAUGGAAGUGAAGCUUCUAGCACUGAAAACAACAAUAAUCUUACAGAAAAGGUCAGACCACGUUAACUUUCUUUCAUAACCAAUCAUUCAAUCAAGUAAUUAACUUGAACGGAUUCCCUUUGCACAACUCUGCAUGGUUUGAAUUGGCACAGUGGAUUGAUUCAUUAACUGGUUGAAUGUCCUGUUAAAUUGAAUCAUUACCUUAUAUUUGCAUUAAUACUUCAAAUGAUUAUGUUCUAUAUUCAUUGCAUUUCAAAUAAAUUUCUUCAGUAUUUUCAUAGCAUUUGAAUAAGUGUACUUGUUUUUAAUUACAUUUGUUUAAGAUAGGUCAUCUUAAUGUUUUAAAAUUAGGUAAAAAUUUUAUUUAUUAUUAUUUAUCAUUUUUAAUUACAGUAAACCUAAUUUCUACGAUCAACUUGUGAAUUGAAGUUCAAUAUAAAACAAUGUAAAAAUGUAAUGAUUGGCACUUGCAUAUAAAAUUUGAACAUCAACCAAAUGUCUUUUCUAUAUCAAAUCACAUUCAUCCUUUCUCCAAUUCAUCAAUGUGGAAUAGAACAUUGAAUUAGCUGAUCUGGGUGAGAAGGUUGGAGGGGGACCUGACCUCGUAGCUGAAGAUCAAUGUAAUGAAACUCUCCCCGAAACAAACCAGACACAAGUCAAUGAAAACAGCAGCAGUGCUUGGGAGCAGAAUACCAAAUCUAUUGAAGAACAAAUUAUUGGACAAGGAUUUCAAGAACGUGAAAAGGAGACAAUUGAGGAAACAGAAAGCAAGUUAGAGUCCAGAGAUCAUAUUAAUGUGAUACAAAAUGAAAAUGAGACAACAAAAGAUGUCAUUUCAGUUGAAGAGGUCAGCAAUUGACAAUCCUACACUUGUGCCUAAAAUUCAUUUUUCGUGAGUAUUUCUUUAGAUUCUAUUUGUUAAAUGGAAGUUAUAUCUGUUGAAUAGGUGCCUGGGGGAGCUGAGAAAGCUGAAGAAAAAGAAAACAUCCAAGAGCUGAUGAUAGAGGAAAAGAGAGAUAUUAAGGAACUUCCUGCGGUAUCCAUUGAAGACGAGACUGUUAGUAAGGUCAGCUUGACAUCAAUAUAAGAAAUAUUAUUUCAACUAUUUUUCAUAUGCUGCUGCCUUUUUCUUCUUCAUAUGAUGACUAAUUUCAGCAUUAUCUGUUAAACAGGUGCAACAUUCUGAGCCAGUAUCAUGUGAGAGUUUUAGAGCAAGAGAGUCCAAUCAGGAGACAAAAGAAGUAAAUUUAGAGGAUGAGGAAGACACAUGUGAAAAGACAGAGGAUGUCUCCAGCUCUGUAUUUGGACUGUCUGAACAAGGGGUUAAAGGGGAGAUCAUAGAUGAAGCAGACAAUUAUAACAAGCUUGAUACUGCAUCUGAAAAGGUGGAAGCAGAAAAGACCAUUUGGCAGGAACCUCAACUAGAUGAUGAGCCUCUAAAGGGCAUUGAGACUAUUUUGGAAGAAAAAACACCACCAAUAAUCAACACAACUGAAAGUAGUCCUGGUGAUGAAGAAGUUGAGGCUGUGAAGCUUGAAAAAACUUCUGACUUGGUGUCUCAACUUCCAACCACUGCAUAUGAGCAUGCAGACAAGGAGAGUGUAAUUGUUGAAAAGGCACAGGCAGAUGAAGUUGAAGAAACCAAAAGAGCUUCUGACCCAGUAUCUGAGUCCAAAGAUCACUGUGUUGAAGAAAUUGAUGAGACCCAAAGAAGCCUAACCAUGGAAAAAUUGGAAGAAGACAUAAUUGAAGAAGAAAUCACAGGAAGAUCUAGCACAGUAUCUGCAUGCAAUCAAGGUGUUGAAGCAAUUAUUCAAGAUGAGAUCAGCAGAGAGUCUCUCAAAACAGGAAACUCAGAAGAGCAACUUCAGGAAAUGUCUACUGCACGGCUUUCUGAAGAGAAGGAGCAUGAUAUUACAACCACAAUUGGAAAGUCGGAAGCUGAGAACAAGAGUGAGAAUGAAACCCCACAAAAAGAAUGUCUGGAAGACUCCAUUGGCACAAAGUCUGUGGAGGAAAUAUGUUUGCAGAUGGAAGGACUCAGGGAACUCGAAGUUUCUGCAUUGGCACCAAAACUCAGUAAUGUCAUACAAAAGGAGAGUCCAAAUGAAGUGCUAAAGGAAGAAGGCGAGCCUCAAGAAAAUGUUUCUGAGAUAAAAUACAUGGAUUCUAUAACAGCAAGUGAAGAAGUUAUGAAACUAACACGAUCCAUUGACAGUUCUUCACAGGAAGCUUCAAAGGAAGAGGAAAUUUUGGAUUCAGGGAACUCCAACAAUAAAGCUGAUGAUUUCUCGAUUACUCAUUCAUCAGUAGAAAUUUUACAACAACUGCAAGAACAAUGUGAGAAAACCCCCAACCUUGAGUCUGAAAAGAUUGAAAAGGCUUCUGAAUCUGUAUCUGAAGUUCACUAUCCAGAGGUAUUUAUCAAAUUAGAAGAGCCAGAAGUCAAGGAAGAGCAUCUCAAGACAUCAGUAACUGAGACGAGAGCAGAAGAAAUUCCACAUGAGAAAACAGUUGAGGCAAAUGAAAUCAUAAAGAAUGAGAUUUCAAAUGAAGAGGUCAGCUAGAAAAUAAGGCCGAAAAUUUAUCAUUUCACACAUUACCUUAUUUGUUUUCUUCUCCUCUGUUUAUCAUAUAAUGAUGAUUUAUAUAUAUAUUUGAAAACUGUUAACUGAUGGGAAUAAAAACACAGAUUGCAGACGAAAAGCAAGUUGCUGAGGACUAUCAACCAUGGUCUCUCGACGAAGAAACAAUCAGAAAGAGCCAACAAGAAGAUGAACUAAAGAAUGAAGUUGAACACGAAGAGGUCAGGAAAUAAAAACUGGACUUCUUUUACACUCUUCUCUCUCUCUUUUAUAAAAUUGAAAAUUUAUCUGUUAUACAGCUGUAUGGGGAAUCGCAAGAGGGUGAAACGAAUGAGGACAUUGAGAAACAGAUCAUAGAUGAAGCUAGAACCGUUGAGCACCCUCACUUAGUCUCUUUCGGGGAUGAAAGUCUCAAAGACAAUCUUCCAGAAGAAGCAAAGGGGGAAAGGAAUGACGAGGUGACAGAUAUUAAAUUGGACCUUGCAAAUCAGAGUGAUGAAACAGCUCUAAGUGAACAGGUCAGAUUGCAUUAUAUCCUCCUUUCACUAUUACAAAAUAAAUUAUCAAGAAAAUUUCAAAAUUUUAAACAUAUAAAAAAUAAAUUAAGUUCCUUUCCAAGGUCCACUAGUUUUUUGCAACAAUCAUUGCUCUAAUAAAAAUGGAAAAAAAAAAUGAAAAAUAAAAACAAAAAGGAAACCAAACAUGAUAGUAGCUAUGAACUGCAAAAUCUACUCAAUGCUGAUACAUUUGUUCAUGGUGGAUAGAAUGGUGAGAACUUAUGUCAAUUAUUUAAAAAAGAAUUAAAAAAUUGCUCAUCUUGAGUUGAGGAAACUCCUAUAUUGAAUAGAGGGAAAAGUUCAUUCUUCUCUAUCGUAUUUUCUUCAGUUUCAUCCAUGUCAGGAGCUGUUUGUCAAUCAUAGCCAUUACAUAUGAUAGAACUGAAUACUUCAAUUCUCCUUCAAUUUAUUUUUAUCAUAAGUUCAAGUUUCUAUUAUACAGGUUGAUUGCUCUGAUAUUCAGUUGGUGAGGAAAGACCUGGACAUAGCGGAUACUAAUGAAGACAAAGAAAUUGUAAUCACAAAGGAUGAGGACUUAAAACCAAACCUUGAUGUUCUACCAGCAACAAGUGCAGCAGCAGAAGAAGCAUCACUUCAGAAAGAAGGUGACAGAAUUGGGGAAGUCUCUGAAUCAGUUCCUCAGGAGCCAGUCCAUGAAACCACCACAAGAAAUGAAGAAAUUGCAACUGCAAUUACUGAUAAUUCAGAGAACGUCAUGGAAGAUAAGAUGCAUACACACACACCUCUUCAAUUGGCAUGUAACAAACAUGAUGUUUCAGAAGGCUUGAACCUGAAAGAUCCAGAGGUUGACACCAAUGAAAAUGGCACUUCACCUCUAUCUGAAAUGUCAUGGGAAGAAAUACCAGAUAAAGAGGGUGUGAUCAGUGAUGAAGAGAGACAACAUGAUCUGACAUCUGGCAAGCAAACAAUAGCUGAAUCAAUGCCAACAGAAGAAAAGGGUGCUAAGGAUGAAGAAAAGCACGCUAAGGAUGAGGAAGAGCACACAAAGGAUGAGGUAAGCAUCAUUACUAUUAUACUUGGAAACUCAACAAACAUGGAAUCCCCACGGAUAAAACUUGACACUUCAUCUGGUGCACAGGAACCAAGACAGUUUUCAGCUAGGGGCAGUGAGGGAAAGCUUGAAGAAGCUGAGAUGCACAGCACAAAAUGUAAUAAAGAUGGGGAAAUACAAGAUCAAAUUGAAAAGCUUAAUGCUUCAUCUCAAGUACAGUAUUCAUGCAUGGAGAUAUCAGAAAAAGAAGUCAGCAUGGAUCUUGCAGAAGCCAAUGAAUCCACUCAAGACAUUAAGCAGCUAGAGAAAGGCUCUGAUGAAACAUCUGAAAAGCAUAUUCCAAGAGAAGCAGAACCAAAUGAGAGCACAGAAGUAAUGAUUUCAAGUAGCAAAGAGGAUGUUCAGCUAGUGCCACAGGACCUACUUAGAAAAACCUUCCAGCAACCUGAGGUAGAAUCACUGGAAGCUGUAAAUGUUUCUGGGAUUGAAUCAGGAUUGAGAGAAAAAGACUCUAGAGGAGAGAAAACAAUGGGUGAUAUAAGCAAAGAACCAGCUGCUGACUCCACACCAAUGGGUCCUGCUGUGUCAUUAUCCGACCUCCUCCAGAGAUCUGUAAAAGAAACCUUGCAAGCACCUGGAUGCUUGACUGAAGAAAAAGAACCAAUGGCCAACCAAGAAGACGUGCUAGCUAAAGAAGAACAAGCCAUUAAGGUUCAAGAAGCAGGAACACAUGAAGAUAGAGAUGAGGAAGAGGAGGGAGAUGAACAUAAAAAAGACGAUUCAGGCUCUGAUGCUCCCAUCAUUGUAGAAGCCUCCAGAGAUAUGAAUGUUAAGGAUGGGCAUAAGAAAUCUCAUAAUAUUCUGUCAGGAGUUGGGUCAAAGGUUAAGCAUUCAAUUGCCAAGGUGAAGAAAGCCAUCACUGGCAAGUCUUCUCACCAAAAGCAUUCAUCACCAAAAGGAACAGCCACCAAAGUAAAGGAACAAAAAUAGGUUAUUUUCAGCAGUUAAAACCAGUUGGAAGUUUGUUUAAUCUGAAACAUUUAUGCAGAAGGGCUUGUGUGUAGUUUAUUUUUCUUUGUAGAUUAUCAGGUUGUGAGUGUGGUGUGCAUUUCUGUAGUGAAAGUUCAGAAUCACUAUUUGUGUAAAGUCAGUUAAAAAAUUAAGUUGUUGUAACAUAUUACAAUCUCCACAUUGCAGACUAUAUCCUCGCCUGUACAUUUAUGAGAUGGAUGGAGAGCCCCGAGGCCAUACUUGUUGAUUUGAUUAUCAAAGGUUCUACGGAAUUUAAAACCUAAAACUUAAUGCAAUCAGAAUAUUAGAAACCAUCAACAGGUGAUAUAACCAAAUAAAGGUAAACUAGAAAGCAACAUACUUAAUUCAUAACCAGAGAAUUAUCAGUGAAGUUAAACAAGUUCAAUGAGCUUAAUCAAGAUAACUACACCAACCCAAAUAUCCCCAAUCGAAAAUUCACAAUAAAAUCUCAUUGACACUCCCUAAAAAUAUAUCAUGUGUUCUAAAUUUUUCACAAUCAUUUCAACUAUUCUUAAAUUUAAAUUAGUCCAGUCUUGUAAACUAUUAAGAAAGAAAAACAGAUGCAUACAAACCCAGAAAAGAUUGAAUGAAAAGAAGAAAGAAAUUCAUGAAUGUAAACACAGCAAGUAAACCAGACCCAGUUCUUGAUGAAUGGAAACAAGCAUACAUUUACACUCAUUGUACAAAGUAUGGGCGGUAAACAAACCAAUUAGAAGACCAAAACUUAUCACAAUACGAGAAAUCCUCAGAAUGGACCCAUUCAGGGCUGUGACUGGUAAACUUCAAAUUUGAGGAAAAUUUCAUAUUCCUUCAACGAAAUUUCAGUUUUAAUGCAAACCCAAUUCGAGAUAUCAACGAUAAGAUAAAUAAACAACAUCUGAACAACAAACGGAAGCGUACAUAUGAAGAAACUUCAUGAGUAAGAAAUAGCAUUGGGAAAAGAGGAACCUGUAUUCAUUUAGACGAAGAUUUUGAAGUGGGUGGGAGGUGGGAAAAUCUCCAGUUCAAGUGUUGGUUGUGUGGCUGUUUAUUCAGCCACCAACGAUGUUUCUUUGUGUGACAACGGUCGGUUACUCUAGGCCAUAUGAUGGAGGAAUCGAAGUCGCAGACCAUUAUGGUUACGGGUUAGGCGAUAGGCGAUUUCAUAUCUAAAACCGCUCAAAUGACUCACUGUCACUGCUUUGUUGACUCGUAACUCGUAAGUCAUAAAUUCGUAAUUAGAACAGAAAAACAAUUAGAAGAGUAGUUCUAUAACAAAUAUCAUUGUCAUCAUGGGAUUAGAAGCACCUUCUAAAAUUAUCUUGAUAAAAAAAAAAUCAAAUAAUUUGACUCACUUUGAAAACAAUUUGGUAAAAUAUCAAGUGAGUAUUUUUAGAAAACAUUUUUAACAUAAAAAAACGUUUUUUCAAAAAAAUUAAGUUAGUAACUAUUUUUUAAAAUAAUUGUAAAAAAUAGUUUUAAGAACAAUUUUUAAAAACCAUUAUUUAAUAUUUUAUAAAACAAGAUUUCUUUGGAAACCUAAAAUGUUUUUAACCUACUUUUAAUGUUUUAAAAAUAUUUUUUACAUCUAUUGUUUUAUUUUUUUAAUCAUUCUCCAUGUUUAUAUGAUGAUUUUUUAAAACAAUUUUAAGAAAAUGCGUAAAAACAAUUGAAAACAGUUAAAAUGUGUUGUUCAAAAGUAAUUUGUUCUUUGCUUUUAAGAAUAGAAAAUAAAAAAUAAAAAACAAUUUUUUUUAUUGUCAAAUAUGUUUUCAUAUUUUUUUGUUUUAGAAAACAAAAAGUUAUUCUCGAAAACAGUUACCAAACAAAAUCAAAUGUUUGAUAAAUUUAUAAAGUAAAAAAAAAAAAAUCACUUUUUAGAUAACCAUUCGGGAAGUGAUUCUCCAAAUAAUAUUUUUAAAGAAAACAUUUUAAGUCAAAGACAUUUUGGAAACACUUUCGAUACUUAGAAAGUAGUUACCUAAAAAUGAAUCUUUAAUAAUUAAAUUUUCAAUGACCUACUAUGUUUUUAAAUAGUUUUCCUUUAAGAUAUAUUUCUCAUCUACUUGAACUCCUAAACCUUUUUUUCUCUUUGAUUUAUAUUUGAUUCUCCCUUAAACCUUUUUAUUUCUUCAUUUUGUAGUUUGUACUCAAUUGUAUGUGAAUAUCCCACCCCGUUUCUUCAUUCUGUCCUCUUCAAAGCAAAUGCCUUGCAUAGUUCUUGUUUGACUUUCUGCAUUGGUUUGAUCAUCUAAAUGUAUCCUACCAUCUAUAUGACUCCAAACUCACUAAAGAAAAAUUUCAUAUAAAGUUGGUCUCAGCCUAGGAAGUGGCAGCCAAUUUAAUAGUCAGUCCGUUGUUGUAAUCUGAAGCAAAACAACCCCCCAAAAUGAUCACAAACAUACUCCCAUUCUUCUUAAUUCUUGCCAUGAUCUCCGGUCGAUCAUAUUCCGGCAGCAUCUCCAUUUACUGGGGCCAAAACUCCAAGGAGGGAACAUUGGCUGAUACCUGUGGUACUGGAAGAUUUGCCUUUGUUAACAUAGCUUUCCUUCCUGUAUUUGGCAACAAUCAAACACCUGCACUGGACCUUGAUGACCACUGUGACCCCUCCACAAAGAAUGGCUGCACUGGUUUAGCCACUGAUAUUCGGUCGUGCCAAAGCAGGGGUGUCAAGGUCAUGUUGUCGAUUGGGGGCGGGGAUGGCAGCUACUUCCUUGCAUCAUCUGAAGAUGCAAAGCAGGUAGCUGCGUACCUGUGGGACAACUACUUGGGUGGAACAUCCCCUUCUAGGCCUUUUGGUGAUGCAGUGCUGGAUGGUAUUGAUUUUGACAUUGAAGGUGGAACCACACAGCACUGGGAUGAGCUAGCUAGGUAAAUGAAAAUCUGCUUAUUUGAAUUCAUUUUAUAAUCACAGAUGGCAUCAUCACUUCAUCGUUUGAUCGUUACAGCUACUUGAGAAGCUACAGCUUUGCAAAGAAGUUGUGUCUGACUGCAGCACCCCAGUGUCCCUUUCCUGAUGUAUACAUGGGGCAGGCCUUGUCCAGUGGCCUCUUUGAUUAUGUUUGGAUGCAAUUCUAUAACAAUUACUGUGAAUACAAAGGAAAUGCUGCUGAACUGAAAGCAACAUGGGAUACAUGGACUAGCAAUGUGACUGCAACAGGGUUCUUCCUGGGUCUCCCUGCUGCACCUAGUGCUGCAAGCAGUGGAUAUAUUCCUGCAGAUGUGUUGAUAUCUCAAGUUCUUCCAUUGGUGAAGAAUACCAGCAAGUAUGGAGGUGUGAUGCUGUGGUCUAAGUAUUAUGAUGAUCUGACUGGGUAUAGUUCUUCCAUAAAGAGUCAUGUUUGACGCUUUCUUUUGGGAGUAUCCAAAUGUUGUGAUAUUGGUGUGUUUAUUUAUGUAUUAAAAAACAUAAACGUUGGCCUCUUGUGAUUAAGUUGAGAUCAAGAUGCUUUGAAAAAUGAGAAAACAUCAUUGCAAGUUCUUUUCCUUUUUUGUCUUUUUAAGCAUUGAAUACAUUCUCCAUGGAGACCCCACAAAUGUACCCAAGAACAGAGCAACUUAAAGAAGAAACUUAAAAAGAGCAAAAAGCACAUACUGAAACAGAGCUCUUACAUUUCACUACUAAGAAAGGAUAAUUCCACCAGCAAGUUGCAGCAGUCAUGUCAGACCCUCCUCCCUCACAAGAUGGCAGUAGGGAAAUUAUUAAAGAGAAAAUGGAUUGAUUGAUGGAGAAGAAGACGAUUAUUAUCAUAAUGGAAGAUACAGCAACAUACAUUUAACUUAGAAUAUCGGGUGGAGAUGGAGGAUAGGGCCUGUAGGAACUGGCAGUAGGAGGCCGAGGCGCCACUCCCUUGCCAUUGCGCAGCAUCUCCUUUCCUUUAUGGAUAUCGCCGCCAAUUCCACCUCUCCUUCCCAUGAUAUUCACAGUAUACACAGCAUGUUUCAGUUUUUCAUGUGGGCUGCCGUAGCCAUCUGAUCUCAUGUCAAUACCAAGUGGGUCAGCUCCCAUGGCUGAAAUACUGAGGAACAUCAGCAGGAAAGCUAAAAAGACCAACUUCAUUGUUAGAUUGAGCAAUGAAGCAUUACUUGAUUCUCUGAAUAUAUAGAAGCAAUGACGCAUUACUUGCUGAAUAUGUAGGACUUGUGUACGCCGAUGAAGCAUUACUUGCUGAAUAUAUAUAAGAAAAAGGGUUACUAUUAAUCAUCUUUAUCCUUUUUUUUUUCUUUUUUAUUGGUCUCAUUUUGAUAAAAAUGUUCUCACUUUUUUCUUGUAAAAAUAUAUAUAUAUAUUUUUAAAAAACCUAUAUGUAAAUACUUGAAAUUACAAAUGACAAAGGGUAUUUAUGUCCAAAAUGAGUUACUUUAAAAAAAAAAAAAACAUAAAGAUGAUUAAAUUCACAAAUUUAGGGAUUAUUUAAUCCAUUUUAAGCAAUUAUUUAUUAGAAAAAUGGGGCAGAGGAUGUCAUUCUUUACUAGGCAUUCCUGUUCAGAUCAAACUAUUGGGGAGGAUAGAGGCAUCCAUUGGUUACAAACUGUGAGUAAUAAAAUAAAUAAAUUCUAUAAUUUUCAAUUUUAAAACUAACACAUUAACCAAAGUGGUAUUGGCUAAUUAACUCCAAACCCAAAUAAUUUAAAUGAGAACUAAAUAAAGUUUGAAUUAAAAUCUUAAUAAAGAAAAAUUUCUAAUCUAAUCAUCAUUCUUCGCCCAAACUAAUCGUACCUGAAAAUUUGUUAACAAAUGAAAAUGAACUCAAAACCUAAUAAAGAGUAUUAAUACAGUUUCAUAGAUAAAACAUUUUCGAUUAUAAUUAUAAACAAGAGAUAUAAUGUAUAAGGGCAAAAAAUGUCAAUAAUUUUAAUGUCUUGACUAAGGUUAUAUAAACUAGAAUCAAACAUUUUAUUUCAUUAAUUCAAACUUACAAAAUAGAACAUUAUAUCUUUAUAAUUUUCAUUUUUUAUAAAGAAAGAAAAUAUUCAAACAUAUUUUGAAUACAAAACAGAUAUUUGAUCCAUGCAUAGAAAUAAAAAUAAUUUUUUUAAUUAAAAAUAAUAUGCAAAAAGAAAUGCAUUUUUUUUAUAAAAUCUGUAUUAAUUUCUCUUACCUUAACAAAACACUCAAAAUCUUAAACAAUUUUCUCCUCACCUAACAUAAUAUCAUAACCAUAUUUUUUUAUAUACUUAAAUUAUAUUAAAACUUUUACUAAUGAUAAUAAUUAUUAUUAUUAUAAUUAAUCCCCCGUAUCCCAACCAUACACCAAUCCUAGAAAAUUUAAGUUUUUGAAACUUUGUUUUUAAUUUUUUAAUUCAAGUGCAGAAUGAAAAAAAAUUAUCAUUUCAUACACUCAAACGGCAAUUCUAAAUUUUUUUCUAAAAUUACCCUCCCGCUUCUCCCUCCCCUCCAAAAUCUACCGUCACCUUGCGGGCGUCAUCGUCUCUCUAAUCGGCAACCUCUCUUCUCCCCUCACUCUUCUCUUUCUCUAUUUCUCCCUUUAUCUCUUUUUUCCUUCCCUUUCUCGACAUCACCACUAUCACUACUGUCGGCGCCAUCACCAUGGCCGGCUGUCACUCAUAGUCCCCUCCGGCUGGCAACCUCCCUCUCUCUCUCUCUCUCCCUUUUCCCUCCCUAUUUGUCUCUCCUUCCUUCCCUUUCCACAUCACCACCGCCACCACUCGCAACAACCCAUUGCUCCUGCCAACUCUGAUCGGCGACACCAAUCGCCACCAGUGAAAGGCGACAGUAGCAGUGGGUUGCUGGCAGUGGUGGACAACUCCACCUAUUCCCGUCAUUAUUAUUAUUAUUAUUAUUAUUAUAUAAUAGUGCAUUUGAAUUUUUUGUUUUUUUUUUCUCCACCACUUCUCGCUAGCCAUCAGGUCCACCACUGACGGCUACCAAACAAGCCCCAUAAGUCACAUGUAGCACGACACACACUCCACAAAACCUUUCUGUUUAUUUAUUUAUUUUCUCGUUCCAAAUUAUUACCACACGACAAAACUAUAAUUUUUUUUCCCCAUUUCUUUUCGAAUCUCAAGCCUGCAUAAUUGAACUAUUUUAUUUGUUUAUUUAUUUCAUUUAAACCUUUUUUUUUAAUCUACUCAAUUCAAUAUUUAUAUUCUAAAUCUCCAAAUCUUCAAUCCUAUAUUACUCCAUUACUCUAUGUUUUUUUUAUUUCUCUGUUCUCCAUAUUAAAAAAGUUUUCUUUUUAUCCUUAUUAAAUUAAAUUAAUUCAUUUUUAUAUUUUAAAUUACAGUUUCACGGCCUAAAUUGGGUUUGGGGCGCGGCGUCAGAAAACUACUGGGCAGAAUAGGGGCAUAUUGUUAGUGGAAAUUAAGUUAAUUAAACGUGGAAGGACAGCACGAAAAGUUGGAUCACGGGUCCCAAAACAUUGUGCCACUGGACCUUACUUUUGGCUGAUUCCAAUAUUCCCACCUUCAGUCUAUUAUAUUGUGAACACUUCUACCUAGACGCAGAGCCCAUCUAUUUAUUAAGACCGUGCAGACGUUUCUACGACAUGUGAAGGAUAUGGAGCAUGUGAAUUUUGAUUCCAUCCAUUCACGUUCCUAUAAUAUUCUUGUGUAUUAUAAACCCUCGCAAUUCAGUAAAAUAUUUAGGUAGCAUUUCAGUGGAUCUUUCAGAGGAAUAUUUAACUUAAGCGUCAGGAGUCCAUUAAUGGCCAGGUUACCUCACCAAUGCCUCCAGCAGGAAACAAGGAGAGGCUGGAAUGUAAGCAAUGUUCCAGAGUCCAGACUCAAGUUUACAUGCAUUUAUGCUCUCCUUUUGGUCUUAGAUCUGCUGAAAACCCAAAAAAUAGUUGUUCAACAAGGGAGGCUUUUACUAUUUGAAAUCAAAAUAACUACUUUUACCAUAGAAAAAUUUUAGCCAAUCACACUCCUAAUUGGCAGUGUUCCAAGGUAAUGUAUAUGUCACAAGAAAACCUAAUGGACCAUGAGCAAAAUUGACUUGGCUUCCAAAACCAGGACUAACAUGAAUCAGUAAGUUACCGAUAACACAAAGGUACCGGGAUUUCAGAGGGGCUUCAGCUUUUCUCUGAUCCCUGUGCUGCUUCAAUUUUUUGCUUCCUUUCCUUGAGAAGAUUGACAUGAGCCCGCUUCCGUUCCUUGCCAAUCUGGAUUUGAGACAAUAGAUUCACAAAUCAAACCCCAGAUAAAGUUCAUCUCAAUUUUGCAGGAUAAUUCAUCCCAUAACAAAUUUAAAUUCAAAUAGUCAUGAACUAGAAAAUUCAAUUGAAUUAGAACUUUUAUCUCAUUGUACCAAACUAUGGGCCAAAAUAGAAAUGAAGACAAAAACACCAAGUAUGUUUAUAUGACACAGCUAACACUAGGAUGAACAUUUUUAAGGAUAUUUCAAACCAAUGAAACCUUUGGACUAUUGGCAUGCCAACCCAAACGAACUCAAUUCCCACUUGUCUAUUUGAAUGGAAAAACUCACUCCAAUCAUGCCAUUAGAUACAUGCUAAAGCAUGCAUAUGGCCAAAACAAAUAAACAAGGCAGCAAAACUAAAAAACAGUUCAGAGUAAGAAGCAUGCCAAGAAGCAUCCAGUUUGUCUUAAAACGCAAUUUUUGCUAUGGUUCCACCACUAAGUACCACUAACCAGUGAAGUUUUGUAGGGAACUCACAUCAUAAUGCUUUCUAACUUUUCACAGAAACUAAGAUUGUAGCUUUUAAUUUUAAUGGAUGUAAAAGAAAUCUGAAAUUUGUAAAUACUGCUCUUAGCUUGUGUACAAAUCAUGCAAAUCACUGUGUAUACCAACUAAGAUAAAGCCUACUUUCAAGUCUCAGAAACAGAACAACAUGCGGAAACCUGUUUAUUAUGAACAAAAGAAGGUAAUAUUUUAUACUUAAUUGCAAGAAAAAAAUUUUACAUGCUGCAUCAUGCAUGUCAAAAAGGAAUAAUAGCAGCAUAAUAGGAGUUAACAAAGUUACCUGCAUCGCUUCAUAAAGCCUUCUCUUCUUACGUGACAUGACAACCUUGGACAUGGUGGUAGUAUCCUCAGCAAUUUGUUGCAUAUCGGGGAGAGAUUCUUCCCAAGCCUCAGUGUCCUCGACAGAGCUUUGCUUAUUCAUAUUCGAGACAGAUGAAGAAUACUGGACACCCUGGAGUUCCAGUUGCAAUUCAUUGUGAUACUGAUUCUCAAGAGCUAACAUCUGCAUCCAACACAAAUUUGUGAGCUUAAAAUUAAUAGAAGUUAAAAGAAAAUGCUGCAGACGAAUGACAAGGACAAAGAAUGGAUACCUAAAAGAAAAUAAUGAGUCAGGUUGUGAUUGAAAAUGAUAAAAAUGAGGCACAUAGAAUAUAUUUUUGAAAGAAGUUACAAUGGAGAAGAAGAAAAGAAGAGGUAAGGGCACUUUCAUCGAUGCUCAAUUUUUAACAGAAAUUAACUUAUAAAUGGAUUGUUAAAACAUGUGAAUUUAAAAGCGGGGAAAAAAAGAUUGAAAAAAUUUCAGUGUUGAUUCAAUUUUUCCCCCUCCAGACAAGCACGUUUCAGGUGUUAAUAAAAGUCGAUUUCUUGAAAAGAAAAAAUAGAACAAAUAGACUCCUAUAUGGCACUUGUAAUUUUAUACAAUUGGUCAUUAACGCAUGGUUCUAAUACUUUCAAUAGCACAUAAGAGGAUCUUCAUGCAUGUGGCAGCAGUAACACAUGUAUACACAGGCACGUACAAUCGAACCACUAGUCACAGGCUAAUCCUAAUAGCUAAGCCUACUGUUUAACACUUCAUUUUAUUUUUUUAUUUUACUCAAAGAGGUUAUAGGUGGUCUGCAAAUCCAACUAGUUUCCAGUUUGAUGAACAGUCUGACAUCUAUAGAAUUCCACCAACCAAUCCCAUGCAUGAACCAGCAGGUUUCUGAUUCCAUGAGUGGCUGACUUUCAGAAACCGUACUGUCUUUGGCUGGUAUACCAUAAUCAAUUUUAUCUGAUUGCUGAAAGAGUUUGUACCUUCUGUUUUCUCUCUGCAACUUCAUUGGCUUCAGUUCGGCUGAUAAUACCUUCUACCAGUAAAUUCUGAGGAUCAUCCAAAUCUUCUUUUCCGGCACCUGGAAUUGGAAGGACUUCUUUUCUUGCAGCAGCUUGCAGUCUUUUGAUCAUCUCUGCAUACUCAGGAACAUAACCUUCGGCCUCAUUGUCAAUGAACGGUGAUAGAUGUGGAGGAGGAACCCUGUUGAGACAAAAAUAUGUUGAAUACCUGACAUGUUAUCAUUUGAUAAUGCAAUUUGUGUACUGGAAUUUUCAUUACAGAUAUCAAAAGAAAUAAGGUUUCUUUUCAGUCCCUUACAAAACAAUCCAUGUUGAUUUAACCAUUGGACUUGGAGAGGAAUAAACUAAAAUUUUCCAAUAAUUAUAUGCUAGGCAAGCAUAAAUUUUAUUAACAGCACCAAGGAAAGAGGCACAUCAAAGUAUAUCGGGCAUACACAGAGGGCGCCAAAGACAAAGACAAAAAAGGAAAAAGGGGAGCAACAAAAACAAAAGACACCCCUUAGCUAGUGCCUAACCCACAUCAAAAGAAUUCAAACAACAAGGAUUUUAGUGCUUGAUCCAUCUGCCCCUCACUUUAAAAUGAUCUCCAAUUUCUCUCGAUUCAUAUCAUUUAAAACAUGCACAAAGGAAACCCUAAAUCUUUUUUACAUUCUUUCCACAUGAAGGGACCCAUAACAACCUAAGAAAAGACACCAUCCAUGUAUGCUAAACAAGGAGAACACCAACUUCCAUAAAACCAUUGACUUUUGCGUAAUGUUGGAGAAUGUUAUCAAUUGAAUCUUUCUCCUUGGCAAAGAAAGCAUCUAUGACCAAUAACCAUUUUCAUCAAUGACCAUCUAUUUAUUGAGAUAAUUAAUAUUAAGUAAGAAUCUAUAUGACCAGGACUAUAACUUGUCAUUCUAUCAUGAUGAAAGUGAGAGGUUAACUUAGUUCAAGCAAGUGCACGCACACUUAUAAAAGUGAGAAAGAUAAUAGAAGAAUAUGUUCCCCAAAAAUUACCUUCCCACCAUAUAAGCAUCAGUUGGUAAUAUGAUCCGUGCAUUUACACAAUCAAAAACCCACUGUGGCUGUACAUAUUCUCUUGAAAGGAAUAUAUGCCCCUGUGUUGGCCUGUCAACAAUCUGCAGAAAUUAAUGUGAUCAAUAAAAAUGUCUAAUAUACAUUUUAAACAAUACAUUGCCAGGCUAAGGAAAGAUAUAGAUUUGUCUACUUGUAUUAAAAAUAGGAGAUUGUCAUUGCAAUGGAUAGAAAUACAAAAAUCUGGGGCAUUAAAAAUAGGAAUGUAUGCUCCUAAUGGCAAACCUUCCCACCUGAAAAGUACUAAAGAAAUUUGUCAGGGGCCCAGGGCAAGGCACUGCCACCUUGCAGUAUAACAGAAGACACUAACAGGAAGCUGUUUUCAUAAUAAAGGCUACUAUCCUGUUAUUUCUAACUCACUUUUAUUUUAGACAUAUGAAGUAUGAGAAUUCAGUUAAAAUAUAUUUAAAUAUUCAUCCAAUCAUGUCAAUUUUUUUGAUAGGUCAAAUAAGCAGAUUUAUUAAAAGUGCUAGGAUGAGAUUUCCUUUUUAUCAGAAGCGCUUGGAUGACAUGAUCAUCCAAUCAUAUCAAUAUAUCAUGAAUUAUGAUUCUUAUAAAAUACAGAGAAGUAAACAAGUCUGCCAGUAUGUCUAGACCUUAUCUUAAACCUUGUCACAUGAAUUCAAAAGCCAACUGAAAAAACUUGAUGACAAUACAAUUUCCUGUUCACCAAAAGUUAUCCUGAGGCUCCUGAGCAAAGAGAUAACAUACUAGCAAACUCAACUCAAUGAAGCCUUGAGCAAACUACUUGAAUCGGUACACUUUCAACAAUCAGCUUUAUCUAAAGACCAUAUCUGAAGUUAAACGAUAGGCUCCACAUCUUGAUUCAUGCCCUUAACACAAUCCUUACAGCCUCCUCAAAUUUAAUCAAACCACUCCAUAAUGGUAAUCAUUAGUCUGGAACUAACCAAAUUAUCUUGAUAAACCCCCACAUCUAAUUGUCAAAUGGUGCCACCAAAAGGCUUUUCAUGAAAGCAUGAUGUAUAUGGCAGAAUUAGGCAUCCACAACUACUACAGGGCAUCAUAUCAACUAGUAACCAAAAGCAGCAUAAUUGAACAAUCAUAACAGCAUGACAUUCAGUUUUAAAGACAAUUAGAUGAGGAAUUUUUGUUUUCUAAUGUCCAUAUGCAUCCUCAUAGAAUAGCAGACCUGAUAAGUGAUGCUCUGAUCAGCUUCCUUAAAUGGAGCUCCUUCUCCCUCCCAAGAAACCACACCACCAAAAGCAGGAAUGACAAAAAGCAAUGACUCUCUGGGAACCUGAACAUGGAAAAGAUAUCUUAUAAAAUGAUAUAUACAUAUAUAUGUGUGUGUGUGUGUGUGUGGAGAGAGAGAGAGAGAGAUGUAUUCCAAUACAACUCAACUGACUAACAGAAUUAAGAAUCCACCAAUAUAGGAGAAUUUGAUAAAUAUGCUUUAAACAUAUACACAUUAUUCAAAUGUUAAUUUUUAAAUUUGCUUUAGGCAAAGAUCAAGAAUAUUAAUAGAGCCUCACAAAAGGGUGCACAAAAACAUACAUGGGGUAUACAAAGGUGCCAAAAGGCUAACCAAAGUGAAGAGACACAUAUCCUUGCCAACUUAGAGCUCAACCAAUCAAUAAAAUCCAUCAUGAACAUUUUUGCCUUGUGUUAAUAUAUUCCGUGUUUACUUAUCAAAAAAAAAAAAAAAUCCAUCAUGAGCAAUGAAUAAUCUUCUAAAUACACUUCAACGCACUCAAAAAGAUUUAUUCAUAAAGGAUUUCUUCUGCCUUAGAUGGCAUCUGUUCAACAUCUUCCAUCCCAUCCUUUUGAGCUGAUCAAAUGUCAAUUAUCCUUCUCCACAUUGCUUACCAAGCAAAAAGGUCAACUUUGGACAAAACCAAAGGAUUCCAAAUAAUACUAGAAGGAAAAGCAAGCCUCCAUUUUUCCAUUACAUAAAGAGGAAUCAAGUGAUUUAAGUGAAAAUUGUUACACUUUGAGUUCAACCAAACCAUUUUAUCCCAUAUGUCUUUACAAAUUGUUUGUGCUUGUCUACUAAAAAUAGUCUUCACCCUGCCUAGUUCCUAGUCAUGAAUUUGUCUUGUGAAAUGGAGGUUACAAUAGCCCCCCUUACCUAUUUGCUCCCACACCUCAGCUACCCAUGCAUCUUUAGCAAGAGCUAUUGAAAACAACUGCAAGAAAAUCCUAUCCAAGGGGUAAGUCACCACACCAUCAAUCCUUCCAAAAUUUCACCCUCUGCUUGUUCCCAUUUUAAAACCAGUUUUACUAUUAAAGCACCCUACCUGCCCUACCUGCUUUUGAUUGCCUUUCACACACCCAUCCCAUAUCCUUCCCUCACUCCUCUAGAGCACCAUUCACCCUCCUCAUACUUCAUUGAAAACACCCACUUCUAUAGGGAUUCCCUUUCAAUAGUGAAUUUCCAACACCAUUUGAUGAGAAAAGCCUCGUCAACAAUGGACAGACUUCUAAUACCCAAGCUCCUAUUCCUCUCGUCCAUGCAAACUAUCUAACAAUUUACCAAAUGCAGCUUUCUUAGCAAGUUAAUGUCAUGAAUGACAGUUCGCAGUCCAAGGUGUAAUAAAAAUAGUGAUGCAUGAGAAUGUAUAUUAAGAUUAGGAAAAAUCAACCCCAUACAGUAUGAUUGAAUUUUAUGUUUAUAAACAUAUAAAUGCCUCUUUAUCGGUUGUGAACAGAAUAUCUCAACUAGUCAAAUAAGAUGGAAAGAAGAAAAAAACAAAAAAAGUUCUAGAGAGUAGGAACAAUGCCAGUAUUCAUCUGGGACCUCUAACAUGAUGGAAUGGGUUAGCAAAAAGACUAGUGACACAUAAAGUGCUAUAAUCUUUUAGAAAGGUUCCAAUAUCCCUCACAAAGGUUUCCAGCCUGGCUAAUUCAAGACACUUUCAUUGUCAGAUGUUCCAAGUGAAAUCAUUUUCUAGACUAUUAAUGUCACAUUUAUUAGAAGCAAAACAAGGAACAAUGCUACUAUUCACUUGGGAUCCAUAACAUGAUUAGGUGGGUUAGCAAAAAGACUAGUAACAGAGUUUUUUUUUUUUAAUAGGCCAAAAGGAGUAGUAACAUAUGAUGUACUAUAAUCUUUUAGAAAGGUGCCAAUAUCUAUUGCAAAGGCUUCAAGAGUGGCUAACUCAAGAUUCUUUCAUUGUCAUAGUGUCGUGAGCUCAUAGGCAAGAUUUAUCUACAACCUAGAAGGGGAGAAGCUCUAGAGCACUAUAUCAUUUCUCUGGUUAGUCUACAUAAUAAGCCACUAAGGUUUUCCACAGAAUGAAAGCCUUACCUAAAACUUAGCCCAUGAUUAUUGGUUUUGGAGAAAUUGCUACAUGCGGAACCCACUUGAACCCACAUGAGUGACUAUUCUCCCACACCAAAAAAGAAAGAAGAAGAAGGAAUACAAUCCUAUAUUUUGGUCCAAGCAACAUCAUAAAAUACCACUAUGUCCAAUAAUGACCACCUUAUCCCACCUCACAACUCCAUUUUGGGAAGAAGGCGUGGAGAACCGCUUCAUUAUGUAUUUUUUGGACUAUUUGGAAAGAAAUCAAAGAGUGUUUGAAGAUGAGGAGACAUCAAAUCAAAGUCCUAAAAAUUAUUUCCUUAACAAUCUUGCUAUGUGGAAUUGGAUGUACAUAAAUGGGAGUACUUUGUACUUAAUUGAUUGUGUAGAUCGGAUGAGUUCUUGUUGAGGAAGGAAGUAGUUUUUUGUUUUCCCUAUUUUUUGUUUGGCCCUUUUCGUUUAUUGUAUGCGUCUUCUGUACUUGUGUGCAUUUUUAUACGCUUUUAAUAUAUUCUCUUACUUAUCUCACCUCACGACUCAAGAAGAAUUUCUUAUUCUUGAAGAGUGUUUUACACUCCCUUGUUUCUUCAUCAUCCUCAUCUUCACAAGAGGCAUCUUCAACAAGGUGCAUUAAUGUGCCAGGUUCAUUGGAAGGAAGCUGAUGCUGAAGUUGGGCAAGCCUGAGUUCGGACUCAUCAGGUUGAGUUCCAUCUUUUGUGAUGUCAAUUUGCUCAGCUCCAGAAGAACUGACAGCUUGAGAUCCCAACACCGUGGCACUAGAGUUGGCAGCAAAGUAUCUUGACAAUCCAUAAAGAUCUGCACAACUCAAACAAUACCAAAUAAAAAUACUAUAGCAUCAAUCACAUACUAGUUCUCAAGGCGAGAACCAAGAAAUUUCUCUCCAAAUGUAUAUAAUAAAAUAUACCUGCUGCCAAAGCUUCCAAUCGAGAAUCAAGAAUGGGUGGAUAUUUCACGUUAAUUGAAUGAUAAAGUCUAAAAUUGACAAAAGCAAGAAGAGUCUGCACCAAAAAAUGAAAACGAAAACGAAAUACAUAAGAAAAAUGAAUUAGAUGGCAAACAUGUGCCAUGUUUAUUUAUUCAGAAACAACAUUUCACUAAAUGGAUUAAAAGUACGAGGAUGAGUAAUCCUUCAACUGGACAUAUGAUCUAUUACAAGAAGGAAGUAAAGUGGUGGAAGGAGCCAUGCCCUCCCUCAAAAAAAUGAGCAAACUAGUGGUAAAAAAGAUAGAACCCCAAACCUACCAAGAAAAAAAAAUAAAAGAAAGAGCCCCCUAGGGCUGCCCAACAAAGACCUUCAAAUUAUACUUUAACAACCUAAUGGUUGUAGACUCAGCAUUAGUGAUAGAAUGGGUAUCCCAAGGGAAGCCUUUUCUAGAGCUUUCAGUUGUUCCUUCCUUCAGAUCCCUAGGUCAGCAAAUCAAAUUGUAGAUCCUUUUGCUAAGUGAGGAGCUUCUCAGUUUAGAACCUUUUGGCCAUGUGAAGGUUGUAGCUUUUGUUUUGAUGUGCCUACCACUUCUUAACAUUGUCUCUGUUCAUUUUUGUAUUUUCACAUUCAUUUUCUAUGAAAUGAAUUGGUUUGUUGUAGAUUUAGAAUAAAAUAAAAUAACAACUACUAGGUUUUUUGUAUUUAGAAAAAAAAAAUAGAAAGAGCAAAAAUGUGCUGUGAGACAGUUAACUGUUUCAUUUAACUCCUGUUUUAGGACAUGUCCUCAUGCCUCACUUUUCAUUCUAUUUAACAAAAUUGCAAUUUUUGGAGUCUCACCUUUUUGUUUUAAUUCAUGUUCAGUUUUAAUACCCUCAAGGUCUCAACAAUUUGUUGAGUAAUUUAAGAUGGAAAAGACCUAGUUUAGUUUCAACCGCAACCCUAUGGCCUCUCCCCAACUCCCAAAGAAAAACACCAGUGAACAAAAUUGAAAUCCGAAAAUUAUCAAAUCUGACCUCAUAGAACUCCAAGAAAGUUAACAUGACAUUGAAAUCAACAUCAUCAGUCAAGACUUGCUGCAGUGUAUGAGGGGUUAACCAUGUUAUCUUUUGCCCCUCCACCUCAGCCUGUAUAAAUGAACAGCACAAUAUGGUAACCUAAAUAAAACGCCAUGUUCCUGAACAAAUGAUACCUAUAAAAACACAGUGAUCUCAUGAUACCUGGUAAUAUAUGCCUUUCACUGAUAUGAAGGUUUUUCGCAAUUUAUGAGUACGACAAAUGUAUGCCUGCCACUCAUGGCUCAACCUAACCAACCAAAAAAAAGCACAAUCAAUUUGCAAUAACAUCAACACAUGCAAUGAAUUCAAUAGACAAAUGAUAAUACUGUAAAACCAUAAUAAGUUAUCAACAUUUAAAUAACCAUUAGCACUCUCUUAGCAAAUAAACUGUACCAACCUUCGACAAUUAUGGAUUCGCUUAACUUGAAUUUUUUCACUCUCUAAUGCAGGUAAUGAUGCAAAAAGGUGCACCAUGGUGAGACAGUCAUCCAAAUCCCUGAGAGCAUCAGUGAAUUUUGGAUACCUAAAAGCAAAGCACAACAAAACAAGCAAGUCAACGAUACUUGAUUAGGGCAAUAAAGUGGCUAAAUCCAUGGGGAAUACAAUGAACAAACCUCUCACGAAUAAGCCUAUCUAGUGUGUAAUUUGGCCGGCGAGUCAAGAGACGCUCAGCAAGGUCUCGGUUCUUCUUAGCUUUAGCUUUAUUUACCUUCUUGUCGUAUGCCCUUAUAUUUCUGAACUUCUCAAGCAAUGGUUCGUGUUGAAGGAAUGCAAUAUCCUUUGUGUGAUAGUAAGUGUGGUGAUUUCCCUUGACCUUCUUCUUUGGCUCCCGAGGAAAUACACCCUUGAGUAUGCAUAAUCUCCUAAAAAAAUUUAUACCAAUAACAAAAUGAGUCCAUAGUUUCCAUAACUGUUUGGGCAUGACCCUUGCUAAUACUGGAUUCAAAUCCUAAAAGCCUAAUUGUAAAAACAAAAUUCAUAUCUCCUCUAACAUAAAUAAAACCAAGGUUCUGUUUGGUUGCCAAGAAAAUUGUGGAAUCUAAGACUCGACGAAGGUUUCCAUGGUUUUUCAGCAGCCAAUUCGUGUCAUUUUCAGUAGAAAGCACACCAAAUGAAAUCAAUAAACAAAAAAGAAAAAAAAAUCCACACACAUCAAUCGACUUCUGUAAUUUCCAAAAAAACUCGAACUUGAAUGAUAGAUAAAUCCUAAAUCAAAGGGUACCAAAGAGAGAUACCUGAAAAGGGGAAGGCUGACUUGAAGAUGUUUAACAGCUUGUGACCUGGUGAUGUAUUUGGCGGCAUUACCUUCCUUUUUCUUCCCCUGUAUUAAUACAAAAGAAAAAUUAACGAAAAAAAAUACAAAUUUCCAAGGAACGAUGAGGACAAGGUCGUGGAAUGGAGCUUACGGGAGGCCUGUAAUGCUUCGGCAUGGCUAGAAAGAAAAAGGUAGGCUGGUCAGUAAAGAAAGAGAAUGUGCGCGAGGAUGGAGGCGUUUCGAAGAUUUAGGGUUUUAGUUUCGGUGGUAGAAGACGCAUGCCGGUGGAAACGGGCCAAAAAGGGGUAAUAUAAUGGGCUGAGGCCCAAAGGAGAAACAAGAAUUAAAUGGGCUAAAGCCCAUUUAAACUUGAGCCGACACCUAUAUCACACAAAUGGCACGUGACGUGGAGGUUGGAGUUUACCGCGGCCACAUGGACACCGUGAAAAUCAAAUUUUAAGUUAGCCGCCACUUAAAACCGAGCAGCUUCCCGCCAAUUCAAAUAUUAUAAUGCUCAACUCCAAAUAUUCACAACGCCUCUCUUUCUUCCCCAAUCUCACUCCCUCUCUAUCUGGUUUCGAUUUAUGCAAAUGGAGAGCUGUAAACCCCAAUCCUUCUUUCAGGACAUCAGAUCUAGAGAGCUCAAUGGGUUCAGAGGUGCCUCUUUAUCUCUAUUUCUCUCUCUGUACAUAAUGUAGUCUCUGUGAUUUCUCUCUGAAAUUUGAUUUCUAUGUUUUCAGUUCGAAAACGGCCUUACUCCGGCGUUGACUCAUCGGGGUUUAGUGAAGUUGGGGCUGUGGCUGUUGAGCAUAAUGGCUUUGAUACACCUCCAUUGGCCGUUUCUUUCUGCAAGGUUGGAUUUUUAUCCAUGUCCACCUGGUCACCUACUGCGAUUUUUAUUUUCCAUUUUUUUUUCCUUAUAUCGGGUUCUGUUUAGUUUUUAGGUUCAUCUCACAUUUUUUUAAAUACUGGGUUCUCUUUCUUUGGUGAGAAAUGAAAGAAAAGAAUGAAAAAGCGAUUUUUUUGUCAAUCUUAUGUGUGAGUUUUCUUGGGGUUCAAAUGAUUAAAAGCUAUGAGUAUGGAAUUUUGGACUUUUUUUCGUACGUUUUUUUCCAACAUCCAAAUGGGCGUUACGUAUUUUGAACAAUCAUGGGCAAGUUAAAUGUUCUGUUAAUUUGUAAAAUUCUGAUUCUGCAGACAAGUAAAAAUUUCCAUAUCCUUGCUGUGUCUGACGAGGAUGGAUAUGUGAGCUUGUUUGAUAGUCGGCGGAGGCAUCCGUAUUUUGCAUCAUACCAGGAAAACGCAGGUUUGUUCAGUUUAUCAAAUUACAUUUUAGGGUUUUGAUUACUCUUGGUUCACUUUUACCAGUCUUCACUUAGUUUCUGAUGAAAAUUAAUCAUCUUAUGUGCAGAGAAAGCAAGACUUUACGAAUGGGUUGCCCAUGAUAAUGCAGUGUUUGAUGUAUGCUGGAUCAAGGUAUGCACUUGUCAUAAGGAUUUGUUGAAGAUUUGUGAUGUAUUUUGAUUUGCACACACAAUUAAGUCAGAAUUAUUAAAUUUUCCCAAUAUUAAAUUUUCCCAAUUUCGCAUCAAUUUUUUGGCAGAGGAUAAUUUCACUCAACAUCUUACAACAAAAAGAGUUGCAAUUGAAGCUUUCUUAGGUGUUCUUGUGUGCAGUAAUUCAGUUUAAUCCUUAUUAGUUGUUUCUAAUCCAACAUUUCUAAAAUUUGGGAGUUUAGAGAUUUGAGCAAUAUCCUUCAUUCCACAUUAAAAAUCGUAUGGUGAUCAGUCAUGCAGUGCCAUCAGAUUUGAAAUUAUUGUUUUAUUAAUUUAAAUUAUAACAAUAUCAUUGAUUUUUAUUAUGGGCAAUAUAGCCACAAAACUUAUAGUUUGGGUUUAUGGGAAAACUGUAUGGUGAAGGCCAUGGCUUUGCAUUCAAAUUAAGACAAAUAACCAACAUUAAUUAUGAAUUUGGUAAUUUCUAGUGUUGGAUUUGGUCAUGGCUUGAUAUAUUUUUUUAUAAUUGCAGGAUGACACAUGUAUUCUGACAGCUUCAGGUGAUCAAUCGGUAAGUAACUACACAUUGAAUUAGAUUGUUUACUUGGAUAGCAUUUUCCAUCUACGGAAAAACAAUGGUAUUUGUUAAACAAAAGCUCAUUUGCAUAAUGCAUGCUGCAAGUUUGGUAUCACAUUUCUUUUGAAUAUGCAUGCAAUAUUUAGCUCUUGAAGUGUUUACAAAUGCCCACCUUUGGAUGAUAAAAGUCAUUUAUUUUUUUAAAGUUUUGAUUGAGGAUGUUCUUUUAAUCAAUUUUCAACCUAAAUGCCCUACUGUGUAGUGUUGGGGACCUAAUUUGGUGAUUAACUAUGGUUCUGUGAUGUGGAUUCAGUGCACUGUGGAAUUUUGAAACUUCGACAAGUAUCAUCAGUAAGGAUUUGGAACAAUAUUUGAUCCUGUGAAGUGUAAAACAUACAUAACAUGAAUUUUUCUGGUUUAGUUCUGUGCUUCUGACCUUCUUAGCUUGUUACAUCCCAAUAGCAUACUUCCAUGACCAAGUCAGUUGCUUCAUGAAUUCAUUAAUGGCAUUGCUUUAUUGGUUGAUAAAAAUUUAAAGCAACCCACAAAAAAUUCUCAGUGGAUAAUAAGAAAAGAGUUCAGUAGGGAUUCAACGCCAUAAGAAAAGUAAAGUCACUUCAGGAAAAAAAAAGAAAAAGGAUUCAUUUUAAAACAAGUUAUGAUUCUGGUUAUAUUCAAUGCUAAAUCUGAGUCGACAGAAUUUUCAUCUAUUGUUUAAAUUUUACAGAUAAAGGUUUGGGAUGCACAGGAAAAGAAAUGUACUGGAAUGUUGAUGGGGCACACAGGAAGUGUGAAAUCUCUGUGCCCUCAUCCAAGUAAUCCUGGUAUAUUUAUGUUUUCACCUACAUCUCCUUUUUUUCUAUUUAUACUUGAAAGAUGCUUAUAAUUUCACUUUUCAUUUUUCAAUAGAUCUUGUUGUCUCUGGUUCAAGAGAUGGGUCCUUUGCUAUUUGGGACCUGAGAGGCGGUUCCAGAACUAGACGUGGGGAUAUCUGGAUACCGUAAGUUACAAUUACUUGCUUAUUGGAUGUGAUUGGGUUGAUUAGUUUGUUUUGACAAAAGGGAAAAUUGUUUGUUUACUUCCUUUGAGUUAAAUUCCAUUUUCUCAUCGAUUCAUCCAGGUCAACUGCUGUGGUUAAAGGAGCUCAUCUAUCACCUCGAAUGAAGCGGGUUAAGCGUGCUAAGGUUUGUUGACAAAUGAUAUUUCUCUUAAUCCAUUCUGUUGUCCCCUUAACCAAAUUUUUGUUCUUGCAGGCUGCUUCCAUGAGCAUUACAUCAGUUCUCUAUCUCAAAGAUGAGGUUUCCAUUGCUACUGCUGGAGCAGUGGACAGGUAUGUUAGAAGCCUUUGCAAUGUUACAAGAAAAAAAAUUAAAUCUUGAAUUCCUUAGCUACACAUAUCUCAAUGAUGCUUUGAAGGAAUUGUUUAUUUUACCUCUCUUCAUUGGUUCAUUUCAGUGUCAUUAAGUUCUGGGAUACACGAAAUCUAAAAGCUCUGGUUACUCAGGCAAGCCCUCAUUCAACUUCAGUUGCAAAGGUAAGUUUGAACUUGCAGUGUACAUCUUUUUCCUUGGGAUAAAUAGGGAAUACUUAGUUCCAUUGGAUGAAUAGACCUUUGCCAUCCAGCUUAGUGCUGUCAAAAAUUAAUGCCCAGGGAGAAUGGCAGACUGUCCUUUCCCAGAAAAUAUCAAUAUAGUAAGAAAUCUAAAAUGGGUGGAAGUUCUACGGUGAAUGGGCCUAAUCCACCAUCCAUUGAUUCUAAAGUACUUUUUUUUUAACUAUUAAUUUACAAUUUGAAUGUCUAGUAUAUUUCUUGAAAUUCUUGACAUAUUAACAGUUAUGGGUUUUUCUCCUUGUCUCAGGAAAGAAGAUUACAUGGUAUAUCUAGCUUGUCACAAGAUUCAAAUGGUGUGUUUAUUUCAGCAUCCUGCAUGGAUAAUAGGUACCUCCUGAUUCUGUUUAGCAUCUUUUCUCAGUAACUGCAUUAGCUUCAAUUCAGAGGACAGUCACAUGCGCUUAAAAUGACUAGUACCAGGGGUUCAUGCUUUCAUGUCACCACCCCAAGUAUUUUAUUCUGUCAUGGAAACCUUGAGAUCAAGAUAUAUUCCCAACUUAUCACCAUAAAAAAGCUUCUAGAUGUCUAAUUCAGAUUUUUGUUAUUGGUUUGUCAGGAUUUACUUGUACAAUGUACUGAAUCUUGAAAAGGGUCCAAUAAAUUCUUUCUCUGGAUGUCGAAUAGAAUCCUUCUAUGUAAAGGUAAACAUUUUUUUCAUUGACGAUAGUGUCACACUCUAUUGUAAAACUGAUGACCUACCUUUGAUUUUGAUUUGCAGUCAACAAUUAGCCCUGAUGCAGCUCACAUACUUAGUGGUUCCAGUGAUGGAAGCGCCUACAUAUGGCAGGUACGGUUUCUUUUCAUAAGCACAGGCUUUUGGAGUCCGACCUUGUUCAAGAUGUAACAUCAUUAUUUGUGUUAAACCAGGUGAACAAGCCGCUAGCAGAUCCCAUAUUAUUGAAAAGUCAUGAAGGAGAAGUCACAGCAGUAGAUUGGUACAUGAUCUUGACACCAAAUGGUUCUGGUCCCUUGUUUUCCUUUACAAACAAGUAAACCAUUUUUGCGAAAUUCCUUUGCAGGUGUUCAUCUGAGCUUGGAAAAAUAGCAACUUCCUCAGAUGAUUACUCGGUAAGCAAGACAAGUAUAUGAAUCAUCUAAAAUUAGUAUAUUUGGCAAUGUUUCUUCUGGUGCUCAACUAAAUGUAUGUUUAACAUAUGUAAUGAUGUCCAAUGAUUAGUUUCUAUAAACCUUUAUUUGUCAGGUUCGCGUUUGGGACAUGCAGAGCAGUUGUUCCUCAAGCUCAAGAUCUCCAUCUUCCAUUAGAAGGAGAGGAAUGGCAAUCCCAAACAUGGAACCUAGAAAUAUUUUCAUGCAUGAAGAACCAUCGAGUUCCACAAAGGAUUCUAGGAGUUUGUGUCCACCAGAUGAAGUAGCAGACCAACUCAACUCACAUAAUCCAAUUACAAUGCCCAAAAUCAGUACUCCUGAAUCCCAAAAGCAACAGUUUUCAUUGGAACUGGAUUUGCAAGAAACUUUUGAGAAAACCCCAGAUGCUGCAUUGAAGAGCCCAGCUUCUGUUUUGAACCCUCCUCCCUCCUUGAAAAGGAAAACAAUCAGAGAUUACUUUCUAGCGUCUUCAUGAAACUUACUAGUUCAUUCCUCAAGACUAUUUUUGUCAUACAGCACUGCCAUGAUUCUUUUUGGUCAAGAAAAAGGUGGAGCAGCAGCUUUUCGGAUAAUUGAGAGAGUAAGUUCUUUCUGCUUUUCUGUUGCUUUCUAUCCUUUAUUUUAUUUCAUUUUCAAAAUUGGAGUAUUGUUUCCUAAGAAAUUUGAAAAGCUUGAUAGAUGGUGAAGACAAUGCAGUGACUAAUUUUGGCUUUCCUUUAAUUAAGAACCCCAUUUACGAAAUAUGAUCAAAGGAAACUUCACAUUUAUUCAAUGCGAUCUAGUUUUAAAACCUUCAAAAAUUUUCUGAAGCAGCAUUGGAAGAGUGCACUUUUUCAAAGGAAGUCUUGACAUUUUGAAAAUUUUGGAAUUUACUCUAGUAUUGUUGGCUUGUGAAUUUGCAGGGUGGUAUAUGAAAUGUAAAGCGGGAUUUCAUCAUCAGCAUGGCAAGAAUAAAACAAAAGUAUACAGAUACAUGUAAUGAAGUUGGAAGGAUUUUGAUGUAGAUUUUUUAUUCAUUACAAGGGAUUUCAUUCAUUUGUACCGCAAUAGGAAAAGGCAAAGUGGAAGUACAGUAAAAGACAAAAUUAGGAUCUCACCAUUGUACUUGAAUCUUAAGAUCUAUUUUCUUAUCCCCUGAUUUAUAUACUUGAUCUACACUUUCUAUGGUGGACAUUGGGAGUUUGAUAGAUAUCAUUGUUUUUUCCUACCAAAUCAUUCAGAACUUAUAUAAAGACAGAAAACUGCUAGCCCAUACGAUUAUUGUAACAAUGCUAUGAGUGAUACAGUGAGCCGUGAGGAUGAGAAUGAUCUCACCAUGAUUAAAUUCAAGUGUGAUAUUGUGCCAUCCAUUUCAUAAGUAAACAUAGAUAAUAUAAUGACAAUAAUCAUCUAAGAUUAGAGUAUAGAAUUACAUUUAGCUGCAUGAAAUUCAAAACUGAUACACAGAUUUGCGUUUGGAGUGGAACUGUACAGUCUGGGGCAACGGAGUGUCAGCUUAGAGGUCUGGGAGGUGGAACGGUUGAGGAUCUGCCAACAGAAAGGUGCAGGUAAUUUUGAAGGAGGGAGAGUAAUGAAAAUUCUUGGCAGAAGCAGGCAACAUAAAAUGCAACAUUAAUCUUCCACACCUAAAUUGAGGUCCAUGCCCAUUCCACCUGAAGUUCUUCUACCUAAAUUUAACAUGCUUGUCGAGUUCGAAAAGUCCAUUUCAGAGAGUUCUACAUGUUUUUGUUUUCCUGUAGUCCAAUGUUAUCCUCAAUUGUUUCCUGUUAUAAGAUGAUCUACAAUCAAAUCCUGCCAGUCCCUUUCAACCAGCUGAAUCAUUCUGUGGAAUGGGUGAUGAGUUCAUAUCCAAGGCAGACUAAAGCAUGAGACACUAAGAACCAACUAACAUCCAAUAAACAAUAAACUUGUGAACAAGUGCCCAAUCUACUGACCUUGUAGGGCAUAAUCUUAUUUGUUAGUUUUUCUAUUGGAUGAUGUAGAGAUCUUGUUUGGUUAUGAAGUAGCGGCCAAUGGCAUCUCCCGGUUCCAUGAUAAACUGCUCCUGAAAUGUUCCCAUCCGAUUGCUAGAAAUUUCGAUUGAAAGAUCUUUAAAACUAGGCAAACCUUCUACUUGUACACCAUCUCCACAUAUGAGGAACUGAUUCCCAACAAUAAAGGAUCCUGAUACACGAAUGGCAACUCCAUCUUGUCCAUGACCACGGCACUGAAGUUUUUCCACAACAUGCACAAGUCGUUCAGGAGGCCAGUCACCCACUAAUGUACUUCGAAUGCCCGACAAAGUAGCAAAAAUAUCAUCUGAACCAACAGAUUGUUUACCCGAGAAACUACAAAGGAUAGAGGUUUCUGUUAGUAGAGGAGAGAAGCCAAAGAUUGAACCACUACCAAAGUGGAUAAUUAUAACCACUAAGCAUAGAACAACAUGCCACCGCACGCAGAGUCAAAAACAAACAAAUGAAGCCAUUAUUUAUUUUGAUUGAAAAUUAUCGGUAAAAAAUUUUCCAUGGAAAAACCAUUUCAUAGGCCUAAUAGAUAUUGGAUAUAUCAACAUGAAGCUUGGGGAAAUUUAUCCCGUUUCUUCAGUAAGCUUCCUGUAAAAAAAAAAAAAAAAAAAGCCUUUAGAUUUAAAAUCUAUUUUUCUUUCCUGGUGUCUGUUGAAGCAAAUAGGGCAUAAGUUAUUUUCAAGAUCAUGAAUUUACCUAAUUUUGUUCCAAACACACAUGAAGCUUUCAAUUAAAUCUCAUAUGGUCGAACAUCAGUAGCUAAUAUAUUUGAAUCUCUCUUUGUAAAGCUGCCAAAUCUAACUUUCACUUUAUGAAAAUCAUAGGAAAAAAUGGGACAGUGAGAGUACCUGAAAGUUGAAUCUUUCUUAUAUAAGGUCUUUGUAUGUUGCCAAAGGUCAUCAGGCCCAUCAAAAAGUAAGUAAUAGUGUAUCAUCAGCAUCUGGUCAGCAAAUGUAAGUGAAAUUAGUAUUUGUUGAAUUGGAAGCAAAAGUGCCCAGCUUUUAUUCUGAAUAUCGGUUUAAGCUUCAACUGUAUGAAUGUCCAGGUCUAAAUCACUGGGUAAAGCUAGUGUAAUAGUGGCUUAAAUCUAAGUAAUUUUUUUUAAACUUAAAGCCAAAUAAUUUGAAUGGAUUGAAGCCAUAUGAAACUAAACUGUUCCUCUCUUAUCUCUUAAAUGUUUUAUAGAAAUAAAACAUAUAAAUUCCUCGCUAACAUUAGAAAAGACUGAGAAGCCAAUGGAAAAAUUACUUUAAGACACCGAGGUCCUCCAUUCCAGUUAAAGGGCACUUUUUGUGUGAUGAAAUUUUUUUUAAUAUAAACACAAAUCCAAAAACGAAGUAUUCAUAAGUCCAAAAACUGCUGGAAGAAUGACAAGCAGAUGUGAUUGAUCAUCCACAAAAAAGGGACACCAAGAUGCUGCCCCUCUGUCCAUUAAUAGAAUUAAAGUGGAUGGAUGAGAAGAAGUUCCCCAGGGAAACCCACAACAGAAACAGAGGGUGAAAAAAAUAAGGUUGCUCCAAGGAGGCUGUCAGAUCAACGCAUAUAACCCUAUACCAGAGGGAAUUAUUAUAGAACAGUAAGAACAUAGGGAAGAAAGAUUAUAUUCACAAAAUGACCAUUAAAAAAAUAACCAGAUCAACAUUCAGGAAUAGAAAACAAGAAAAAUAGAACCAGACAUGUUUGCAUUAGAGAUUAGUUAAAGCUAGGCCCAAAGAAAGACAAGACAAGGGGAUGAUUGUAGAGAUGGCUCGAGCCACUGCAAUGAUUGCUAGUGAAUACAUUAGAAAGUUGUGACAUGGGUCCUGAUUGAAAGUGCUACAAGUAGAAGGGGAACCAAAAAGAACAUUGCUUGAGAUAGUGAGAAAACAGGCAAUGCCCUGUGGACUUGAAAGUAGAUAUGAUUCUAAGAAGACAAAAAAUGCAAAAAAUAUUUGCAUUUACAACCCCAAAUAGUCAGAAUGACAAAAGUUAGGUUGAUUGAAGCACAAGUUAAUCAAUGCCAAAUAUUGAUCACUUUCUGGAAAUCUUCAAAAAAGCAAAGUUGGGCUAUAUCCACAUGGAUAACUUACCAUUUUGCCUGCUCUUUCAUAUAGUUCUAAUAAUUUCCCUUUUAGAUUUCAACUGUCUUUAUUUUGUAACCUAAAACUACUGCUACAAAUAAUUCCUUUUAAUGGAGAAAUAUUGACCACAAGUUAUUGGAUCUUUCUAAGCACCAUAUAUCUUCUAGUCAUGGUUUAGAAAUAGGAGAUCAGGAACAAAAACGUUCAAUUUUAGGCAUCAGUAUGAUAUGAAUCUAGAGCACCUGCUUUUAUUGCAUUACACAAAGCUUUCAAUUCAAAUGAUUUGUGAUUGGGAUGAUUUUAACGUAGAUAACCACCCUAAAUGGAUCACCAAGUGGGAGUUAUUAUAUCACCAAAAAAAUAACGUCUCAGUCAUAGUGGUCAUAUGGCCAUGUUUUGUCUGUAAGACUAGAAGCAAAAUACGGUGCCCCCUUUCUAAUUUUUCCCAUAGGUCAUCUGGGCAUCUUGAACUUUGGUGAUCUAAACAUUCAUAUCUAUAUUCAUAUGAAAAGAAAUCCAUUCAGAUCCACAUCCAACAAAAAUGUCCCCAGGUAAUUUAAAUAGCAUAGAUGUUUGCCCCUUCCAUCUAUUGUAGAGCUGCCAAAUUCGUACAGUUGUUAGCACAUUCUAACAGGUUAAUAAUUGGAAAGUGCAAGGUACUUACAUCUGCCAGAUCCUUCAUCUUUUGUGUUGGGUCAAAAAUGCUUCGGACAAAUGCCGUUAAAUCUACUCUGGCAUGCUCAUACUUUGUAAUAAAUGGGUGGGAAAGAAGCUGCAGCCAAGGAUACAAAUUAUACAAUGUUGAGUUUGAAUUAUCCUCUUUUGAUUUAGUUCACAAUCUCUAUAGAAAUACUAUAGUUUGAAAGCUUUGUAAAAUACCAUGUAAGUUACAUGCCAAAAUCACAGUACUAAACAACUAAGCCAUGAAUCAAUAAAUACACUGAGAGGGUAUUUGGACUGCCUAUCGAAAUUGAUUUGCUUAUUGUACUUUACAUGGCAUCUGAACAUACAAUGAUACAAAUAGGUUGCACAAUAUUGAAACAUCAGGGUUAUUACCAGAACAAGGAUAUAAGAUCAUGUAUUCAAAUCCUAACAAAAAAGCUCAAAGGACUGAUUCAAAUUCCAUGGAAAAUUCAAAUACCCAUAAAGUUUCUCUAUCUAUAAAUACUGCAUCAGGUAUCUGCCUUUUGCUCACCUGCUCUGCUGUCGGCCUUGCAUCUGCAUCCUUCUGAAGGCAAGCAUCAAUAAAUGAGCAGAACUCAGCUGAAAAUAUGUGUUUUGGUGGAGAUGGUGAUGGAUCAUCCAGUAUCUGCCAUGAAGAAACAGGAAUUGUUAGUUGCAAUGCGAAACACAAGAAUGCCAUGCAGAUAGAAGUAACUAAUUAAAUUAAACUGACAGUGUUUAAAUAUUUUAGCAUCAACCAUGAAUCUACAAACUUUUCAAGGUUUUGAUUACUAAGAAUGUCAUGAUUGCUAGGGUACUAAAUUUUACAUACAGGUUAAAGCAACCAUUAAAAUUUACAUGCCCAUCUCCUUUUCUUCCUGUGCAGAAGAAGUCCAAACUUCAGAGAUUCUUAAUAUGACCAACACUUCUAUACAACCAAAUACUAAUGCAGAUAAUAUGUACAAAAUUUGUUUGGUUUACACCAGAUAAAUACUCUAAUAAUGUAAGUUUAUAGAAUGUUUGUAAAAGUUUGAAAGCUCCAACUUCUAAUUACUUGAGAAAGAUAGCACAGAGAAACCUUAAUCAAAUAGAGAGAGAGAGUAUGUUACCUGCAACAUAAGAUUAACAGGUCCUUCAUUAGCUGUAUAUGGGAAUUCCCCUGUACCACAUUCAAAGAGUGCAAGACCAAGGCUCCAAAUAUCAGCUGGAUAAGAAUAGUUCUCAUUCCGAAUUCGCUCAGGUGACAUAUAUGUAACAGUUCCAACAAAAGUAGCACACUGAUAAACCACAUUUAGAGCAACAAACGAGAUAUAGUCAUAACCAAUAUCUGUGCCCAUGUAAAACAGGAAAGUAAGAACCAUCAAUUCAAAUAAAUACACACUAAGAAAAGCAUCAGCAAAGUAACUACAACAGAUUGAUAUAGUACUAGACUUACCAUUGCCACAGAAUUCUCUAAGCCAGCACUUAUACCAAAAUCUGUUAUCUUUGGCUCCCCCUUAAGAUUUACUAGCAAAUUUGCUGGCUUUAUGUCUCUAUGAACUAAAUGUCGAACUCCAUGCAAGUAGCAUAGUCCCUUGAAGACAAAUGCAAAAUAUUUAAACUUACAUGAGAAAGAACAUAUCUUCAUAUAUCAAACUUCUGUAAAGCAGAAAACCUAGCUGAACCAAAGAAUUUAUAUUUACAUGUAGUAGCUUUCGAACCAUAGAUGAAAGAACUGGUUCUGGUAUACAUUUCUGCACCCGUAUGACAUCUGCCAAGGACCCUCCAUCCAUGUACUCUAAAGCUAUACUUAUCUGUCCAGAGUCUGGAGUAUAAAAUGCCCCAUGAAACUCCACAAGGCCCUCAUAACAAGGUGCCUCACACAGCAUCCUUAUCUCAGUGAGAAGCUGUUGCCUUUUCUCCUGGUAUGCAAAAUAGGAAUGUUUAUGUAAGACAAUAUGAUAAGUGCAUAAUAUCGCACAGCAUCCACAUCUCAGUAAGAAGCUUCUGCCUUUUCUCCUAAUUUGUGAAAUGAGAAUAUCUGUGUAAGAAAAGACAGCAUGUGACUGGUAUCCCUUUGCAAUCUAAUCUACUAAUUAUAUUGUCAAUAAGCAGAAUUCUGUUAGCAUUGCUGACUCUUUAGAUAUUUUUCAUGGAUCACAGGGAUUGAUAUUGUUCUAGGUCAGGAAUCCAAACAUUGCCAUCCUUCAAGACAGAUAUUAAUGAUAUUGUUCAUGUGGUGGUGUAAUAAUCAAAACUAGUGGGAUGUAAAACAGUAGCCAAAAUGCUGUCAAUCAUAUUGAGUUUUAUGUUACCACUUAUAGAUGCAGGUAGCACUUAAGAACUCUGACAAAUUCAUUGAACAGAAGAAGUACUUCUCAAAUUGUACCGAAACAAAAAAAAAUCCUUUCCCUUCACAGCAUGGCAAAACACCAGGACCAAGAACCUAAGUGUGUUUUUUUUUUUUUCCUUUUUUGGUUAACUGUAUGUUAAACAAAACCAAACAAAUCCUGAAACUGGCAAUAUGGAAGUUGAAUAUUUUUUUAGUGCCUUAAAGAGUAGUGAUACAGUAUCUCAACCAAUUGAGCUAACACUACUAAAAGUAGUAUGUAAAAACCAUGCUGCCCAUAUAAUUCUGUCCAGUAACUAUGGGAGCCAGAAGUAAUAAAAUGCACAUUCAAAAAACAAGUGAGAUACACAAACCUUUUCAAAAAUAUUAAUCUUCUUCAACGCAAUAAUUCUAUGAGUGGGUAUAUGGAUAGCUCUCUGCACAACACUGCUUGCACCACUACCUAUGGCUCCAAAAAUCCUCAUCUCAUGGGAAGCACACCGAUAAGUCCUUUCUUUAUAAUCUGCUUCAUCUACUGGAGAAGAUGAGCACUUUAGCAACCCGAGCUCAUUUAUAUUGUAUACUCCACAUGAUUUGCUCAAUAAGUUAACUGUUCCACCAUCCGACAGCUUCACAAAACCAAUAAUUUAUUAGUAAAAAAUCUUCAUGUCGCAUUGCCAAAUUGCCAAUUUCUCCGACAAAGAGAAUCUCACCAUAUAAGAAUCACAAGGGUCCAAAGUUGAUCCAGCUGAUAAGCCUUUAUCGGGAUCAAACAAUGGUGAAAGUUUCUUUUUCAAUUCCUCUAAUCCAGCCAUGAUUAAUUACUAUACUGGUCCUUUUUUCCCUUAAGAAAAGCAAAAGAAAACCAUCAAUGCCCCUUGAUAGCUAUACUGUGCAUGGUGAAGCCAAUCUAUGAAACAAAAAUGAAUGAGCCAUCUCAACCAGACAAGCUUCAACAUUAUCUUAUAUUCAAUCAUGCUCCAUUUGGUUGCUAAGAAAUCAAAAAGAGAAAAGAGUAAGUAACACUUGAAAACAUACAGUUUCUGAUGCUUUCAUUCCCAAAAAGCGCGCCACUUUUUGACUCAACUAGGCCUUUAUUUUCCUUAAGUUUCUUCACAACCAAACAGAGCAUCAAAUCCAUUUCCUUGCGACUGAUUCCAUGCUCCAUGCUUGUGACAUUGUGAAGUCACAAUAAUUCCAUCAAUUCUAUUGUGAUUUACAAAAACUAUUGUGAUUGGAACUUCGAAUUCGUUAUAGCAGUAAAAUUAUCAGAAAUUAUAAUUCUUUAAAUAAGGCCAAUUUUCGCUUUCCAAGAGCAACCCCAUUUAGCUCGAUCACAUUGGCUGUAUACCCAAAUAACGUUAUCAAUUGAUUCCAUUGCUUAUCAACACACAAUUAAAAUGAUUCAACAUCUAUGAAUAUCCCAAAACCCCCAAUACAAUUCUUGUAGAACUAAACAUCUAAUCAUGACCUGCGCACACACAAUUAAAAACCCUAAACCCUAACUUCAAUCAAAUCAGGCAAUGUUUUCCAUUCAAAAAUUACAUCAAACAAUUCAUUAUCAAUAAAACCCUAAAAAUUCAAAAAAUAAAAUUAUUGAAAAUUUUAUUUGCAUAAAAAAAUAAAAAUAGAAUUGACAAUCAAAGUUUCAAAAUUUUACUUACAGUAACAGUUAGGUUUCCAUAAUUGGGAUUUUUGGUGUGUCAAGGAUCACUGCUUCUGCGAUCUUGGCAUUCAAGGGAAGAGAAUGGAUUCCGUGCAGUGGAGUGCUAUGCAGUUUUGGUAGGUUCAAUACGAUUACGUGGCGUCUUGUGAUUCGUUGAGAAAAGUUCAGGUGCUGUAGGUUGGAUGUAGAUCUAGUAUACGGACCAUCAGAUACGAGCGAAUCAAGCCAUUGUGGUGCGUCCUUCACAGGAGGCCCGAAAUUUAAUGGGCUUGUCAAGAUCUGGUUGGAUUCGGUUGGGCUUAUUAUCUAUUUGAGAUUUCAAAAUUUCAACGUUUCUAAAAUUAGAGACGUGUCUAUACUCAUUAUUGGAUUCAUUCUUAUUUUGCUACAUCCGGAUAAAUAAAUAAAAAAUAAAAAUAAAAACCCGGAGAGUGAGUUUGACGGUAUUUUUAAUCAAAGUGUUUUCUCCAAUAGUAUUUUUUAGAGAAUCGCUUGUCAAGUAUUUUUUUUUAAAAAAAAAAACACUACAAGUGAUUUUUUAAUAUUAUAGAUGAUUUUUCAUAUUUUUAAAAAUAUUUUUAAAAAUUCUUCAGGUUAAAAAUACUUUUUAAGAAAUCACUGUUAAACAGACUUUAAAUACAAUUGAUAACAACCUAAUUAUGAAAUUUUUUAUUUUAGUUUUAGUUGUGGGUAAAGCUGCUAAAAUGCUUUAAAUAAAAUAAGUGGAGUUAUUUUUGAGUUCUCUAAGUUUUAACUAAACUAAUACAAAAUCUAGUGAGAUAAAGGGUUAAAAAAAGCCAAAAUGGUAGCCGUUUGGAUAUCCCUUUUUGGCUUACUAAUUGCAAUCAAAUGUUGCUUUUGGGGAAGUGCUUGAGUUGAAGCAUCUUUUUCAUCUACAAUACCUUAACUACUAUUUGUCUCAUUGGCAUUUGUUGGAUCAAUUGAUGUUGUCUCAAAUUUCAGUUGUUCUAAAGUAUUGAAAUCUUUUCCUCAAUCUUCUCCUUUCCAUAAUAAUUGUUCUUUACACAUUUUAGUAGAAUAAUUCCAAUAAAAAUCAAAUUUUGACUUAAAAAGUAUUUUGUUCCAAUAUGGACAUCAAAGACAAUAUUCUUUCUUACCUAUACUAAACUUCAUGAAAAAUGUUUUCGUAGCUCUUAUAUCUAAUUUAGAAUCUUUCAUGUAAAAAUAAGCAAUGACACAAAAAUAUGUCAAAAAAAUCAUAAUCAUUAGCAAUGGUUUAAACUAUACCUCAAUAAGAAUUUUGCCCACGAUUACAAGUAAUGGUACAUGACCAAUAAGUGAUAUACGUAAACAAUUGUCUCUAACGCAAAAAAAAAUUCUCAAUUCAACAUUUGACAAUGUAUAUCAAACUUUUUUCCAAAAAGUUUGAUUUAUACUGUUUGUUACUUCGCUAUAUUGUGGUAUAUUUCAAAUUGGGAAGUGUUGACCAAUGCCCUUAUUUUGACACGGAAAAAUAGAUCGCUUUUGUAUUCACCACAUUUAUUUAGUUUAAAUCGUUCAAUCUUUAUGUGAUUUUAAUAAUCUUUUUCCAUUUAAAAAUACUCUCAAAACUUCAUCGUUAGUUUUCAUGACAUACACCCAAACUCUUCUCAAGAAGUCAUCAGUGAAAUAUAUCAAUAGAAUGGAUUACAAUGCCAAAUUUCACACUAUAGUAAAAAAUUACAAUACAGAUAAAAUUUUAGUUUGUACGUUUUUGUAUCCUUCACUAACCUUUGCAUCACCAAGUUUUUUAAAGUCUUUUAACUUGUAUGUCCCAAAAGCAUAAGCCAUAGUCUUAUAAUUUCUAGUUUUUCCAUCAUCUUUAGCGAUUAUAGCUUUUGAUUUAAUAAUUGUUUUCACCUUAAAAUUGUACAAGUUAUUCUUUCUUAUUUCUUUUAUAACCAUGAGUCCAUUUAACAUGACUUUCAAAAACCCAUAUUUCAUUAUGAUGGUGAACUAUACGAACUCUAAUGCUCCUAACGAGACAAAACAUUUCUUUAAACUUGACAUAUAGCAGACAUUUGCAAAGUUUUGGUUGAUCCGUCAUGAGUCUUAAACUAAAUUGAGUAUAUUUCUAUUAUGUUACAAGUAUUACUAUUGCUAAAAAAAAACAACUCUAUUAUAUAGUGUUUUUGAAGCUAGAAAUCCACUCCUUAUAGUGACACAUGUGAUAAGUGUUACUAAACUCUAAAUUCCACUCACUUGAGUUGCAUAUCAAAGAUAAGCUAACCACAUCAAAGCUUGACUCAACAUCUCUAUACUUGGCAACACAUCGAAGAUCAUCUCACCUUAUUAUUCUUUUGGAGCUUAGGACAAUCCUUCCUCCAAUACCUCCCUUUAUGACAAAAAACAUAUUCAUCUUUUAUGGAUUUGUCUUUAGAUUAAAAGUUGUCUCUUUUAUUAUUUUAUUAAAAACAUGUAUAUGAUCAUUCAUAAACAUAUACUCAGUUGACAUUCGAAGAAAGAAAGUUUUUCCUUCAAAUAAAGUUAGUUUUCUAAAUUUCAUAUACUUACCCUCUAAUGUCUUCCAUAGAUUUUUGUAGAUAUUUCCUUCAUUACAAAGUAAUUUUUUUUUAGGUUUAAUAAGACAUAAAUGAAUAGAACUGCAUGCUUGAUGAUUGAUCUUUACCCAUUUUUUAUCAUUCACAUUUUUAGAUUUCUCUUUAAGAGCAAUAUAUAAAUUAUGCUGACACAAAUAUUCAAUACCUCACAUUGUCACAUCCCAAAGUUGUUAAUUCCAUCAAAUUUAUGUAGCUUGAAUUUCUCAUUGGUAGCCAUAGUGUUAACGAGUGAAGCCUAUUUGCCAUUUUUCUUUUAGCUAGUAAUCAAACUUGAAAACAAACAAACCUUGAUAGACUUGGUCCUUAUAACAAUUGUUAGAAUCAAAGACUUGGUCUUCUCAUAUGAAAAUCAAUUGACUAUCAAUAAGCUUAAGUUAAUUUUCUCUAUAUGAUUUAAGUCACACCAAAUCUCGAGCCAACAAUCUUUGGACAUACUUCUUGGGCCAACACUAAAUCUCAAGGCACACAAUCUCAAGCUUACAUCAUGAGUCAAUAUCAAAUCUUGAGCCAAGACAACCUUGGGCAUAUUUUGCAAACCUAAUAUUUAAUUAUAAGUACCUCACACAGUAAUUAAUCGUGUAUUAUACCUCUUAAGCCAUCAUUGUUGUUUUUUUAUUUUAUUUUUUGCCGGAGGAGUGGCAUUAUUAUCAACCUAAUAGAAAUGAACUCUAGUACUUAAAAGAAGUUUCUAAGACUCACUUAUUAAUGAAUCACUUCUUAGGAUUUUUUACUUAGAUUCUAUGUAAUCAUUUAAAGAUCAUAGAUAAUGUUAUGAUUUAUAUAUCCAAAUAUCUCAAUACAAUGAUGGUGAGACAUUUAAACUAUACCCCACCUUAUCAAUGGGGAUUUUUAUUUUUUAAAUUUAUAAAAAUUCCAUCAUAAAAACAUAAAUAAAAAGGUAUUUGGUAAAGCAAUAUAAUUACGUAAUAUAAAUUAAUGAUUCAAUUUAUGUUAUAUUAAAUAUGUUUAAUAAAUAAGUUAAUACUAUAACUUAAAAUAAAAAUAAAUUUAAUAAAUAGAUUUAAUAACUUUUAAUAAUUUAAAUACAAUUCAAUUUAAAAUUAUCCUAACUCAUCAAAUAUUAAAUUCUAUCAAAUGCAGUUUAAGUCAAAUAAGUACCUGUUUUUCUUUUAUUUCAAUUUAUUAUCAUUUCACAUCUGUUUUUCAACUUCUAUUCCACCACUCAUCAUUUUAUGCCUCAUAACUAGUGAUGCCAGUAAGUUUCUCUCCAAAUUUUCUUCUUCCUAUCCCUAGAAUCACGCACACAUGUUCCCAUCUAAUACUUAUAUUAAUCCAAUUGAUAUAUGGUAAUCUUGAAUAAAUGAUAUAUGACCCUCUUGAAUAAGUCACCUCUGAUUUCUU